RNAcentral lists this long non-coding RNA (105994 nucleotides) under Cucumis sativus (cucumber). RNAcentral's name for it is "long non-coding RNA (CSAT_LNC002259)". The stretch from base 56841 to 56974 matches the Rfam family "U4 spliceosomal RNA". The record is from RNAcentral. Lineage: Eukaryota; Viridiplantae; Streptophyta; Magnoliopsida; Cucurbitales; Cucurbitaceae.
CAUUUUCAGCAAUUGAUUUCAAUUCGCAUUGUGGCAGCCACCCGAGACUUGGAGUUGUUGAUCAUAUAUGCUUUCAUCCAUUGGCCUCUGCAACUUUGGAGGAUGCCGCUCUUAUCGCAAAAUAUCUGGCAGCUGAUGUUGGAUAUAGUCUACAAGGUCUGUACUUCUUUUCACAAAAACAUGUAUUUAAUCCCUCAAAUUUAAUUUAAUUUUUAAUUUUGCACUUUUAAGUGAAAAUUUUAUGUUCUCAAAAUUGGUUUCCAAUGAUUACAAACAUAUUUUAGAGUGAUUUUGAAAAUGGUAGAACAUGAUUCUAACAAUUUCAGAAUUACUCCCGGAUUCUAGGCUGCAAAAAGUGGGAGGAACCAUAAUUUUGGAGGCAUUUCCAUCGAUAUUUUAGAACUGAUAAACCAGCGACAUGCACAUGUGCUAUGAAAUUCAUGGACUUUCUCAACUUUGCAAAAUUUCCUAAAGUCGAAGGCUUUAACUUUAGCAAUUGGUUGUAUUUUGUUUUGCAAACGCAUUGCUUCAAUGUAUUGAAUUCAGAGAGUGCCUCAAUGGUGCUAUCAAAGUUCUGAGUAACCAAAUAUCCUUGUGUCCUGACUUAGGACUUGUAAUUUAAGAAAUAUCCUUGUGCUCUGGCUAGUACUUGGAAUUUCAGAAGCACAAACACUUUAGUUUAGUUUGGCUAGCAUGUCCGUGUCCGACAUACUUAUAACACUUUUUGGGUAAACUAAAAAGACACAUUAGUCAAAAUAGUAAUAACUUUUGGGUGUGAAAUACAUCAAGUUAAAUUCUUUAAGCAUAUAAAUGCAUCAAUUCAUGUACUUUGUAUUUUCUUUUGGUAGAAAAAUGGUAUAUAACUUUUUAGACAAUGUAUAUUUUAAUAAACGUAUCUUUAUCGUGUCGUGUCUUAGAUUUUUAAAAUAUGACGUGACACGAAAAAAUAUGACGUUUCACCAUGUUCGUGUCAUGACAUAAUCUGAGAGUAGUGUUUCAUGGUAUCAACUGGUCUGUUUUAUCAAUAUCUCUCAUAUCAUUUAUAUUAUGGGGUGCUGAUGAUCUAAACCAUAGCCUGCAGUCCCAACAUUUUUAUAUGGAGCGGCUCAUGAAGAGGGGAGGAAACUAGCAGUGAUCAGAAGAGAGCUCGGUUAUUUCAAGCCAAAUUCUGAGGGCUCAAAGUGGGCUGGAGGGUUGAAAUCAGAUUCAUUGCCACUGAAGCCAGAUGACGGUCCAGCUGAAGCAAGUAAAGCAAAAGGGGUUGUGGUGAUUGGAGCAACAAAGUGGGUUGAUAACUACAAUGUCCCAGUUUUCUCUACCAAUAUCAGUGCUGUUCGUAAGAUUGCGAAGCAAGUGAGCGAGCGAGGAGGUGGACUUUCUUCUGUUCAAGCAAUGGCCCUUGCUCAUGAUGAGGGUGUAAUUGAGGUGGCUUGUAAUUUGCUUGAACCAAGUAAAGUGGGAGGAAAAAUGGUUCAGCAGGAAGUUGAACGGCUUGCGGAAAAUGAAGGUUUAGGCGUGGGGGAAGGUUAUUUCACAGACCUCUCGCAAGAGAGUAUUAUUGAAAGGUACCUCGAAUUGUUUUCUUUGUAAUUUUGUGACUUGCAUUUGACUUUUUAUAUUUUAUGUAUCUUAUGCUUUUGAUUUUUAUACCAACACUUGUUGACAUGUUUUGAUCUUCUAAGUAUGUGGUUUUAAAGAUUCCAAGUUUUCUCUCGUUUCUUCUAAUAAUACUAAUACUAAUCAUUGUUGUUUAUUAAACUUAUCAACACAUCCUUAAAAGGUUGAUUGUUCGAAAGAACUUCUCCGAGGGUUCUAACAAUCAAUUUUAUAAUACCUAACUAUCUAUCUAUAGAACAAGUGUCAAGUUGAUUUUUAGGGAGGCAGGUAUAUAUAUAGUAGUUUCAAUCUUAGUUAGAAUUCCUAAGGGGGUAAUUUGGUAGAGAAUUAAGGUUAAUUGUCGACUAAAUCUUAUCAACUAACACUAGUUUUAUGAUUCACGGUUAAACAUUUUUUAAAAUUAGAAUCCAAAUUCUGAAUCUGCCACUAAACACAUAUCUGAAAGCAAUUGUUUUCAAAUUCUCUACCAAAUAGUCUCUUGAAAUUAAGAAUGAGGCUAGCAAAAUCACCUUAGCUUUCAAUUGUUAGUCCUAAAAGAACAUAAGAAAUGUAGGAGAAGAAAAAGGAGGGGAAGAAGAGAGAAACUUGACUGGAUGUCAAAGUAGAAUGAGAGUAUGCCCUAAAGUUAGGAGAAUGGUAUUUAAGCCUAGCGCUGAAGGUAGUGUAAGAAGAGAAAGGGUGAGGAUGACAUAAGUGUAGAGAGUAAUUUUUUGUUCAACUAAACAUGCCUUUAUAUAGGCUUACAAAAUGAAACCAUAGAAUUUCAAUGGUUAAUAAACCAUUAUUAUUUUAACUCUCAUAACUUCUAAAAACUUCCAAAAUGAACACAAUGUAAUAUGAAAACCAAAAUCAAUUUAAUUUAUACAACUCUUCAAAUUCUCAUUAACAAUAUGAACCUUUUACAUUCUAAACCCCCCUCCCAAUUUGUUUGGUAAUUUGGCUCCACAUUCUAUUGGUGUUCCAACUGAACUAGCAUCAUCCAUAUAGAACAUUUUAAGCAUUCUUCUAGCAUAACCCUCUUCAGAUAUAAAAAUCUCAUAUUCACUUUGUUAGACCUCGAUCCAAAGAUAAUAACUCAUGAGACCAAUGUCUGUAAUUUUAAACUCAUUUGUCAUCUCCCUUUUAAAUUCACAAAAAAUGGGAGGAUUGUUAUGUAAAUAUCAAAUUGUAACAUAGAAACAUAUGAUUAGUAUGUUUUCACCAUGCAUUUUGAUAUAUAGGGUCGGUAAUAGUGCCAACAACUUGCACUACAAGGAAUUAAGGGGUUCCCGUGACUCCAUAAUGCAUCAGAAAUAAUAUAGAAAGGGAGAGGUUUUCCCGGUGUUAGAAGCUCCAUCGAGAAAAGGAAGUCGAGAGUACAACGUCGGGGGAGAUUUGUUCGACGCCUCAAAGGGACGACAUCGGGAUUGCCUUCUCUCUGACGCCGUCAAUGCCGAUGUGUGACUGACGCCGUCAUUUAUCGUGCAUUUUCUUUCAUUUUUCGAGCAGUCUCUUCCAUUUGUCAUCACACUCUUCCAUUUGUUGGUCAUGCUUUUCGAAUCUUAUUCUUUGUUCUUCAAUUAAGCGUUAGCAUUUUCAAGGUUAGCCUUUAGUUCGCUCACCUUUAUGGAGUGCAUCACUUGGCCAUAAAAAGAGGAAGAACUGGAAGUAGAACUCAUACGGGACUUGGGCAUGUGGCCCCAACCAAGACCUUUUAAGUAGCCCAAUCGCCUACUCAAAAUGGUCUCACAUAUCUCGUCCUCAUAGAGUGGUUGAGAACCUCGAACACAAUGAAAGAACCUCAAAGUACAAAGAACAAAAACAAACCCAUGUGAGAGCAUUAAACAAUGGAACAAACAAACACAAUGGAAGCAGUUAUACAAGAAUUUGCAACUUGAGUCACGAAGCAAGAAGAUCUGGAACUGUCCUCAAUCGUGCGCGAUGGAGCGAAGUUAGGGUAUGUUCGCAACUUGGGUCGUUUACGAACGUAUGUGUGGAGCGUGGUCUCAAAUAUGUUCGUGAAGUUCGUCGUGCGAGCUUCACACAGUGGUGGGAGAAAUCGGGCAUGGUGGAAGAUUCGCGCAGUGGCGAGACUCGAGAUUCACGCAGUGGUGGGAGAACGUUCGUCUGUCUAAGCUUGGGCUUAGUUGGAGAUUCGCGUGCAGAUGAACAACCAUCGAAGCUUAGGCGUGAUGGACGAGUUGUCGGACGCUUGGGCGUGGUGGGCAUAAUGGAUGGUCGUUUGGAGCUUUCGGUGAAAACGGUGAAGAAGGUAUCGAAGCUUAAGUGUGGUGGGAGAUCUACAGGAAGAAGAUGAAGAAAUCGUGGAGCUUUCGGUGAAGUUUGCGAAGAAAGGUGAAGAAAUCGUGGAUGAGAGAAAAGAUGAGGAAAAAUUUGGGAGAAACAAUUAGAGCUUUUUUAGAAUUUGGGGGAAAAAAGAAUUUUGGAGAAAAAAAGAGUAAAAUGUUUUGUUUUUAGAAAAUGAAGAAAAAAUAUAUUGUAUGUCCACAAAUACAUAUACAUACAAGUGCCAGUUGAGCUAAGCUCAUGUUGGCAGAUGUUUUUUUUUUACUAAAACUGUCAAGAAUAUCAAAACUGCAAACGUCAAGUAUUGCCAAAUUCAUAGUAGUGCGAUAACAUUCAAUUUAUUAAACAAAGAUAAAAAUGGCAUAUGGUCAAAAGUCUAAAAAAAAAAAUAGAAGAAUGUAAGAGUAAUGGCAUGAUAAUUUGAAGGACAAGCUAGUAUUUUCGUCUUACAAUACCAUUUUGUUUAGAGUAGGAUUGAUGAAGGUAAUUAGAGUCUGAUUUCUAGAAACCCUUUUAAAGUAAAUUUAGAAGUAAGCGCAGUUAUGAUGUCCCUACAGAAGAAGAAUGAAUAUAUGUGUACGAUUGGGGUAGAGAUUCAUUAACAUGCCCUCACAAACAAUGGGCUUUCAAAAAUAGAUGAGACUUAAUACUUAAUCAAAACACAGUUGCAUAUGAAAUCUAAUGGAAAAGGUACUAAGUUGUAGAUUUUAGAUAAGCGAAUCAGUGUUGAAGUGAUCAUAGGAGUCGUUGCUGAUGACAUCAAUAAUUUUACUAACACUUUCAUUUCAUCUAUGGUAGCUAUGAGAAAAAAGGUGACAAAAUUUUGAGAGAAAAAAUAAAUAGUUUUGCUUGCUUUUAUUAUGACCUUUUGAGAUCCUCCUUAUAUACACGUACGAUUGGAAUAAUGUUUUUAAAAUAAGUGAUGCAUUAUAAAAAUCAUAUCUAUCUACCGUUUAAGGCAUUGUCAAUGAAGCAUAAACUAUGACAGUGAUUUAUGAGAAGACUUGUUUAUAAUAUUAUUUACACUAAUUUAACUAAUAUUCUCUAUCUAACUUUAAUCCCUAAAUAUCUUUCUUUCAUACGUCUCUAUUUAGACUUCAAAAGAAAUAAAAAAAAAUAUUUAUAGAAGUUUGUGAAAUUUGCUAUUUUUAAUAAUUUUAGAAAAGGAAUUGGGUGGAAAAAAAGAGGAAUAGGAGAUUGAAAUGGAAGGAGAUGACCUUACACUGCAUAAAGCAAAGCAUCACCUUAUCUAUUGUCGUCCAAUGUCCAUUCCAUUUUAUAUUCCCUGUUAUCACAUCACUAUCCACAUUUUCAUUUGUCAUUCAAAUUAUUUUCUUUUCUACUUUCCCCCAAAUUCAUGAAAUUGUUUAUUCCCAUGUGUACCGCAUUCUUCUUCGAUCCAAACAAAUUUUCAAUUAAUUAGCAAACAAAAUUAUCACGAUUGAGGAUAAUAAUUUUGAGAUACAUCCAAGAGCACAACUAUCAAAUAAAAAAAGAUUGUAUUUAUAUUCAAGUCAACAAUAUUAUGUUGAUCUAAAAUAUAUAAAAUUUGGUUAAUCUUUUCACAACAACCCCAUCUCAAUAAUUUUGUCAAACGUCUUGCCCCAUUCAUUUAUCAUAUUUAAAAAGAAAAAUUGUGCCUAAUCACAUUCAUGUACAUCACUUUCUUCUGUAAUUAGCAACAUCGCUAAUGGUGUCUUUCCAAAAUCUGAUGCACUCUCCUUCCUUCAAGUGUAAUCGAGAAUACAAAUUCUUAUAAUUCAAAACAACAUGAAACAAGAAAUUAAAAUAUAGCUAUAGUAUGAGCCACGGGGUUGAAUAUAAAAAUGAAUAAUAAAAACAAAAAUGUUCUUGUUUUUGACCAGACGCAAACCCUGAAUAAGACUGCUACCUGAUCAGCCUCCAUUUUGCUCACUUUAAAGUUUUUAGUUAUCGGCCUCACGGGUCUCUCUUCUCCCAAUUCCCCCAUAUAUCUCCCCUUCUAAAAACCCUUACCGAUCACAAAUCGAAGAAACCAACCCAAGCAUAUACACCCACUUAGCAAUGGCUUUCCAUCUCACCGCCAAGGUAAAAAUGAGUUCUCGUACCCCAAUUUCGUCUCAAUUGCUUUAUGCUAAUUUACGAAUUGGGAAUUGAACACCUUAAUUGUUAAAUAAUAUUCCAGGACAAGAAAAGAAGCUUGGAUCAAAAAGUCCUUUUAUGCUGCAAAUACUACGUUUCUGAAUCGCGCAAUCGUUCUGUACUAGAGGCCAUCGAGGGAGCUGCAAGAGAAGACCCAGAUUCUGUUAUUGUAAACAAAUUCGAAGACGGAGCUUACAACAGAACAAGGUACACCAUCGUCUCUUACGUCGUUCACGACACCACAGGCAACGCCAUUUACAGCCCAUUGCUCCAAACCGUACUGUCUAUGACCCAAGUUGCUUUCUCUCAUAUUAAUCUCGAGUCUCAUUCCGGUACUCACCCUCGGCUUGGAGUCGUAGAUGACAUCGUUUUUCAUCCCCUGGCUCGAGCCUCCCUCCACGAAGCCGCUUGGCUAGCUAAGGCAGUCGCUAAGGAUAUCGCUGCCAUGUUUCAAGGUCUUUUAAUGAAUUACAUACAAUAUUGGGAUUCCAUUGGUGUUGGUGAUUUAUAAGUAUUGGGAUUGUGAUUUUGUGCAGUGCCUGUAUUUCUUUACUCUGCGGCUCACCCAAGUGGGAAAGCGCCGGACGAUUUGAGGCGUGAGCUUGGGUAUUUCCGGCCAAAUUACAAGGGGAAUCAAUGGGCUGGGUGGUCGAUGCCGGAAACUUUGCCGGAGAAUCCUGAUGAAGGUCCAAAUACAGUAUCUCGAGAGCGAGGAAUCACGAUGAUUGGAGCGCGUCCGUGGACGGCAAUGUAUAAUAUUCCAAUUCUGUCGACGGACGUGUCAGCAACACGGAGAAUAGCGAGGAUGGUGAGUGGGAGAGGAGGUGGAUUGCCGACGGUGCAAACGAUAGGGCUUCUUCACGAUGAUGAGACCACGGAGAUAGCUUGUGUUCUGUUGGAGCCGAAUCAGGUUGGAGCAGAUCGAGUUCAGAGACAUGUGGAGAUUGUUGCGGCCCAAUUCGGGUUAGAAGUUGAGAAUGGAUAUUUUACUGAUUACUCACCAGAGAUGAUUGUUGAGAAAUAUUUGAAUUUGAUUUCUGGCACCCAAAGUCUAUCGGGAAAUCGUUUGAACUAACAAUGAUUUGUGUAUUGAGAUUCAGAUUUUGUAAUAAAACAUAAAUUGGAUAUUUCGAUAAAGUUCUAAAUUUCCAAAAUAUAUGUGUGUGUGUGUGUGUGAUAUGUCUGAACUUUUGGCCUUUUCAAAAGCUGUAAUAUUUAUUAUUCGGUGGAAUGAACUUUAGAUAAAAACGUGGUGAUAAUUUUUGUUUGAGUUUUUGAGUAAUAAGGAGGCCAGAAGGUUUCAUUUAACAUUUAAUAUGAUUUUUUGGGAUAGAAAUAGAAUUAUAGAAGGGAAGAGGUGAGACGAUGAGAAAGAGAAUGUUAACAGCCAAUACUUCCUUCACCGAAUAACAGCCUCAUCCAUCUCACACCUCACACAUAACAUCACAAUUUAGACAUUUCUCCCUCUCUUUCUUUUCUUCCUUCCCAAAACAAAAGCAGUUUAGGUGAUCAUCUAUUUUUAUCCAUCAUAUCAAAUUAUUCCAUCAUACUAAUUUUGCUUUAUUUAAAAGCAUUUUAAUUCUUUUUUUAAGUGAGGUGUGAAGAAAUGCAUAAACAUAGUAUUCACAAGCUUGAGAAGCACAUAAUCCAAUUUUUUUUUCUCUCUUUGGUCAACAGAUAGUAUGUCCACCCUAAACACUGUAGUAUAUGUAAUAUCCAUUCAAAUUUUGAAAUGUGGUUCUUUCACACCUAACAUAGAUGUCACACAAUACAUUCUAGCAACGUCAAUGACCAACUUCGCACGAUGAUUUCCAAGCUCUGACAACAUAGUCCUGUGACGAACUACAUAAUCACUUUCAUCCAUUCAAAUUCUUCCUUUGACAACCAUCUACGACUACAAAUUUGGGCAAAAAUUACAUUUGAUAAUUAACUUUGACAACCACCUUCAACUUUAGGCUCCAACAACUACCUCUACCAUAAACUUCAAUGAAAAUCAUCUUUGAUAAUCAACUUCCAAUGACAAGUGACAAUCACCUCUAACAAUUAAUGCCAACAUUCACCAUAGGCAACCAAGAAAGGCAAAGACCCCACUCUAAUGAUCAACUUCUACAACGAUCACAUCUAGCGCCAACUCUACGGGUGUUAAAAAAAUCGGUAACCUAACCAACCAGAAUUACCAACCCAAACCGAGGGAUGAGUUGGGUUAAAUUUUAUGUUGGGUUAGAAAAUUGAAGAAAAAAAAUACUUGAGUCGGUUCCUAGGUCCUACAAAUAAUGGUUGGGUUAACUCAACCCGACUUGGUUAUGUAUAUAAUAUAUAUAAUUCUCUUGUCUGUUUUCAAUCUCGGUUGAACUUGACCCCAAGAUGGCCCAAGUACUUAGCUUCAUUUAGGAGUCAAAACCAAUCCGUUUUAGAGUGUAAUUAAUUAUGCAUGUAACUUAUGUUUUAAUUAAAAUUGUAUAUGCAUAAAGUAUGUCAUAUAGAUUUAAAAUUUCACCACGUGAAAGUAUGUUAUAACUGUUAUAAUAUAUAGUAUUCAUGUUGAUUAAUUAAUAUAUAAAUUAAUUAAAUUAAUUUUAAUUAAAUGUGAUUUGAUGAAAUUAAUUAAUUAAUUAACUAAUGAUUUACCUAACUUAAUUAAAUUUGAUUUAAUUAAAAGUUAAAUAAAUUAAAAUCCAUAUUAAUUAAUUUGUAUAUAUAAUGGUUAUAUAUUUUAUUAUGUUUGUUUGUUAUAGUUUUCGGAGCAAUAUGAACAAGAUAUAUUUCUGGAGAGCUACAAAGCACAUAACUUAGAGUUAAGAGCUGAAAUUUUAAGAUAAAAUACUUAUGACAAUUCUAACCAACUUUAUAGAAGGCAUUUGUGUCAUUUGGGUUAUAAAUUGUAAGUUAUUAGCUUCCAAUGUUGAAAGAAGGAUUUUGGCCAAGAACCCAGUUUCUGGGCAUGACACAGGGAGGCCAAGCAUCAGGAGCAUGCCAGCAGCCAUCUGCCGCCCACCAUCGCACACCAGCCACCCCUGCCACCCAUCAAUGCGCACCAGUUGUCCAUCCUCGUGUGCUAGCCAUGCCAAAAUGUGUUUUUGGACUGUUUUGUUUUUAUAUUUUUGCCAUUUUGAAGUAAUAAUUUGAUAUUUUUAUGAAUAAAGAAAAUUAAAUUGAAUUACUUUUCCAUUAAUUCAAGUCAGGAGGAGAUCAGAUAAAUUUAGAAGUUGAUGGUUUAAGCUACCAUCUAUGAGUGAUAAAAUGAUUCUAAAUAUGAUUUAUAAGCUACCAUUUAAAUAUGCUUUGAAAUGAUUAUUGAGCUAUAGUGAUUAUGAUAUCUUGAUUUGUAAUUAUAUUUAUGAAAAGUACUCGAGUAUGCUUAAUUAGAAAUAUUUUAUCAAAGCAUGUAUUUAUCAAUGAGAUUUGCAAACAAUGAUUUUUAAAAAGAAAACCAUGAUAUUCUAUAUACAGAGUUCUCGAAGGGUCAAUGUGCACAGUCUAGAGUAUGAGGCUUUGCUGACUACUUAGUCAACAACUACCAAGAUUUGACAAGAUAGUAAAACCAAUGGGUGCGCUGCUAUCUUGACCAAGAUUUGGGAGGAUGAUAAGACCAAAUGUGCUUUGCUAUUCUGACCGGAAUUACUAAAUCAUGCAUGGUAGGUUGAGCUAAUUACUACCGUGACUAAGUUUCAUGGAUAUAUAAUAUACAAAGAUAAAAUUGUAUUUGAAAGAUAGAAAGAGUUUAGCACAAGGAAGUUCUUAAGAUUUUAUUUUUAUGUCAAGCAUUAUGAAUGAUUUAUGUAAAACAUUAAAGUAUAUUUGUUUUAAAAAUAUUUUUUACAAAAUUUUCAUUCACUCGGCUUUUUAGCUCACCAUUUUCAAAUGUUUUUUUUAACUUUUUAGAUAGAGGUCGUGAUUCGAAAGCGUGCCGUUGUUUCCAAGUCUUCUAUGCAAAGUAGAUAGUUUUGUUGCUAUGGUCAGUUCUAGAUCCAUCUAUGUCAUGUACAUAAGUUUUGUUUUAGACUAGAUUAGUUAAGAUUUUUUUUUUAGGUUAAUGUGUUGUCAGUAAAGAAAUAGCGUUUAGCCUGAACUUAUUUUGAAUUAAUGUAAAGUUUGUUUCAAGUGUGUUUAUCGUACUAUCCACUGCAUAAGUUUUUAAUUUACUCGAGUUGUUUAGCAUGACAAAAAGGUUCAAAAGUCAGGGUCAAUUGGAGUUAUUCAAAAGGAGAAUGAUGUUAGUUGACUUCACGCCGUCUCUCGAAUCGAUAGUAGAUGAUCCAGUAGGAGGUGUGCCAUUAUUUAUAAAGUUUAUUGAUGAAAUAUUUUGAUAUUUGUGACAAACAAGUAAAUAAAAGUUGAUUAAAGAUAUAUAUAAUUAGUUGAAUACAAGAUUAAAAUAAUAAAAAUGAAAUAAAGUAUUUUGGAAACUUAAUUAAAUCUAUAUUUUUCUGAAAUCUUAAAAAAAAAUAGAUGUUAUGGAUUAGUUAAAUAUAUAUUUUAGAAAUUCGUACGUUUGGUUAAAUAUUGUAUGAUAAAUAAAUUUCAGAUUUUUAGUUAAGAUAUAAGACAAUAUGGAAAUUUAAAAAAUAAAUUAGAUGGAAUUAAAAUAGGAAUAGGAAUAGGAAGUACGUGGAUAACGUAAGAUACCACAGAAUGAGGGGCAAAGUGAGAAUAAGAAACGUGCUCUAAAACUUAUUAAUUCCAAUUUGUUUGCUAUAAUUCCAACCAGGUCCCCAAAUUUUGUGACUCCAUUCAAUUCCACGUCAUUCUGUUCUUCUUACAUGGGUAAUGUAUAAUAUUUGUCAACCUAGUUUGGGCCUGUAUAUAUUAUUUGGGGUGAUCAAUAAACUCAACCCCAAAUUUUGGUUUGAGCAACUCUUUUCAUAACUUGAUUAAUCUUCCAAUUCACUCCUAAGACACUAAGGAAAUGUGUGACAUUAGUUAAAUAAGGAAAUAACAUAGAUAAACAAAUAAUAAAAAAAAAAGAAUUUAUGAAUAGAAGGGGAGGAUUAUCCCCGAGGAGUGGAGAAGAAGAAGAAGAAGGUAGAGAAGGGUAAAAAGUGAUGUGAUGAUUUGACGUGUCAUAACAUUUUAGUUUUUAAAAGUGGGAAAGAAAAAGGGUUAAAGGAGAAAGAAAAGGCAGAGAAAUUGGCGCACGUGACGCUAAUAUCUAUAAUUUUAUUAUUAAAAGAAAGUAACUUCCCGCCAACUUAUGCUAACUGGGCCCCAUGUUGUGAGGUGUUCAUUAUGGAACCACUUCAUUUUCCUCACCUCUUGUCCUUUCCAUUUCUACUGCCCUAAUAUUCUUCCAUUUCUUUGCUCAAUCAUUUUAGUGCCUCGCUCCUUUCCCCCUUCCCAUUGCCUACCAUUUACUUCAUCAUCCCUUACCUUUUAUUAAAUCAUUCACUACUACUUACUUCUUCCAAAACACUUCUGGGUUUUUCCUCAAUAUCUAACUACACCCUACCUACAUCAUCAUUCUAGUUUCGUUUUUGUUUUACCCUUCUACGUUAAAUGAACACAUGCUGGGAAUAUUAUGUACCUUCCAAUUUUUUUAAUUCCCAUUAACCAAUCACGUAUAUAUAUAAUACUUUUAAGCCUUCAAACCAAUUUUGGUUAUGUAUAUGAAAGUCUCACUCAAAGGUGUAAUUCAAGAAUGACUUUAAAUAUAUCACAAUAUUGAUUUUAACCCUUCCAAAAUUACUAAAUUAUUUCCUAAACAAACUACAAUGGAGAGCAUGUUUAUAAGUGAUUUUGACAUGCCUAAAAUCUAGAUUGCCUUUGUCAAAAUUACUUUUAUAGUGAAGGAAAUAGUGAAGGGAAAAAGAGUACAUAUAUAAAUUUUUUUUUUUUUUUUUUUUUGUUAUAGCCACAAUUGUUUUUUUCCAAAACAACAAGAAAAUGUCGACAAAUCUAAUUCUUUAUCAACACAAAACAUGUGGGUGACCUCCAUGAGUUCUCUAUUUGUGGAUAUCUCUAAGCUCCACCAAACCUUCUAUCAAUUCUUUAACCUAAAUCUUUUCAUAGCAUAUCAUUAUUUUAACAUUAUUUUAUCUCACUUAUGAAUAUGAAAAUUGUUAAAACCACAUAAAAUAAUACAAAGUAACAUUAAUUGAAGAGGAAAAUGACAUUAUAAACAUUUUUCAAAGCAUAAUAUUUUGUUUUGGUACAAUGUUAAGUAAGCUUUUGAAUCACAAUGAAAAGUAGUUUUUGAUAUUGGUUUCCUAAACAAGCGUUUAUAUCAUGUUGAUGUCAUUUGAUGAUGAGUAGAAGAAGAGAGAGGGGGUUGUGGGGGAGGAGAUAAAUAAUAUAUGAUGGAGGAUUUGACCAUAUAAGGGAGCCCAUUAAGAGUGACAGAUGUGGAAGAGUUUGAGGCAACUUUAAUUGAUGAUAAAUGAAAAAGAAGAUCAGAGAGAGGAAGAAAAAAGGUAGGGGCAAAGUCAGAGAGUCAUCAAAUGUAUGCCAUGUUGAAGCUGGAUGGCAGCUGCGUAAUUAACAUAGACACUUAUAAUAUGGAGGACACUUCGUUGGGAGGUACCACAAUUAAAGAUGAGAUGCCAUAUCCAUCCCUUUCCAUUUUUAUUCAUAUAUCUCUUCAUAAGUCCUAACCUCUCUAAACCCAUCCAAAUACUGCAAAUAUUCUCUACAGCUUCCUGCACUAAUCAUUUAAUUCAAUACACCAAACUACACUAAUUAAUUAUCUAGAUAUAAAAAAUAAAAAAUUCAUUACAGAAGAAAAUCAAGUUCAAAUAUAUAUACAAUGUUUAUUUCAAAAAUAUAGUUAGAAAAUAUUACACAUUUAUGGUGUUAUAUAAUAUAUACCAUAUAUUGUAAUUUUGGUCUCAUGUCUAUCAAGAUAUAUAUUUCACCUUCUUUGUCACGUGUAUUCAUGUAUAUGUAGUCAUUUUGUAAAGAUAUAUCUCAUAUUAUAUAAUAAUAAUAGUAAUAAUGUUAACGCAGAGUAAUUAAAUUCCUAAAUUGAAGGGAAAAUUAUCAUAUAAUUCAAAUAAUAGUAAUUAAAUCAUAAUUUCAAAAAUUAAUGACAAGUUAUAUACUGUAUUAAUUGCUGCUUAAUUUUUUAAAAAAUAUUUAAUUAAAUUUCUAAUAAAAUUAAAUGAUAAAUUCUUUACGUCUAAUUUGACAAUAAUUACGCUCUCUCCCAAAAUCCAUUUCAACACCUGACUUUGUUGUACUAAAAAGAAAGAUGAAAUCUUAAAAUCAAAACAAUAACACCAACCACCUCUACAAUUAAUAAUUUGACAACUAGCUCUCAUAAUCUUUGCCAAAGUAAUUAUCUUACUUUACUUUGUACUAAUAGAGAGAUAAAAUCUUUAAAUCUCUUAACCAUAAUGUGUAUGUCUAGUAAUUAACAAUUGGAAAAAAAGCUGUUUUGUUCUUCUAUAGAUUUUGAAUUUAGUUUUGUACUUUCAAAAUGUUAUAGCUGAAAAGUUAUUAAGUUUUGAGUUUAUUUUUCAAAAAAAAUAUUUAUGUCAUAUGUGAUAAAAAAUAAGGUUAAAAGAACUGCUCUUCAAAACAAAACUAAAAACUUAAAGCUUUGUUUAAUACUCUUUAAUUUUUUUUAGCUUUUAAAAAUUAAGUCUAUUUUCCUCCCAUUUCUUAUCAUAAUUGGUAUCUUUCUCAAGUAUGAUGGCUGAAUUUUUAGUUCAAUUCCAAAACAUAAAAACUUCUUGAAAGCUACUCUUUUGUUUAGUUUUCAAAUUUUUGGUUAGUUUUUUAAACCAUUAGUAUAAUGUAGAUAAGAAAAAAAGAAAAUUGGAGGUGGAAAUAGUAACGGUUGGAUUCAUUAUUAUUAUUAUUCUCUAAGAAAACAAAAUGAUAACAAAAUAGACAAUAAGGAAGAAACUAGCACUAGUACCGAAAAAAGAGGAUCUCCCAAUGGAUAAAAGUGUAGUCGGAAGAGACAAGAACUCUCGACACAUUUAUACAAAAAGUGUCGUCCGGAGGCCGUAUGAGGUCAUUAGGGAGUUCUCUUUUAAAACCCCCAAAGCUAUUAGUGGUAAAUCGGAAGUUCCCUUCUAAAACUCGUUAGAUCUGCAAAAAAAACGUAAAUAUAUUUAGAACUCUUUCCUCAAAAUGACGAAACCCUUGCACACCCAAACCCUAGAUCUGCUUGCCGUCACUCACCGUCGUUCAAAGCCGCCUCUCCUCGCGGUCAUGUUUUUAUUUAUGGUAUGUUAAAAUCCGCUUGUACAAAAUCUUCUGAUAUUCUACUUUUAUUUUUGUAGAAUUCUGGUAAAAUUGCACCAUUGGAUGAGAUCAUCAAAAUGAAGGAGCAGUAUCGAUUUGGUGUUUUGUUGGAUGAAAGCAACUCUUUUGGCGUACAUGGCUGUACUUGAAGAGGUGUCACAGAACACUGUGGGGGUCGUUUUUUGUAAGUUUAUUAACAAUUUUUUUUGUUUUUCCCGGUAUUGGAUUUAGAUUCUUGAUGGCUACCAUUCUUUCAAAAGUGCAAAGUUUUUCUUAUUUAAUUGUGCAGCGUUUGAGCAGUUCCAGUUAUGUUUUUUCUACUUCAUUGGCUCUAUAUCUAACUAGUGCUGCCAUUACUGCCAUAGAUCUUAUAGAGGACAAGCCCAUGCUAUUAAAAAAGCUCAAAAAAAAAACAUAAACUAUUUUAUGGCAAGGUAUAUUAAUACUCUGAUCUCAUGUCUAGUGUAUUAGAGCUUAAUUUAAUUAUCUACAUAUCAGUUACCCUCCGUUGUUAUGUAAACAUUUAUUACAUCAUGUUUCCAUCUUUCCUCAAAGUAAAAAAUUGAAUGUCUAUCCAAUUUCAAACAAAAACAAGUUUGUAAAUUUUGUUUUCAGAGUUUCUAAAACGUUCCUUGUAUUUUGGAAACACAUUUCAAAUGUAGACAACAUAAGGAUAAAGGGGAUUUUCACUCUCACUUCCCUAUUCAGAAUAUUUUACACUGCGUAGUAUUGAAUAUCAGUCUAGCUGCCACCAUGAUAAGAUAUGCCUUAAUAUUGCCUAUUCGCUACAUGCAACCAUCUAAAAUGCAUCCUUUCUUUUUCAAAAUUUGGAUGUCAUUAUACUUAAUUAAAUCAAUAUUUCUUGGAGAAUCCAGAAUUUUCGUCUAAAUAUUACUUAAAAGCUUUUAGUUAACUACACUAAAUAAUAUUUCAAAACUCUCAAUUUGUUAUAGUAUUUAUUAUUUGCUACCGUUUUUACUAUUGAAAAUUCAUAAAUUUUUUUAUUCUUUGCAAUAGUGUUUAUUGUUUUCUUAUAAAAAUAAAAUAACCUACACACCAAAUACAUACUAUUAUAAUUACUCAAUUUAAAAUAAUCUACGUUUGAAACAAACAUUAUUCUAAUCAAACUACAAUAACUCACUCCUUUGCUCCCAACAUCCCCAAGUGAUCAAGAAUCAUCCAUGGUUGUCUUUGUCACAUGUUAGAUAAAAUCUACGGGUUCGAUACAAAAUGAUUUACAUAUGGAUGGAGAUAACAACUCACUUGGUCGUAGCAUAACUGCAUAUUAGUUUUGAGAUUUUAGACUCUAAUUUCUAAGUUAUUUUCAUAUUUGGAAUUUUUUUGUUGGUGUAUUUUUUAUAGGUGGAUAGAAUGGACAACUCACUUGGCCUUUGAAUUUUACUCAUUACCUUGUGACUUUCUUUCAUUGUAUUAGACAUCACUAGAUGUAUUAUGUAAUGAUUUACAAAAUUUUCAACUAUGAGGUGAAACUUGUGAUAUUUUAAUUGGAAUGAGUACACUAUACUUUGACGUCUUUGUUUACUUUGAAUGAAUGAGAACAGUUUGGUUCAUUAUUUUUAAUUGGGUUCUAAAUUUAAGGUUAGAGAGAUAAAAAAAAAAAAGUAAUUAUGGAAGUAAUUAAAUUUUUUUUUACCAAACUCCUGAUGACCUUUGUCAUUGUCUGAAGAUCAAAGAACUCCCGACAAGUGUAUUAUAGCCUCGAGAGAUCCCCUAACUCCCGACAUCGUAUGUAGGCAUUGAGAGUUAUCAUUAACUCCUGACAGUUGAUGUUCAAGCAUUGAGAGAGGUUCUCUCGAUGGGUAUUUCACAUAAUGAAACUCCCAACGCAUUUUUGGCAAUUUUUUUUACGAUUGUAGGCGUUAGAAGAUCAAACUUUUUUGUAAUGUAGGGGUCAAAAGGACAUCGAUUAGGUGUACCAAGGGGCUAAACAGAGUUUAAUUGUAAUAUAAUUAACAUGACUUUUCAUUCUAGAAGUGAGAUGUUUGAUCUUCAUCCCCACAACUAUUCUAUUAGAGAAAAUAGUAGUCUAAGGCUUUAUAUUGAUCCUCAUAUAACUCUGCACCCAAGAUAAUUGUAAAAUUGUUUACUAUAAAAUCUAAAUAUUUGGUACACAAAAGCUAACAUUAGAGCUAGUGGCGGAUCCAAAAAUUUUAAAUAGGGGGACACCGGACACUAUAUAAUAAACACACUAAAAAAUAUUAUUAAAAACUAUUACGACGUUUCACUAAUACUUCGAUAACAUUUACUACAUUUGUAACAAUAAAGAAUAUCGACAAUUUUCACAUGAUUUUUUGUAAUGCAAAUAUGUGAUUUUAAAAUUAUCAUAAAAAAGAAAAAGAAUAAUACAUUUUAGGUGGGAUAUUGAGAGAGUGGAAGUUUGGAUCACUCACUUUUUUCAUUUUUUUAAAAUUUUUGUUAGAUAAAUGAAGGCUAGAAAAUAAGUUAGGGUUUUAUUUUAGAUAGUCUUUUUCCUCCUUUUAAAAAUUUUUUUUUUUUUUAGGAAAUCAAAUUAUAUUUCUUUUAAGAAAUCAUUAAAAUUAAAGAAGAAAUUUGAUGUUUGAGAAAACAAAAUUAUUAAUAUUUGAAAAAAUAAAAUUGUUGAUGUUUAAAAUAAAAACUAUUUUAUACCAUCGAACAAGAAAUUUCAUAUUUAAGAAAAGAAAAUUGUUGAUAUUUAGAAUAAAAACUAUUUGAACUCACCACCAAACCAAAGGGUAGUGCACAAAUCAUAUCUCUAUUUUAUGUUUACUUGGCCUAAUUUCUCCUUCCUAUGCAUUAUAAUGACUGACCAAUGGGAUCAUAAAUCAUCUUUAUUUUGUUUGAAUGAAUUUAAAAAUAAAUAUAUGAUUUCUUCAAAAUGAAAAUUUUGGGUGGCAAAAAAAAAAAAAAGAAAAUUCAUAUCAAUUUCUUUUGAAAUGGAAAUUAUACAAUUUAUGUAAUCCAAAUCAUAAAACCGAUUUUUUAUUUCCCAAUAGCUAGUCUAGCAUAAGUAAUUAAUUGUUUAAAAAAAAUUAAAUGAAAUUUUGAUCAAAAUCUGGUAAAAAUGGAGAAAAAUCGAAACUCCCCUCAAGUCAUGAGCUGAAAUUUGGAAGCUAUCAAAGUAUUUCACUAUGACAAUUAUCAACUUAGUAUAGGAAAGGGAUAUUUGAUUUGUAGAUGGAAUACCCAAACCCACCUCUUUUAACCAACAUGUUCCUUUCACACUAUUACGAACUAAUUUUAUACACAAAAUAUAUCGUAACAUGUAAGGCAUUUCUCAAAUAUAUAAAAUGAAAAGUAAAAGAAGUGUAGUUGAAAUUUUAAUAAACGAAUUUGAAUUACUUAUCGGUUGAAAAUGAAACCAAAGUUCCAUACCCAAUUAGAUAAGGAGAUAAUUAUGAGUUAUGAGUGAGGACAACUAUCUCCAUUAGAACGGGGACUUUUCAGAGUUAUACAUACUCAAAGCAAAACCAUGAGGGUAAUGCUCAAAACGGAUAAUAUCAUACAAUUGUGGAGAUAUUUAAAGAGUAUGUUGUCCUAACAGUUGGUAUCAGAGUCAUGCCACUAACUUAACCAUGUUGGUUGAAUCCUUAAAUGUAGUAGAGUCUUGAAAUAGGUCCUGGUGAGAUUUGUGGUUGAACUCUAUUGGAUAGGCACAUUGUACUUCAAAGAUAGGAGUUAGCCUAAAUAGAGUUACACCAAUGAAUGAGUACUAUUUGAGGGAAGACUCGAUUGUACUCUCUUCGAAGAAGAAUUGUUAGGAAUGUUGUUGUCUCGAAAGACAAUAGCAUGACCUCUUUUUACACAUUUCCUCUCAAACUUAUAUAUAUAUAUAUAUAUAUGCCUACAUACGUAUAUACAAUACAUUUUUAAUGCUUUAAAUAAUAAAUUAUUUUAUUUGUUGGUAAACUUAGAUGAUAUCAAAUUUUGAGAUUAUAAAAUUUACGCAUAAUUAAUCAAUAGCUUUUUGUGUAUUUUUUUUAUAUCAUCUUGACAUAAAUUAAACCUUUCAGUUCUUAUAAAUUAGUUUUUAAUAAUUAUUCAAAUGUGUUUAUAAAAAAUAGAAUUUAUUGGAGACACGUCAUCCUUUUUACAAAACGAUUCCAAACACAAUAUCAAAUGGACUGAAAACGAUAAUUAAUCUGUUGGAAUAAACCUUAUUUUAUGGUGCUCUAGAAGUAUCUCGUAGGCCAUUCACUUUCAUUACCCAACAAUAUUAUGAGUUUGGUUGACCUACCAUAACUACCACGAAUAUCAAUUAUCUUUUGAAGCUCAUCUUUUAAAAUUUUACACAAACUUUUAUAAAUCAAAAGUUGGCCACAAACCAAGAACGCACAUAGAUACACCCAUAAAUUUCUUUGUAUAAUUAAUUUCAGUAUUAAAACUAACAACAACAUAUACCUAAACCUUUCAACCUUAAACUAAUUAAAAUCAUGAGCUAAACAUCUAUAAAUUAUCUUAAUGUUAUACCUUUUUUUUUUACUAUUUUUUUCAUCUAUGCAAUUUGUUGUAUAUGUCAAGAGCAUCUUAUCUCUCUGAACAGUUCUUCUUUAAAGAAUAUAUUUUUUUCUCGUUGAAGUAUUUUUUUACCUUUAGAGAAAGAAGCUGACAUAUACAUUCAUCACCUUGGUGACUUUUAGGGCUAACCCUUUGAAGGUGGAACAAUAUGUUUCACACAAGUGGUUGUGUGAUGAAGCAAUAAAGUGUUCAUCUCUCUAUGGUUGUCUGUUUGUUUUGUUUUGAAGUACAUGUCGAUGUAUCCACUUUAGUGGGAAAAAAAAGAAUCCUGUUUUGAUAUCAUACUUAUAAGGAUCUAAAUUCUAGUUUUGAGCGGGAUUCUUACGCUUAGUAGCUUAAUGUCACAAUCCGUUAAAUAACAACCUCCCUGUGAGUCUAAGCUAAUAAAUUUGAGUUGAUGUGUAUUUUCAAAUUAAACAAAGAGAUGAAAAUUUUGAUAGUACAGUUCGAAAGAGAUCUCAAGUUUAUUAGGAGAAGCCUAAACUUUUCAGUAUGAGGAAACUAUUUGAGAGUCCCAGUGGAUGAUACUAACAAUAUUGAAUUAGAGGUUGAAACCGUUUUGGGGAUGAGAACCCCUAUUUCUCUAUCACUAAAAUUCUCUGAUUAGUAUGAUUACAACUCGAUCAAAGCUCCUCAGACAAAGAAUGAGUCCUUCAUAACUCAAUGUUUGAACACUAUACAAGAUAGAUAGGAUGAUCAAUUCUUUACAUACAACUCAACACAUGGAUUAUAAAAUUCAAGAAGCUCUCCUUUGCUAAACUUGAAAGAAGCAAAAAAACUAAAUUUAAUCCAUCAUACAUCUUAUCAAAACGAUUUAAAUGGUAAAAUUUUAACAGCUUUCCAAAAAAAACCCUAAUGAUUAUAACAAAAUUACAAAAUUUAAUAUUGCAUAGAAAGGAUUGAAUUAGAAUUAAUUAUUUGAUGUCGUAGAUGGUUGAUGCUAAUAAGUAGAAGUAAUUCAUUUUUAUUGAAACAACAUUCAAACCAAUUUGGUUAGAGUGAAAUAUGGAAUCUAAAAGAAUCUCAGAACCGAAACUGAUUCAAAAUUGAGAAAUACUACAACAAAACGAACAUGAAAAAAAGAAAAAAGAAAAAAAAAAGACCUCAGGCGUAAGCAGUGCUGAAAAAGGAUUUGAGGGUAGAUAGAUUGAGAAUGUUAAGAAGAAAGUGAUUGGUAGUGCAUCUUGGGGUCUUAAAUUGGCUAAGUGCAGCUCCAUUUCCAAUAUAAUGUUCCAAAAUCUUAUUAAAACUCCCUCUUUCCACAAUUCGAAGCUCAAGCGGUCCAAUGGAAUUAGCCUUUCUUGAAACCACGUAGCCAUAGUCAACAAAAGCAGCAUCCAUUUCUGAGCAACACAUUCCCAGAACUUUGUCAUUUACAUCUCCUUUUAAUUCCCAGAAGAUGACGUAGUGGCCUGGUUGGUUCGACAACUCAGCAUAGCUGGUGAAGUCAACUAGUUCGGCUCCACUUAGCUGGCUCAUUAAUUGGGAGCCUCUUUCAACAGCCAAUUGAACGUCUUUCUCAGUGUUUUUGUCUAUGUUUACGGUUAAUACAAGCUUUCUUCUGCAUAUAAAGUUUAGUUUCGGGGUUUUGUUGUGAAAGCCAGCUACUUCUACUACAUCUCCUAAUCUGCAUCUAUAUAGUCCUGCACCGUUCAAUAACAUAUUCAUUCAAUAUUUAACCUUCAAUUAAAUUAAACCCAACAAACAUACAUCUGCUUUUGUUUCUUAUACCUAUCUAUAUAUAUCUAUAUAUUUAUCUACACACACACAAUUUUAUCUUUAGCAUUUCAAUGCAUGUAUUCAAGGAAAUGAUGAAUCUCCCUCUACUGCUUAAUUAUAUAUAAAAAAAAAACCAUUAGGAAUCUUCAAAUAACUUGACAAUCAAAAUUAGUUUUAAUUUUAGAUCAGGUGGAAUUGAAUCUGUAUGUUUUUAUUGGAUUGUAUUCGGGUUGGUCCAACCCCAGUUCAAUCCACCCACAUCACCAGAAGUGGUACAAAUUUGAUAAAUAUAGAAAAAUUUGUAAAACUGAUUGGGCAGGAUUAAAAAUAGUUUGGUGAGAUUAUUUAUUGAUGGAGCAUUUUAGUAAUUUUAUCAUUUACUAGUAAUUUCGUUUAGUAAUGCAUGAUACAUGGAAAUGAGAGUAUGUUACUGUCAAUACCCAUAAUAUAUUAUAUAUAUGUAAAAUGAUAAUUCAUUAAUGCAUGUCGGAAACGUAUAGCAGAAUUACAUAUUUGAAAGCUGUAACAUUUGGAGCAACUUUGAUUUUAAGAACCAAAUGUUUGCAAUAGUUAAAACCAUCAUAUAGUAUAUCCUCUCAUUUUUUUGAAAUUAAAUUUAAACACUACUACUAUCUAUUCUAUCAUCAUGUUUAUAGAAAAAGGGAAGAUUUAACUUUUUAAAAAAUAGUAUUUACUUUUUUUAGAGUUAGGACUAAAAAUUUAUAUAUUUGUGGAACUAAUAAUUUUGUUAGAAAACAAGGAAGAAAGUUUAUGUAAUCAUCCUCUUAAAAGAAAAGUUUAUGUAAUCAUUGUGAUGAAAUCAAAAUUUUAUUUCAAAUAAUGGACCCAAAUAAGGUAGGUAAAACAUUAGGAGGAGAAACAAUUAGGGAUCAAAUCAAUGAUCUAUGAUUACCCUACAAUGAUACAUAUAAUAUGAUAUUUUGUAAUAGUAAUGGUAGACAUAAUGAUAAGGAAUUAGCUAAUUAAACGCAAGCUUUAAUUACCCUUUUCUAGACAGAAAAAAAUAUCCAAUCAAACAUUUAAUUAAUUUGAAAUAAUGAUAAUUUAAUUGGCAUGUUCUUAAUUGAAACCACAUGAAAUCGGAAAAAGGAAAAAAAAUAAAAAAAUAAAAAAAUAAAAAGCAGCAUAGAUCGUAUAUAAAUGAAAAGUGACGGACCUGUAAAAGUAGUAAGAACAAGCUCAUACUGUUGUCCAAUCUUGACUUCAGACAAAGCAAUGGGUUGGCCUUCCAAGAAAUCAUGAAUAGCAGUAUCGGCGGAAGAAGUGGUAGCAUGUUGUUUAAAAAGCGGUAUGAAUUCAAAAUAAGAGAAGGUUGGAAUUACUGCAAAAGUAACAUUUUCAGGUGGUAAAUAUGGGUCCACAUUAACACCAAUCCAACUCUCCGUUGAUCCAUAAUCACCACUAACCAAAGGUAAUCCUCCACCAUAAUGUCUCAAUUUCUUCAAAUACGGCUGCAUCGAACCCGUCAUUAUGGAAUAAACAUAUUUACAGUUAGGCCAUAACUUUGGUAUCAAACCCAACCAACCCUCCUUCAUUAACUCUUCACAAACCCUCCUUAUCUUCCACCCCAACUCCGGCUUCGGACUCAUCACCUUCAAAACAGCUUUACGGAUUUCGGGAAUAUCGAUUCUUGAAGACAGUGUAGCAUGUGAAAGAUCAUGAAUCAUUUCCUCCCAACUCUCUUCCAAUUGGUUAAAUGCUUGUACUAUUGUGUAGGCGAAAGUUGAUGUCACGAAUUCCACUUCCUCCGAAUACAAUAGGCCUAAUAGGAGAUGACAGUAUGUUGAUUGUUUAUAGUCACAUCCCGUAAUCACUUCUUGUGGACUACACGUAAAGGAUUUGGUUUUGAGUUGCUUGAUUUUGAAUUCCUCACUUGCAUAAUAAUGUGUUGUGGCUGUUCCUGUUGUUAUGCCUCCUUUCGUUUUCGUUUGUUUGCUACUGUAAAUGAAUUCUAGGAUCUUCCCUCCAUCCCUUAUGGGAUAAACCCUAAUAAUUUUUUUUUAAUUUUUGUUUUUACAGCAGUCAAAUUACGAAUAAAUAUAUAGUCAAUAAAUGUUGUUUUUGUGUUCUGUUCGUACCUGGAUCUAUAAGCAGCAGCUAAGCGAAAAAUGAGAAGAGUAGUCUGAGCACUAUGGGGAGUAAAGGGAACGUACUUUUGUCUGCCUUCAGUAGUGCCAGAACUGGUAAGGCCAGAUGAAUUGAAUUAAAAAUAAAAUGAAUAAAAAGAAUUGAAUGGGGAGUACCGGGUACGUACCUGAGAGAAAGAGUGGUGAUGGGUUGUUGAGUGAGCAAAGGAGAAGAGUCGCCAUCUGCGAUUCGUUGAAGGAAGGGCUCGAAAUGGGCGUGGGAAGAGAGGGGGAUAGAGGAAGUGAAGAUAGAGUGUAAUGUGAAGUCAUCAGGAAUUUCAUGGAUAUUGACAUCUCCAACCCAUUUUUUUAAGUACUCUACACCAUAAUUCUGUUGGAGAAUCUUACGGAGAGUGCGGGAUUGAGCCAGGGCUGCUUCUGAAGAAACUUGCUCGAACCAACCAAUUAUAUCUUCCUCGCCUUCCAUUUACUCUCUCUGUUUUUUUUUUUACAUUUAUCGAUCUCUUUCACGAAGAGUUUAUAUGUUUUUCUAGUAAAGGGGGUGAAGGGGGCCAGAUUACUUGUUCGAACUUUGAAGGAUCACUAAAAAAUAAAGUAUCUACUACUGCUAAAAGUUGCACCGGGCGAAUUGAAUGUACGACAGAAUACACACCACAAAACAACAUCAUUGUGUUAUCAUCUUAAGAAAGAGAGAGAAAGAGAUUAGUGUGUGUGUAACAAUGGGGGUGGGAAGAGAGAGAAUAUGUGUUUCAGAAUGGAGCCACAUCCAAACAAUAAAGACACCCACCUAUAAGCUAUUAUCUUUUGUUUCAAUCCAAAAAGCCUCAAAGCCUCAAAGCCUAUGAAAUAAAAAAUAAAGAAUAUGAAUUUAAUUAAUGUUUUAGACCUUCCAAAGUAUAUAUAGUCAAUUGUCAAAAUGGAGGUUGGAAUGAAAGUAAAAAAGAAGAUGAAGAAGGAUGAAAGGGAAAUGUAAUAACCCAAAUUGAAUAAAUUUGAGUAUUCCAAAACAAAAUUAAAGUAAAAGGGAAAUGCAUUGAAAGGGUGAGUUUUGAGAGCGGGUAAGGAUAUUAAGAGUAUGGGCAAAUCAAAUUGAAACAGGCAUGGCCUUGUGGGGACCUCUUAAUUUUCUUAUCUCUGCACGUAGUCUGCACUCUACAAUUUCUCUCUUCCAACAACACUAACAAAUAACUUACUUCAUCCACACCAAAACAAAUUACAUUUCUCAUUUCCACCUAUAUUGCUUUACAAUUUACUGCUACAAAUUUCGGAAUUAACAACCUCAAUUUUUUAUCCCUCACACUUUUUUUUUCUCCUUCAAUCCUCCACUGUUAACAAAUUGUAUCAUUUAAUCACACUUUCCAAAAUCUUUCAUAUCAAAAUUGUUUAUUGUCAACAAUACACUACAAAUGCUCUUCUUUAUGUGCCUAUUCCUUUAUUUACCUCACUUUUUCCUCAUUUCCUUAUCCACCAUAUUUAUUUUUUGUUCCAAUCUAAAAAAUGCUUAUAUAUUGAUACUUCUUCAGCGCUGUUAUUUUUUUAGAUCACAACCCAUCUUCUACUAUCAUAUAAUUACUUAUUUCAACAUUUCUCUAUUCUUAAAACAAACUAAUGUUUGGGAUUCAACCAGAUGCAUUUACCGUUAUCCAUAUAUGUUUAUAAACAUCUUUAUAUUGGUAAUGAAAUUUUAAAUUACAUUGUCUUCCAUAAAAAUUUUACAAGAAUCCAAUACAUAAGUUGUAAUAUAAUAAAAUAUAUGUAUGGGUCACCUAAAAUAGUGAAAACUAACACAUAAAUGAAUUGACAUGAUCUCAUUGUCCACGCAUUCUUCAAAUAUCUACAAAUUUGUUGAAAAUGAGCAUUAAUUAACAUUCUUUAAGUAUAUGCCAAUCAGAUUUCAUCUUCUUGAUAAGCACACACAAAUGAACUUUUGAAAAGUAGCCAAGAUAAAAUAGUGUUAAGAUCUAGCUUAAUCAUGCACAUUUCAACGUUUUCGACUUCUCUAUUAUUUUGUAGAAUCUAAUACACGUAAUAUUUUUAAUAAGAACUUCAUCCAAGAUAACUAAUUGGUCAAUACCACCUUGCCACAAUAGCCAACAAUUGUACAAGGGAAGAUAAGAUCAUGGUUGAGUGAACAAAUAACAAAAAAAGUGCAAAACUCUACUAGAUGAUUCAAGCACUCACAGUCUAAGUAAUUGAUAAUAUCAACAGAAACAAGACGUACUAUUCACGGCAUCUUUGGUGAAAACUUGUAAAUAAUUGUGUCAAUUAAGUUGAAAGAAAAUCAAAGUCUCCAAUUGUAUUCAACUUUCAAUUAGAGUUCACAAUGAUAUAAUAUAAUUAAUUAAAACACAAGAUCACAAAAAAAAAAAAAAUUAAAAAAGACUCUCAAAACCAUCUUAUUAAAAGUUAAAAGUAUAGCUAAGUGUCCUUUUACUGUGAAAAAAUCAUAUAAAUUUCCUAAAAAGUGUUAAGUCAUACUUUAACUCUUGAGAUGAUUUGAAAAGUACAUAAAUUUUCAUUUUGACUACAAAAGAGAAAAGCAUAUAAGUGGUACUUUUAACUCUCUAAACAAUCUAGAGUGUAAUUGUCAUUAACUAUGAAAAGCACAUAGCUUCUUACAAAAGGUCUCCAACAUAUUUAAACUCUCAAACCCACCUAAAAUCAUAGCCAUGCCCUUAAACCAUAUAAAACAUUUUUCUUAAAAGAAUUCAUGUGUGUUGCUUCAACUCUCAAAACCUCCCACAUUCAUAAAAUUGUACUCAAGUGUGUCCUUUUGAUAAUGAAAUAUAUAUAUAUAGGAAGUUAUUCGAAAUCUACAUUACCAUUCGAAACAAUCUAAAAAGUACAUAAGUGUCUUUUUGACAAUAAAAAACUAAAAUGUCAAAUGUACAACUAUGAUAGCUCUAAUAUAUCACUUUCCUAUAUCCAUAAAGAUACAUAAAUAUAUUAAGUAAAAAAAUAAACUUCCAACUUUUCCCUAAACAUUCAAGAUGGUGUCAAACUAAAAGAAAAAAAAAAACGAAACAUAACUAUAAAGAGUGGAAUGGAUUGAUCAAUUGCUAUUAUUAUUAACAAAAUUGUGAUAAGAUAUUAAGUAUACAUGGAUAUUACUUAACUAUUGCGCUUUGAAUUGAACAAUCCUAUGUAGUUAUUAAAUAACAAAGAGAACAUUUAAUUCGAAUAUUAGAAUUGAGUUCAAAGUCAUGAAUGUAAAUUCAGAUUUAGUAGAUUCUUAUGUCAAAAAAAGAGUAUCUAGAAGCUAUGGUCACAAAACAAACUUAUAAAUCUUAAUUAAAACACUUAGAAAUCAAUCUACAACUAUAAAUAGAAAGUUUCCAACAUUUUUAAAGUUCUUCAUAGUAGAAUUUUACCAACUGAAUAUCCCCAAACAACUCUAACACCCUGUUGGCUUGUGUUUAAUAAGCUUAACCCCACUUAAUGAAAGUGGAAAGUUAUUAGGGUCCCAAAAGUGAUACCAAGUAAGAGCAUGGUUGUGGUGAAGCAAAUCCCAAAAUUGUUCUGUGAAUGAAACUUUUGUCGCCCUAAAAGCCAACUUAAAAUUAAACAACACACCAUCGUUAAUCCUCAACCUUGUUGAUAUAAAAAUAAGAACAAGUGUGGAAUUGUCUUUCACAUACCAAGAGCAACAAACAAAAGGUAAAAUUUAAUUGAUAAAAAUAGAUACACACCUUUAAUUCAAAUAACACUAUAAAACCGUGUGUUCUCCCCCAAAUCGUGGAACCUACAACUUCUAUGGUUUUUGUUUUUCCAUACAACAUAACCAUAUUUGAGUAAAUUAUCGGGAGGUAAAUUAAGGCAAAAUUAAACUUGUACCUCAACAAAAAUUGCAAUAUAGAGUUGGACUACGAAUUAUAGGAGAAAGAAAACAAGUGAAAUGGAAAUAGUGAAUAAAAUAAAAUCCAACAAUGUAAGGCCCUAAACGCAUACAACCAACGUGAUGAAGGUCUUGUGAUAAAAACAAUGCUCGAAGAGACUCCUGUUAGUAUAAAUGCAAGUUUACGACUGAGUUACGCGAUAAGGAUCCUUACAUGGACAGGGUGCACAACGGUCAAAUGGAGAAGUUAACAUAUUUUACCCAAAUACAGGAUUACUUUAUUACGUACAUCCCAUAGAGACUGGAGUUUUAGUUCAAGUGGGAGUUUGUUGAGAUGUAUGUUCUAAAACUCGUCGAUUGUAAAUAUAAUCCAUUGGUUAUUAAUAAAGUGUUAUUAUUAUAAUUUCAAUAAACAUUAUUGAUUAUAUUAAUAGUUUUGUCUUAAUAACCCAAAUUCAAUAAACUAACAUCCUAAGUUGUUUGAUGAGUUUUGAACAGUAUGUACAGACACAUAGGGAUCAAUAUUUGAGAUCGGUUUCAAGGGUCUAUAGUAUAGGGAUAAGGUUGAGUACUUUAUAUCCUGGUAACUCUAUGAAUAUGACUCACUUUGUAUUUGAUAUAAACACAAUGAUCCAACGCAUUCAUGCAUGUGGCAUACAAGUGAGAGUAUCCUAUGUAAUGAGUUUGCAUAAGAUCGGACCACGAAAUAAUAACAACUAGAUGUAACUUCAUUAAUUAGUUAGGUUUCUAUUUCACUAGGAUGACCUAGGUAUCUUAGUCUUAAUCCAGACUGUAUUAUGAACUUCUGUUCGCAAGGGAUUAUCCUUUGAUUUGUACGGGUGAGAGUGGCUAGAUCGCAAACUUAAUAUAUACUUAUCAUUUUGAGGACAAGACCGAGUGAGGAGCUGAAAACAUAUAUAAUUACACAAGAUGAAAUUCACUCUCUCUCGACUUUAGGGUAAGUAGAAGAGUGUACUCUUAAAUGGUGUCUCUACGACUUAAACAAAGGGCUCUACCCUCUCUAUGGCAUGAAAGAGGUUUCUGUUUAUUGGUUAGACUAUAAAUAGGUUGUUCAUUAGAGGAGCAUUGGUAUUAAAGGGCUAGAAGUAACUUAGGGGUAAAAUGAUAAUUUGAUCCAACUAAUAUUACGAACCCUAGUGAAAGACUAACUUACUGUUAUUGGUCUAUAUACGUGGACAUAAAAAUAUAUCUCUAGUGAGAAGAGUUCAAUUGUGAGUUUUUAGUGGAGUGUACACAUAGUUAAUGAAUAUUAAUUAAUUUGGUUAAUGAGUUUAGUCAAUUAAUCUCAUAUCGUUGUAUCUUCUGAUCUAUAGGUCCAUUAUGUCUCCUUCCCAGCUUGUAAAGGGUAAUGAAAUUUAUUUAUAUUGGUUGUAAUUUGAAAUGUUCAAAUUUACUUUGGGAAUUAGUAUAAUGUAUGGUGAUACAUUAUAAUAUAAAGUUUAUAUGUUAAUCAAAUUUUAUUGUACAAAUUUAAUUUUAGAUAUAAUUCAAAAUUAAUUUAAUGUGAACUUGAUUCAUAUUAAAGUUAUUGGAUACGAGAGAAAUUUAUAUUUGAAGAUAUUUAAUUUAGUUAUUAAUUGAUUGGAGAAUUAAUUAAUAGUUUAGUUAAUAUUAUUUAAUUUAAUUUAAUUAAUAUAUAUUAGAGAAAUAUUCAUUGAAUAAGAUUUUAAUAAAAUAUUCAUUACAUAUAAUUUAAUUAAUUAUUAACUAAUUGAUUAAUGAUUACUUGAUUAGUUGGUUUGAAAUUGUUAUUAAUUUAAUAUUUUUAAAGUUAAUAGAAUCCUAUGAUUUUCUCUUACUCGAGAAAGGAAAGAGGCCUAUAAAUUCCUGAAAAGAGGGUUAUAAAUAUGUCGAAGAAAAACAUGUUUUUUUAACCAAAAUUAAAACAACUGAUUUUGCUUGUAUGUAAAAUAGUUUCUCUCUAGACUUUUUCUCAUCCCAAUUGGUUUCCACAAACCAAUCUAAUCCAGGAGGGUAGGAAGACCUUGGCAAUGUUCCAAUUUGGAGCUUUAGUAGAUUCAGAGACAUUAAAGUAAGUAAGUUUUUCAUUCUCCAAUCUAUAAUUAGUAAGCAUGUUUAGCCUUUAAGUUAUAAUAAGAAAAAUAGUUUAUGUAUUAUUUUGUCAAUGUAUUGGUAUUUUGGGAUUUCCAAAUUAAUUUGAGAAAUGGUACUGUAAAAUCUUUUGCUGUUAUAGGUUUUUAUCCCUUCAUUUGGUUGUUCUUCAAUUAAUUGUUAAGCGCUGUCAAUGUGAGCUUUUAGUUUAGUAAACUCCCUGACAUGCAUCUCUUGAUCAUAUAAUGAAGAUGAGGAACUGCCAACAACCUUUUGAGACUUUGGCCUAGAGCCCCAACCAAGACCUUUUAAGUAGUCCGAUCAUUUACCCAAAACAUCCUCGUAUAUUUUGUCUCCAAAGAGUGGUUGGAAACCCUCUAGGGUGUGCUGUUAGUGGAGUUCUAGCAUUUGAUUUUGCAAGAAAAUGUUUAAUUAAAUCAAACUCGUACAUUAAAUGUACAUAAAAGGACAAAAGUUUUCAUAAACUAACAUGGACAUUCGUGACCGCCUGCAAAACGAACUGGCCACUUCGAGUGUGUGUUUCUCUAAACAAUUUCACUCGGCCAACUGGUUGACCAUGUUGUUUAGUGAGCUCAUGUUGUCGUUGUAGAAAUGACUUGGAUCCCCUGUUAUGGUUGUAGUGUUGCUUCACUCUAGCAACCCUGCUCAUUCUUGAUUGUUUUUACAUGCAAACAAUCAAAAUUUUACAUACAAACAACAAAAAUGAACUAACGUUGAGGAACAUUAAUUUUCAAGACCAUUCAAAGGUAAAAAAAAAUCUUAAAACAAAUGGUUAUUAAAGAUUUUAUUUUUCAAACUUUUCUUUUAGUUAUGAAAUGAGACAUUUUUAAAUAUUUACGAUGUAUAACCAAAUUCUGAAUUCUAUCGCUAAUAGACACGGAUAGACUUCUAUCACUCAUGACUAUUAAUGUCUAUUACUGAUAGCAAUAUUUUGUAAAUUUUGUUAAAAUUAUGAAAAUGUAUUUUUUGAAACAUUUGAAAGCUUAAAAUAUAUUUUUUUUUAAAAAAAAAAAAGAAAAAUGAGUAUAUGAGUUUUGUUUUUCAAAACUUUGGUUAUUUUUUAGGGUAUAAUGAUAAAUUAUUUUAUAAUUUAGCCCUAUUUGUAUUUCUAAAAGUAAAGCUUUCCAAGGAAUAUGAAGGUAAAUACAGAGUGUCAUGCGCCAAGUAAUCAAUAAAAAGGGAAUAAAUGAAUCCAGCAUUAAAAGCUCUCCGGGUGAGUGAUCGUCUAAGAUACACACUACCGUGUCGCUCAUGUCAAAUAAUUAAUAAAGGAACCACAGUCACAAAUAUAUAUGAUUUCCCAAUUAAUGUUGAACAUUGAAAAAUAUUUCACGAUCAAGUCAAUUAUAAUAUAGCCCAUGAAAUUAAAAUUGAUAAAUGAUCCCACUAAAUAAUAUAUCUAAAUCAGAUUCUUCUGGGUAUUCUUUUCCUUCAUCCUUUCUUUGAAGCAGAUAAAAAAAAAAAAAAAGAACAGGCCACUGAGCUAUAAAAUGAACAAAUUCCGACUACAAAUAAGGCAUGUUAAAUUACAAUUAGUGUCUUAGAUGAAAAAAAAAAACGUUGAAAAAAUGGAAGGAAAUAAAUAAAUUAGCGAUAAGAUCGAAGAACAGAUCCACAAAAGGUACAGAUGAGGGCUCUCCAAGAUUUCCAAUAAAAUGGAACAUGACAGAAUCUAACAGCGGUUUUCAUAUCGGCAACGCUGGCUCCUCCACCGCAUCUGGCGCAAAUUCCAGGGGCCGGCCUACUUCGGCGCACCUUCCGCUUCUGAUCCACCAUAAAGCAAAAGAAAACCAUGGUGUGGUGGUCGGAGCUUCGUUGGUUGGGAAUGAAAAGCUUGAGGUCAGUGAACAUAUUUAUAGGGACGUAGAACGCGGGCAGUGUGUAGGUUAAAAUUUUUAAAGCUCCACCGUCCGAUUUAAAUAGGUGAUGGUCCUCGUUAUUAAUAUUGAAUGAAAAUCUGAAAGAAGCUAGGUUGAAGAAUUAAGAGGUCAAUGUUGAUUUACAGCUGGAGUCUUUCAACUAUUGUUGGACGGGGAAAAAUAAAUGUUUGAAAUCUUGACUGUACACGUGGCCAUCCUAAAUAUUCAACUGACAAAUUUUGAUUCUUGGCAGUUGAUUUAUUUUAAUGCUGAUGCCACUUGCCUUGGGUGGCCCUCUUUACUAUCUCUCUUUUCAUUCUUUUUUUCUUAUUAUUAUUAUUUAGUGACUAAUUUUGUAUAAGAAAGAUUUAGAUGAAAGACUUAAAUUUACUAUCAUUUUUCUAGUUUAUUUUCUUAAUUAGGAAUUUAUAAUUAUUAUUAAUAAUUUUCGUAACUUCUUUUGUAUCUUUAUUAUGGUAAUAAAUUGAAAAUAUUGUUUUAACUUCCUUAUCUUUUGAGAAAUGGGCUUGAAGCCCAAAUCGAGUUAAAUCCAAGUCCAGAAAAUACAAGAUGUGGGAAAUGGGAUCCAUUUGGAAAGUGUUCGUAAAGCUGGAUGAUACGAUGACAAGAGAUCCUUCUUCUCUAAAGACGAAUUUUCCAACAUCCCACACCGUCCUCAGCUUCAGAUCUACUUCAUUCUAUUCUACUUCCUCUUCCUGCAUCUCUAAGCUUUGUUAAUGGCGAAACUGGAGCCGCUUGACGGGGUAGCCAAAGAUAACAAUGUGUCUAUAAAGAAGCAGAAGAGAAAUAAUCAUGGGUCUACUUCAUUUUUCGUCUUCGUGGAUUACCUUUUCCUAUCCAUCUUUUUUGGGUUCCUCUGCUUCAUCCUCUUCAAGAUGUUCGGUGUCUGAGAUUCCCCAAAUACAGAGUUUCACAUUCCGUUUUGAAAAUUAGGUUUUCAUUUUCUCUAUUUCGAUUCUACUUUAUCAUGCCCAUUUGAUUCUUGAUACACGUAGGGUAUUGUUUGUGGCCUACUGAUGUUUAUGAUAUUUGGGAGCUGAACAUUGCUUUUUGAUUGAAAACCAAACCCCAAUAUCCAUCAUUGUAGUGUUAAUUUUCCAACCCUUCAAAACUUUGGGAGGACGAAGUUGUUUCUUUGACCUGUCUCAUUUCCAAUUCUGUCAACGUUUUUUCCGAAUGUUAUCUUUUUGGGGUUCCCCAAAUGUUGACCUCAAGUGUCUUACCCUGCUGUUCGUUCCCAUCAAAGUAGCUGUAAAUUUAUUGCUGCAAUCUUAAUUCAGUUCUUUAUGAUUCUUAAUUUCAACAUGAUAGCCAAAUGAAGGAAAUUCAGGUCCGUUAAAAGUACAGAUUUGAUUCUUACACUUACAAGGAGGAAUGAUCUAGAUUAGGCUGUAUCGUUCUGUUUCCUAACUGCUUGAUUUUUUUUUCUUUCUCGAUCUAGUUUGGUUCUCUGAAUUCCCUUGUUUCAAUUGUACCUGCUUUUUUACUCGAUUAAUCAAUAUCAUCAUAAAGAUUCACGUUUGGUGAAUAAUUGCAUUAAAGUAAUGAGCUAGUCUUUGUCCCCCUAGUGGUCCGAAAGACAGUAUCAAUUUUUAUUAGGAUAUCAAUGUUCAACUGUGUUUCUUAAUCCUGAUUGUUCUAGAUGCACCCGAGGGGAUAAUCAUUAAACAAAUACCUUGAUCUAGUCCAUGUUUCAUAAAUAUAAUGCCAUACAUUCGUUGAGAAACUGGCAUCAACAUUGUUUUCUUAACUAGAUUGAUUCUACUUUUAACGAAAAUGAACAUUUUAAAUUUGGAUUAAGCUCUUUUUAUUGAGUGAAGCAUUAAUUAUCAUACAACUGCAAAUUCAUUACUAGACCUCUGCUCCAUUAGGACACUAACUCAUCAAAGCCAGCUACUUAUUUCUCCCUAGAAUCUUAUAUAUUGAUAAAAGAACAUUCAAGUGGCUGAUGAACACUGAAGACUUAUUCUGAUGAUUACUGUUAGAUGAACUCAAGGAUAGGAUGUUUCUUUAACACCACCGAUAUCGGCAGUGAUUCGCACCUCAUAUCCAGGAUUUGGAAUGAAAUUGCCAUCCCCACCUGGAAUAUAUUGACGUCUUGGAGCUGGGUUACUGCCAUAUGAACUCGAAUGCCCUCCUCGUGACAAUGUGAGGCGUCCAAUGCCAGGAAUGAGCACACUGACCCUAUCAUAUCCAAUCAGCCAUUGAGGCUGUUUCUUAUCAUCGUCGCUGCUCAACCUUUCAGGAAAUCACGUGCUGCAGAGCGCAACUGCUUCACCAGUCAUUGCGAGGAUAACAAGGAAGAUAGGGAGCAUAGAAGGUAUGAUUCUGUGAGCCAUUUAUCUGAUAUUGUGAGUAAUGCAAGAGGAGGUUUGUUUUGUGAUGAAGAAACAAGGAGAAGAGAGGUGUUCUUAUAGAUGUAAGGAAGAUGAACUGAGAAGGAGAGCGGUAGAUGAAGUUUUGGCGGUGAAUUAAAACGAGAUAAUUGCUCCAUUUAUUGGAUUUUGGAAUGGUAGGUUGAAAAAUAUAAGUGGUAAAGUAUGAACGGAUGGAGAGAACAAAUGGAAGAAAGGGUUGGAAUCUCUUCAUAUGAACAUUAACUUGAAGUGAUGGAACAAGGUAUCUGGCAUUCCUUGUAAACACUUAAAACCAGGCUACAAAGAGUUUGGUAACGCCUCAACAGCUAUUACGGCUUAUAAAUGUAAUGGGACGUUUCGUCAGAAUGUUAAAAACAUGAAGUAACUUUCUGUUAAUGGAUAAAGGAUAAGCCUCUGUAAAACAGACAGCUGACUAUACCGAAGUGCAAUUCAAACAGUAAUUUUGAGGUUAAACGAAAUUGUUCAAAAUAUAGGAAGCUAUGCAACAAAAAUGAGUUUUAUUUUGAACAUUUUAAUCUUGAAAUUUAAAUCUACUUCAAUAUAAUCAUUUCAUCAAUGGAAAAUGACUCAUUUUAACCACUAUUCCUUAUUCUUAAGCAAUCGAAUGGUAAUACUCUUCUUGGUCGGCCAAACAAAGUCGAGCAUAAUGUUCAUCAGAUUAGUGGUAAUUUCACCUCAAACCCACCUUUGAUUUAGCUACUCAUAAUGGAAAAUAAAAAAAAAAUGGAAGAUGAGAGAAAUAGAUGAAGUGAUUGUCAUUGUUCGUGUGCUCAAUUGCAAUGUAAUUAUUAUUAGACAAGCAGAAAGUUUCUCCUGAUUAUCCCAAGUACAAGUCAAGUAAGAGGUAGUCUCAGUAGCGACCGAUAUCGAACACGAGUUCAAUAAGUAGCAGAUUGUCCCUAAUGAUUGUUCUUUACACAGAAUCCCAGGGUUUAGUUAAGCACAUAUGAUGAGAUGAUGAGAUAAAAUUGAAUGUUUAAAAUUGUAAACCAUAAACUAAACAAGAUCGACAAGAGAUCCGGUGAUGAGAAAUAUAGGGUAUAAUGCAAAGCACGAAAAUGAUGGGUAAUCAAAUAAAUAAGAGGGAGUUGAGAUGAGUAAUCAUUGUUCCUUUGAACUUAAAAAGAAGUACAUAUUCAUGCAUAUAACCUUCAGGACUCCACUUUUUGGUGAGUUAGUCACACAUCCAUGGUGCAAGCUUAGGUUAUUUUGAUUAUAAGCAAAACAUUUAUCUCCAAACACUUUGCUUAUUUAGGGUAACAGACUCCACAAACACUUGACCUCUCAAGAAGUUGUCAAAUUUCUCUUUAUACAAGUUUUCAAAAUGUAUCAAGAGUUGUGGAUUAAUGCCUAAACCAUUCAUAGACACUUGUUUCUCCUUAAGCUCACUGGAAUGAGGGUCAACUCAUCCUAACUUGUUAGAAGAUUAACAACUUAUGGCCAUAAAUUUAAAAGUGAAGGAGAUAGUAGAUAAAGAAGCAUCCACGAUAUGUAUUAACAUGAAAAGAUGAAUUUGUUAAAAGAAAACAGGAAAAACAAAACUACAAGAAAUAGUGAAGAUAGAAGAUGAAUGGAAAGGUUGAAGUUGAUUGUUGUGCUUUGCGCGUUAGCGGUAGUAGUAGCGAACCUCCUCUCUCGAGUCUUCUUCUUCGACGGAUGGUGGUUCUCAAAGAUGACUGUCUCGGAAAGGGGAAAGACUGUUUAUUUAAAAUUCUCUCAAAUUCAGAGAAGGGAUAGUGGAAUCUUUCGUCUUUAUUGGUUAGUGAUGUAAAAUGUUUCUCUCUAAAAUCUCUAUUUCUUCUUUCAAAUGGUGGAUAUAUAUUAGUAGUUUGGAGAAAUAACACAUCUUUUGUCUUGUAUUUGAAAAGUAGAACAAUUUUAGAAAAUUCGUAAUUUUGUUUUUUCUGUCAAUUCGGUCGAGAUCGACCUCAAGAUUCUUAUCGAAUUUUAAAUAACUUUUUAAAGAAAAUAUAUCUCCAUCUGUGUGUCAUCGAGAUAGUGCGUUUGUUAUUAAAAAUUUAAAAAUAAAAUGAUAUAUCAAAUUACCAAAAUACCCUUGUUACAUAGAACGUUACAUAUUCUCCAAAAACACCAACUUUCCCAAACAUUUUGCUAAUUUUGUCCUAGAAGUGAACGAUUUGGCUCCUACAAUUUGAACAACUUUAAGUGAUUUUUCCUGUGCGAAACUUUGUGAACUCAUCUGUCCUCUUAAAUCUUUCAAAGCAAAGCACUUUAACAACUUCAUAGUUUACUAUUUAGUUUUUAGUUUAUGUUUUUAAUUUUUAGUUUUUAGUUUGAAAUAUAAGGCAGAUGGGAUACUUUGUAGUUGGUGGUCUGAUGUAGUUUCUUAAAUGUACAACAUUACUUUCAGUCAAUGCAUGUGGUUUCCUUCAAAGAAUCUUGACCAUUUCUUCAAUCUGAGGCGGUACAAAUGAAGAAUCUUGGCGGAGAUUAAUGAAUUUUUCUUGAGAUUCGUUGAAGGAGUAUGAGAUCUAAUGCAUUUUAAAAAUAAUUUGUAGGGAAAUCUCGAGGACGAUUUCACUCGAGAUGGGACCGAGAUUACCUUACAUAACGCAUGUGAAACCCCUAUCUCGUGGCAUGCCAGACAAUGUUGCUCAAGUUCAAUUGGCGUUUCAUGUGAUUCUCAUAUGAGAUUACCUCAUGAUUAUCCCGAUUUUUAACACAAAAUACUUAUUUUGUUCAAAUUUUUGUGUUUUUUCAUAGAUACCUUUUGUGAUCAAAUUAAAUUCAAAGAAAUUCUUCCUUGCACACAGUUAACGAAUAUUGAUUAAUAUAGUUAAUGAGUUUAGCCAAUUAAUCUCAUAUCAUUGUAGCUUCUGAUUUGUAGGUCCAUUAGGUCCCCUUCCUAGCUCGUAAAGGGUGGUGAGAUUUAUUUAUAUUCGUUGUAAUUUGAAAGGUUCAAAUUUACUUGGAGAAUUAAUAUAAUGUAUGGUGAUACAUUAUAAUAUAAAGUUUAUAUAAGUUUAUAUUUUAAUUAAACUUUAUUAUCUAAAAUUUAUUUUGGAUACGAUUCAAAAUUAAUUUACGAGAGAAUAAAAUAUUUGAAUGAAUUCAAAUAUUCAUUUAAUGUCAAUUAGAUUCAUACUAAAACUAUAUGUUAAAAUUUAAUGUGUAUAUGAUACACAUUAAAACUAUAGGUUAUGAGAGGUAUUUAAUUUAGCAAUUAAUUAAUUAAAUUAGUUAAUAGUUUAGUUUAAUUUGAUUUAAUUAAAUUAAAAUUAUAGGUUAUGUGAGAGAUAAUCAUUUAAAUAUGAUUGAAAUAUUAAUUAAAUAUGAUUUAAUUUAAUUAAUAUUUUUUUAAAAUUAGUUGUGAACGUGGUUUUCCCGUUUCCAUUUAUCUCUCCAACUUCCCUCUUCUUCGGUCUAAAGAAGAGUUUUACACAAAAAAAAAAAAAAAGAUAGAACUGUUAUAGAUUUUUUUUUUUGUUUUUUUGGCUGCAUAUUCUCUCAAAAGAUCUUUUUGAAAAAAAAAUAUUUCCAUUCCAAUUUUAUUUUGGUUCCACCAACUAAAAUCUCACUAAGAGGACAGGAAGGUUUCCAAGUGGUGGUGACUGACAAUGAGGGUAAAGUACGUCUUCUUCUUCCUCUUCUCUAUAAUUUUCUUUUUAAUUAGAAAACAUGUUUAACCUUUAAACAUUAUAGAAAAUUUGUUUCGUUAUUUUCCAAUGUACUUAUAUUUUGGGAUUCCUAAGUUAAUUUGAGAAAUGGUUCCGUAAAACUUUUUGCUGCGAAGGACUCUAAUCCUUUCAGGAACAUCCGUUGCUACUUGUCUGACUUACCUUGGCCUUUCUCGUGGUGCCAUAAUUUUUAUAAUGCACCAAUACAAUAGACUUUCUUACCAACAUGCAACUCUCUGUAUGCAUGACUUUAACUAAGACUCUUUCCAAUAACUUGUGCUUGAUAUCAACUUGUCACGUCCCGCUCCAAAAAACUCUAUGUGAUGCAGUUGAGAUGUUACCGCCUAUACAUUCUACGCGAGAUUCUCCAAGAAGCAAUGCUCAGAACGCCUAGUAAGCGAAAAUAAAGAUAACCAUAAAAAAAAUUUAACGCGAAAUGUGGAUUUGGAUGAAAUGCAUAAAUUUCAUUGAUAUUUCAAGUAAUAAGGUACAUUCAGUACUUUAUACAAACAUCAUUUACAAACCAUUAAACAUAACUUGAAACAACACUUAGACUUUCCUUGCCUAGCUACUACAUGCUAUGCGUGUUGACAGUGACCAUUACCAAAAUGAUGCGUUCUCAAGAGGCACUGUAGGCCGAUCAAGAUUGCAAGUUCAACUCUAGACGUUCUUCGUUACCUGGGGGUGGGGGAGGAUAAAACAAAACAUUAAAAAAGUUAGACGAAAACAUCUGGUGAGUGAGAUCUUUUAUCAACACCUUUAAUAAGCGAAGUUUUCCUUAACGCAAUAUAGACAUUUUGUCAAUCUAAGCGAUAUAAUUAAUAUGUAAGUCAAUCAUUAUAUCUUUGAGUUUAAAACAAUCAUUCAAGGCGUUAGACAUUUUUCAACAUCUCAAUUCAUCAACCAUUCUUAUUCAUCGUAUGAAAAUUUUUCCUUUUAAAUCAUUCAUCAUAAUUUAUAUGGAAAAAAGUUUCUUUUCAAUUCUUUCACUGUAAUGUAUAUAGCAAUGUAUACAUCUCACAUACAACAUAAUCAUCUCUUCGAAUCAUAUCCUGCAUGUUUAAUUACAUCUUUGUAUCAUUUCUCAGCUUGAAGCGUUUACCACACUCUUUUUCUAAGUUGUAGCUAUAUGGAGUCAUCUCGAUGCAUUUAAUAAGUUCCACCAAUUUCUCUACGUAUAAUGCGUCUUCUAGUGUUAGAUCAAACAACAAGCAAAGAACAUACCAUACUAAAUUACAAAGUUGGUAUGAGGCAUCCUACUCAAGAUCACAUAGCAUGAAUAAGACAUGCUAUUCCAUAUCACAAAAAAAGAAUAGAACAUCUUAUCCUAGAUCACAUAACAAUGAUAAGACAUCCCACACCAGAGCACACAAUAAGGGUGAGACCUUACGUCACAUAUGGUACAAAUAUUAUCUUAUUUCAAACUUCAUCAAUUCUCAUGAAUUCUUUAGAAUACAUCAUUUCAUCACAUCAUUCCAGUUCAUAAUAAGUCCAAUUCAUUUAUAAGCUAUAUGCAUUUUACGAAUUGGAAAGCAUAAGAGAAAUCAUAUAGUUCAUGACUUAAUAGAAAUAUAUAUAAAUUCAAACACAUUUUGGAAAUUUUUUUCAUUUUGAAAACAUUUUAUAAGAAGAAUCACUCACAGUCAUAAUAGUGAGUUGCUACACACGAGCUCCUUUGCACUUUUUGAUCGAGUUCAAGCUUGAUUAGAAUCUUCGAGAGACCUUGGAAGUUCUUUCUAAUUUCUCUUAAGUAAGCUCAGGGUAAAAGAAACCUCAUAAGGAUUAUAAUUCAUCUAUUUAUAGACUUUUCUGGUGAAGUUUUCCAUGCAAGAAUGAUUACUGCUCUUGAUGGUGAGAAUUUGUCUAGUUUUAGAAUGCCACUUGUCUAGUUUUAGAAUGCCACAUGUCUCUGUCAUAUCCUUAUCCUGAAUUCAGAUUGGAUGGUAAGAUCAAAUCAAUUGCCGAAUUCCUUACAUGAGAAUGAUAUCAUCACUUUCUGUGGAAGUAGGCUUAUACCGAAACAAGGAUUCUUGUGUAGUAUUUUCUUGUCGCACAAUAGUUUUUAUCACAUAGGCUAUCUCCAUCGCAUGAGUCUUAUUGUGUAAUGGCAGAUCACGAUCAGAGCCUCACAAGUUAUGUUUUCAACUUUCUACUAGAACAAAUCUCCAAAAUGGUAGGUUUAUUGAGUCAACGAUCAAAUUUGGCCACUUACCCAUACAAAUCAAAGGAUUGCACUUAAGCAAAAAUUCAUAACACACUCAAGAUUAAUGUCAAGUCACCUAUGGUCAUUCUAUAAAAUGUUAAUCUCCACACAAUCAACAAUGUUAUAAAGGAAGAUUAAUCACUCAACAGUUCGAUCUUAUACAAACUCUUUACAUAGGAUACCCCCACUCCGCAUGUUUUCACAGGAAUGAUUAAGAUCAUAUUGCUUGUAACACUUACAACUCUUGUACAAUUUACAAAGUGAGUUGUAUCGGUGUAGUGACACUAGAAUAAAACACCCAACUUUAUCCAUAUACUACAUACCAUAUGAAUAUUUGUUGUAAUGCUAUAAUAAAAUGCAAUUGAAAGGGUUAUUUGUUGUAGUGCAUUUAGGUUAUUACUACAUGAUCGACCUAUAUGUCAACCACAUACAAGUUUUAGUUACAUAAAAUAAUCUUGGAUAUUCUUUUAAUGGAUUAUUGCAGAUAUAUAAUAAAUAAAUAUUAUUUCAAAUACAACAAUUUCAAAGAUUUAGGGCAUACAUCCCAACAGAACUAACGUUUUAUUCUUCUAAUUUCUUGUAAUUUGAAUCCCCAAAAUAAUAUGUGCUUUUUCCAAAUCUUUCAUUUGGAAUUAUGUUGUUAGCUAACUUUUAAUGUCAAUAAGAAAACCUAAAAUUUUCCCAAUGAGUAGAGUAUCAUCCACGUAUAAUACAAGAAAAACUAUUGUACCUUUGAUGAUUUUCUUGUAAACACAAGGAUCAUCAACAUUCUGGUCAAAUCAUACACCCUCCUAUGUUUCAUAAAUGCUGUUGUACGGUGUAUUUGUAAUAUUGACCACAAUUAAGUACAAUUGUUCUAUCGUCUUUGUUCCUUUUGUUCUCACUUUACAACAAAAGAGUAGUUUUUGAUAGGGGUGAGAUUGAAUCUGGUCGAGCUGAAUUUUCUUAACAAUAUGACCCAACCCAACAGGUGUAGGGUUUGUAUGGAUAAAAGCUAACUUGAUUGAAUGAUAGUAAGAGAGAGGGAGGAACUAGAGGGUAAUAAGGAAAUAAGGAGAGAGAGAGGUGGUAAUGCAGACCAACAACUAGGUGGGAUUUGGCGCAAAUGAAUGGAACCGUAGGUUCUUUAUAAAUGGCUUGGUUUAACCGAAGAACGGACCCAUUGGUUAGAUUUGGUUCAUUUAAAUCUUAUAAAAAUCGAUCCAAACUAACCAAACCGGACUAGUCCAAUUCCUUACCCCGUAGGCAGUGCCGCAUUAGCUUUUAAACAUAAGAAAACCAGGUAGAACACUGUCAAGUCUUCAGUUUCCAAUUCCAAACCUAUUCUUUCCCAUGGAGAAGAAGACACAGAGCUGUAGAAGAAGCCAAUCCAAUAGCUCGGCUCGCGCAAAGGUAUUUGGGACCAACUCUCUUCACCUAAGUGAGGACGAUUCCACGCGAUUAGUCGGUGGAAUAGUUGAAAAAGGUAUCUCCGACACCGAGCAAAGCACACCCUUUGUCUCACUUCCCCCUCCCAGACCUUCCGUUUUGCCGUUUCCGGUUGCUCGGCAUCGGUCUCACGGUCCGGUAAGAUUAACUUGAUUUUAAGCUAUCCAGAAGGACAGUCUAUAACAGUACAGGGGUUUUUAUUUAUUUAUUUUAUAAAUAAUGUAACGUUAAUAUUGUGUAAUAUGAUUGGAAGAAAGGAAAUGAUAGUGGCAUAGUAGAAUGAAAAUGAGUAGAAUGUUUAACUUUUAUUUUCUAGCAAAUAAUGUUUCUCCAGGAGUAAAUAGAUUAGUUUGGAGAACAUAAGUCACUGGCGGGAAGUUUGGUUUCCUCAUAAUAAUGGAUUUUGAGUCCUAAUGUUAUUAACAAUACAAUCUGUUUUCUCAGCAUUGGGAAUCGUUAACUAGUAAAAAGGGUGGGGAUAGUAUCAAGGCUGACAGGCAGAAGUAUGGGGAAGAAGAUGAAACAAUGAUGGUGGCUGACUCUAUAGCAAAUUUUGCUAAUCCAAUACAGAGGAAAAAGAAAAGUAGCUUAGACUUUGGCCGGUGGAGAGAGGCUGCCUCAGACCACAAUCAUGGUGCAGCAAAAAGAGAGGAAAAGGAGCUUCAAAGCUUAGCAAAAACUGAAAGCCUAAUGCGUUCUGGGGAAGCAAAUAGCUGUACAGAUGUUAUGUCAUGCAGACCCUUCUCGGCCCAUGUGCUUCCUUCUCUUAUGGAAAGUGAACAUAGUUCAUCUGACUUUGUAAAUGAUUCCACUGGAAACAAGACAAACAGCGCUGGUUUUGAAUUGAAGGGGUUGGAUAAACAACAUCUUCCAGAGAAUCUUCAAGAUGUUCGUGAUCAAUGGGGAGAUAUUUCAGAGAGUGAAGUUAACGAGAGUAUGCAACUGGAUGGUACUUCAUUGCGGGAUAUGGGGACAGGGCAUCAUUUGAAUUCCGAAAUGACUCCCCGCUUUCAGUCCAAUAUUAAGGGAGAUGAUGCAUUCUUGACACUGAAACGCCAGAUUGAUGCAGAGAACCUAGCAAGGAUGCAAAAAAUGUCACCAGAAGAGAUUGCUGAAGCACAGGCUGAGAUUGUGGAGAAGAUGAGCCCAGCACUAGUGAAAGCCCUGAAAAUGAGGGGUGUGGGAAAAUUGAAGCAGGGCUCAUCAAAACCCCAUGUGAGCAGUAAUUAUGAGUUGGGUAAUCUACAAAAAGAGAGUACAAUUGAUAGAAGUGGUUCUCUUAACAAAGAGAAUGGUGUAACGUCUGUACAGACAACCUUAAAGGAUACAAAGAGUGGUCUUCAGGAUGUUUCAGUGCAGAAAUUUGAUUCACGUAGCAGUAUAUGGAAUGCAUGGAAUGAAAGGGUUGAAGCUGUAAGGUCGUUAAGGUUUUCCCUGGAAGGCAAUCUAGUUGAAAGCUAUUCUUUCCAACAGUCAGAGAAUGGUGAGACUUAUAGUAUUUUAUGGUCACUUUUUUAGGGGAAGGGUGAUGGGGCCUCUGAUUAUCAGAAUUCCUUGCUACUUUUGUUUAUAUUGUCUAUCUCGUCUUUCAUCUCAAAUUAUGAAGAGCUUCUUUUGGAUGAGUAAGACUUCGGCAUUUACAUUUUUCACUAGUUCCAUAGAAGACUUGAUAGUUACGUCAUGACCAGUUGACAACAACUCCAAUAGUUUAACUAACUCAAGUUAAUUAACACUCCAAGAAAAAAACUAAUGGGUUUUUUGAUAUGAGGCUUUUGAUAGUGGGCAGGGGUACUAAAUCUCUCAGAAUGAAAUGUUUAUGUUUCUUUGUUAGUAGUUGUUCAUUUGAUUCUGUCGAAUAAGUGAGUUAGUGUCGUGAUGUUGAGGGGAUUUGAAUAACCAUGAUGGUAUGUUUCCAAUUUCCUAUCUUCAAAUUUGCAUGAGAAUAAAAGAAGCAGAAGCAUGUAAAAACUCAUACUCAUACCUUCAGAAUGACAGCUUAGUACUAAAUUUUUAAUAGAAAUUAAAACAUUCUUACAAUUGAUUAAUUUGUAAUGCUAGAGAUCCUGCAAGGAUGUAGCAGAUGCUAGGAGUUGAGCUGGGAAAUGCUGCAGAUGAGUUUUUGAAUAGAAAACGAAUUGAUAUUAAUACAGAUUUUUUGGUUGACAAGACAACAAACUUUUCAUUAAAAAUGUGAGAGGUUGGUAUAGAACUCCCUUUAGGAGUAUACUAGGAUUCCUGGCAUGAAAACCAGAAAACUUGUAGACAAAACACAUUCUUGGGGAAUGAAUAGAACACAACCCAUCUAAAGAGAGCUUGCUAAAGAAUAAUGUGAACCUUUUUGUCAAUUGUCACGUGUUUUGAAUAUUUUCGUUUAUUCAUGAAGAGCCAGAAAUUAUUACAUCAUUUUCUUUUUAAUUAGGUUGCUGGGGAUUCUUAUUUUUUUUCUUUUUCGUUUCCAAAGCUUUCAAUCAUCGUUUGAACUUAUAAAAAUGUACUAUGUUUACUAGAUAUGUAUUUUUCUAUGAUGUUGAUUAACUCUAUAUUUUUCCUUUUGCGGGUGAUUAUGCAGUUCAUGGGUACAGCACUGAGAAUGUUGCUUCACGAGAUUUUCUUCGAACUGAGGGGGAUCCAAGUGCUGCAGGUUACACAAUUAAAGAAGCUGUGGCACUGACAAGGAGUGUGGUCAGUUUAGUUGCUUCAUUGUAGUGACAAUUUUUUUCAACCAUAAAAUACUGUUAGUUUUUUUCCACUUUUGGCCUCUUAUUUUUCUUAUUCCUUAUGAAAUAGCUCUUUUUUUUCAUUUAAUUCAAAUCUUCUAGAAGUUUGUUGUUUUGAACUCUUUAAUCCUUCUGUCAUUUUUGUUAGAAUUUAUGGGCUUGUUGUAUGUUGAAAGCCCAAGGGUAUUUAUGUAAAUUAUUUUACCUAGUGUUUUUUUCCUUUUUUAUUAAGGCUUUUGUUGCCUAUUAAUUCUCUGCCUUUGUAUUUUUUGUGUUUCAUAAGAAAAUAAUAAGAAAAGUCUCCAUCGUGGUUUUUCUUCCUAUACAGGUUUCCACCUAUAUCGAUUUGUUAUACUUUUUUUCUUUUUCAAUAAUUUUCACUCUAGCUUCUCAUUGGUGUCAGAUACCAGGUCAACGUGUCCUUGGGUUGCAUCUCAUUUCAAAUGUGCUUGACAAAGCAUUGCUUAAUACACACCUAACACAAGUUGGGUCCACAAUGAUUAAAAAUAGGCGCUCUGUUGAUUACAAUGCAAUUUGGGCUUAUAUUCUUGGCCCUGAACCAGAGCUUGCUUUAUCCCUGAGGUCAGACUCUGAACACUUUUAAUUGACAUUCAUUUAUUGUGCUGUUAGGAACCAAGGUAGUUAUGAGAAUAGGAUAACCAAUGUGGUACUUAAGUGACCUCUCUCCUACCCCAAUAGCUGGCUUUUGCGGUGUGGUUCUUCAAGGUGUUUAAGUACCUAAUGCAUGCUUUAACCUCAUUGGUUGAUCCAUGCUACGCCUGACUGUUGCUGCUAUUCCUUUCAAAUUUGUAUAAUUGAUCCAUGGUUUGUCAUUUAAAUAUUAUGUUACCCUAAGAUUUGGUUACUUCACCUUAACCUCAAUGCUUUACGUUUUUUCCCUUACCUACCUCUAGGAAGUGUUAUGAUUUUCAGUAUCCCAAGUUGCUUGAUUAUUUUUUAUUUUUAUCAACGUAUAGGAUGUGCCUGGACGAUAAUCACAACUCUGUCGUUCUAGCUUGUGCUGAAGUUAUUCAGAGUGUAUUGAGCUGUAAUUUGAACGAGUCCUUCUUUGAUAGCCUAGAGGUACGAUCAUUAUAACAUAGGGCUUUUCCUUUUUAUGUUCUCUCUACUUUUAAUUCUUAGUCUGAGUCUAUUUUCUUCAGAAAACAUCAACUUAUGAAAAAGAUCUCUACACUGCUGCUGUAUUUCGAAGUAAACCAGAGAUCAAUGUUGGUUUCCUCCAAGGUGGAUUUUGGAAGUAUAGUGCUAAACCUUCUAAUAUUCUUCCUAUUACCGAAGGUUUUGGAAAUGUUGAAGAUGGGGAGAAACAUACAAUCCAGGAUGAUAUUGUGGUUGCACAACAAGAUAUUGCAGCAGGUCUGGUUCGAAUGGGAAUUCUUCCUAGGCUCCUCUAUAUUCUAGAGGUAUGCAUUUUCAUUGUCUGGACUUUGUACUCUUUAAUUUGAUUAUUGAGGGCGACUAUGCUGUUUUUUUCCUAGGUUAUGUGAAAAUACUAAUGGAUCAACAGUAUUAAAUUUGCAUGUCUGUUUGAUGAAGAAAGUAAUGACAACCUCAAUGAAUAAUGAACUAUUAUUAGAUUUCCGACUGAAGUCUGUAUAUUGUGUAAACGGUAAAGCAUAGUUAUCUAUGCCAACGCUACAUAUGUGAGAUGGAUAAUAGCUAUUGCAAUUAAUGAAAGGAUCUACCUCAGGGGUUCCAAGCAAACAAACUACUGAUUUUUUAACUCUUAAAUACAUGUUGUAACAACCUGGCUUUUCCAAAGAUGAGUACAAGUGUUGCUCAUGAAUGCUAAAAUAAAUUUUAUUAAAAGUAAUAGAAUAAAAUAUUUUAGAAGAAAAAGAAAGCAUCAAACCAACUUAAAGUAAUAAUUGAAACAAAGUUUUCAUUCUAGGGAUUCCUUAAAAACAUUUAAAAAUUUAUAUAAAAUAUAAAAUAAAUAAGAGUGAAAAUGGUUCUCAAAACAUUCCAAUCGGAAGCUCAACACGACACAGCUCCAUGGCUCAAUAGCAACAACUCAUCUCUUGCCUCACACAUCUUUGCCCUAUGCUGGAAAAAAAUGUGGAUAGGGUGAGUGUUAAAAGUACCCAAUAAGCAACCCUUCGGAUGGGGUCAAACAUGUACAUCUCGCACACAGACAAACAAAGGUGAAAUGUGGGACCUUCUCUUAAGUCUAGCCUUUGUGUGGCAAGUGUGGACAAUUAUCUCAUGUAUCGUGUGACUAACUCUCGGUUGAACGAGUGUGGGUUCGUUGGAGCACUCACUCACGCCAAUAGUAGCCAACACCCAUUGGUGGAGUUUAGGGCUUCCCCAUCAUAAGUCCCCAAAUGGAUAAAUGGGGAAUUUUCAUAAGCACAAUUUAAUGACUUGCUGUCAUGAUGCAAGAGUCAUACAGAAUAUGCAUGAUGUAAGUCUAUUAGAUUUAGUGGACUUGGUCCAAGGAACGAUUUUCCCUAAUAUCCUUUCCUUUUUUAUCAUAUGCUGUAACCUAUUUAUUUUCCCUCAUGUAUCAUUUGUUAACAUGAGAAAUUAAUAAGAAAAGUAAAUCAUGGUUUUUCUCUCGGUACUCGGGUUUCCACGUGACUCGGUGUUGCUUUACUUUAUUGCUUUUAACAAUGGUAUCAAAGAGAGGUAAAGACGAAACCGUAGACACAAGUAUAGGUGAAACCCAAACUGAGUUACGUGGAUUCCACCAUGGAAAAGUUGCUCCACCAGCUUCAGAAGACGCCAACAGUCACAGUGGACCUACCCUCGGAGUCUCUGCGCAGGUCAAUGGCAGAAACCAGUCACAUGCGCUUUAACUUGCCACCCAUGCGCUGCCGAUACCAAGUGCGUACCCUUACACGUCGCUACCCAACACCCCCAUGAACUAAUCGGUCUUCUCCCACCUGUUUUCCCAAGUCCAGUCACAAUACCCUUCUGGUCAGCCAACCUCCAUGUGCAAUCGCUGCCCUUAGUUUGUGGACUGUCAUUGUUUUACGCACCACUGCCCUUUGACUCUUUGUAGAAGCUGAACAUCCAUGGUACCAGAAUCAAUCAAGUUCAUAAUAAAUCAGGGUUUGAAGUUGGUGAAUCCUCGACACAAUCCAAACCAAUUUACUUGCCAAUGUAUUCCAAGAACCCGGUAACUUCGCUCCCUAUCUUGUUGCCAAAUUAUAUAACUAAUUCUCUAGCACCAUCUACAGGGGCUUUUCCAAGAGAGAAGCUGCAUGGUCGAAAUUAUUUUUACUAGUCUCAAUCGAUCAAGAUGUUUCUUGAGAGUCUUCACUAAUUUGGCUUUCUGAUAGGGAAGACUAUCCGUUCCCCUUCCAGUGAUGCCCUGGAACGUUUUUGGAGAGGGGAUAACUCCUUUAUUCGGUUCAUGUUGAUUAGUAGUAUGGAACCUCAAAUAGGCAAGCCUACGCUUUGUGCAACUACUGCAAAGGAUCUAUGGGACACGACUCAAAAACUCUAUUUGCAGCAUCAAAACGCUUCUCGUUUGUAUACACUGAGGAAACAAGUCCAUGAUUGCAAGCAAGGAACUCUGGAUGUAACCUCCUACUUCAAUAAACUCUCUACUUUGGCAAGAGAUGGACUUGUGCAGAGAGACAAAAUGGGAUACUUUGAAUGAUGGAAUACAAUAUGCUAGACUUGAAGAAGAUGAUCAAAUUUAUGACUCCCUUAUAGGUCUCAACUUCAAGUUUGACAUUGUCUGUGGUUGUAUACUUGGACAAAGACCUCUUCCCUGCUUAAUGGAAGUGUGUUAUGAAGUUUGUCUUGAAGAAGACUUUACGAAUGCCAUGAGUGUAUCGACUACUCCUGCAACUGACUCUGCUGCUUUCAGUGCUAGAUCCUCAACCCAUGAUAGUGAGAAGAAUAAUGGGAAACCAAUCCCUAUCCAUGAGCAUUGCAAGAAAUAGUCGUAUACUAAGGAUCAUUGUUGGAAACUCCAUGGUCAUCCCCUCAGGAGGUAAGAAACAUUCCUCCAACGAUAAACAAAAUUCUGGGCGUGCUUAUGUAAGUGAGUUUGUUGGCACUUCUCAACCAUCUAGCCCUACUAUAAACUAGAAUAGUCUACUUCCACUCUAGGAGCCAUUACUUAGUUAGGUAUGCCUCAACCCCUUAGUCUUAUCGGUGUUGAUGGGAAGAAUCCCUGGAUCCUAGACUCGGGGGCUACAAAUCACUUGACCAAUUCCUCUGAGAAUUUGUUUCUUAUAUUUUGUGUGCUGGUAAUGAAAAUUCCGAAUAGCUAAGGAUUCUUUAGGCCCAAUUGUUGGGAAGGGACAAAUCAUCUCUCCAGAACGUUUUGCAUGUGCCUAAGAUUUUCCUAUAAUUUGCUAUCUAUAAGCAAGAUCACUCGUGAGUUGAACUGGAAAGCUACUUUCUUAUCUGAAUCUGUUUCUUUUCAGGACUUGAGCUUGAGGAGAACUAUUGGCACUGUCUGGCGUAGCAUGGGACUGUAAAUGCUUAACAAUGAUACCUUUGGUAGUACUAUUUAUAGGACUAGUUUAUAGUCUUCAUAUUUUACCAUUUUCGAACAAAAUUGUAUGUUGUGGCAUUUUCGGUUGGGUCACCCAAACUUUAAAUAUAUGAAGUAUUUAUUUCUCCAUCUCUUCUCUAAAAUUGAUAUCUUCUCUUUCUCUUGUGAUGUGUGUAUUCGAGCCAAACAUUGGGUCUCUUUCCCUUCACAACCAUAUAAACCAACCCAAGCGUUUACCUUUAUUCAUAGUGAUGUUUGGGGUUCAUCCAAGGUCACCACCUCCUUUGGAAAAUAGUGGUUUUUGACUUUUAUUGAUGAUCAUACCUGUCUUCUUGGGUCUUUCUUAUCACCGAUAAAUUUGAGGUUUCCUCUGUUUUUCAAACUUCUAUCACAUCAUUGAAACGCAGUUCAAUUUAAAAAUUGCGAUUCUUCAGAGUGAUAAUGGUUAGGAGUUCCAAAACCAUACCCUUAGUGAGUAACUAGCCUCCAAGGGAAUUGUUCAACAGAGGUCAUGUGCUUACACUCAACAAAAUGGGGUUGCUGAGCGAAAAAACUAUCACCUUUUGGAAGUGGCUCAUUCCCUUAUGCUAUCUAUUUAUAUCUGUAGGAAGAUGUUCUUAUUGCAGCUUAUCUCAUCAAUAGGAUGCCUACUCUUGUCCUUUACCUUCACUCCCUUAGAUUGUGUCAAGGAGUCAUAUCCCUUUACUCGCCUAACUUCUGAUGUUCCCCUUCGUGUUUUUGGGUGUACAACCUAUGUCCAUAGCUUUGACCCUAAUCAGACCAAAUUUACCCCUCGGGCUCAGACGUGUGUGUUUUGUUGGGUAUCCUUUUCAUCAGCGAGGCUAUAAAUGUUUCCAUCCUUUCCGUAAAUACUUUGCCACUUGAAUGUCACCUUUUGUGAGGAUCGACCUUUCUUUCCCAUUAGCCAUUUUUAGGGGGAGAGUGUGAGUGAAGGUCUAACUGUAACUUUGAGUCUAUUGAACCUACUCCUAGUACCUUACCUGACUCUGAUCUUUAUGCCAUGGUCCUACCCACAGACCAAGUUUCCUGAAAAACUUACUACAGGAGAAAUCUCAGAAAGGAAAUUAAGUCCUCUACUGAUCAACCGGCUCUCGUCCAAAACUCUGAACCUCCUUGAGAUCAAGGUAUGACUAAUCCUAUUGAAUCAUGUGUUGAUAGUAAAAUGAGUGAGAAUGACAGGUCUGGCACUGUUGUUGAUGAGACUAAGGUCAGAGCAAAUACUAAUGGUAAUGAGGCUGAACAGGGUCAUUCAGGUAAUCUUGAUGAGUAUGAUAUUCUUUUGGACAUUCCCAUUGCGCUGAGAAAAGGUACCAAGUUCUGCACGAAAUACCCUAUUUGUAAGUAUGUUUCCUAUGAUAGUCUAUCUACAGUUCAGAGCCUUCACAACCAACCUUUACUCUAAGUGAUAUUGAAAAAUAUUCACAUUGCUUUAGAGUGUUUUUAGUGGAAAAGUGCCCUCAUGGAAGAGAUGAGGGCCUUUGAAAAUAAGACUUGGGAGAUCUGUGCUCUCUUUAAGGGACAUAAAAUUGUGGGAUGUAAAUGAGUGUUCACACUCAAAUACAAGGCAGAUGGAAUCCUUGAUAGACAGGCAAGGUUAGUUACAAAAGGGUUUACUCAAACCUAUGAUGUUGAUUACUUCGAAACUUUUUCCCCAGUUGCUAAACUGAAUACAAUUAGAGUCCCGUUAUUUAUUGCUGUAAACUAAGACGGUCUCUAUAUUAGCUAGAUGUUAAGAAUGCGUUCUUGGAUGGAGACUUGGAGGAGGAAAUCUAUAUGAGCCUCCCUAAGGUUUGACGUCUAGUUUGGUCACCAUGUUUGUAAACUUAAAAAAUCUUUAUAUGGUCCGAAACUGGACGUCAAACCUUGGGGAGGCUCAUAUAGAUUUCCUCAAUGCGAUACAACUCACCUUGCUAUCUUAUGGUUAAAGCGUGCUCCUCUCGGAAAGCGAUAUAACUCACCUUGCUAUCUUAUGGUUAAAGUUAUAUAACUCACCUUCUCUUUUGGUCUCCUGAAUCAAUACUCUAUCUGGAUUAGCUUUCUUCAAAAGAUUUUUAAUAGCCAAUUGUUUCAAAUGGCCCAUGAAUCCUUGGCUCAAUGCGAUAUAACUCACCUUGCUAUCUUAUGGUUAAAGCAUGCUCCUCUUGGAAUCAUUAAACGCCACACUUGGUCUCCUUUCAGGAUCCAAAUGACUAAACAAGCUAAGGUGUUUAUAUCUAGUAAUACUUAUUUAUUCUACUUAGAGUGCUUCACGUUUAAGGACAGCAACCUCUCGGUGUCUAUAGUCCACACUUGUUCGCCUUUCGAGAUACAAAUGAAGGAAGUCCUCUCACAAGGUUGAGAAAACUCUACCUUACGUGUGUAAGCCACGUUCUUACUACUCACCCUUUCGGGUAGUUGGUGACAUACACUAGCCAAAUGUAGAAUGUAGCUCAAGUAACACACUAAGCAGUAUAAAUAUAAAUUACUUAUUGAGAACACAUCAUAAACCUAAACUACAAAUAACACAAAGACAGAUGAAUAGUAGAGGCAUGGAUGGAUUGAAAAGUGUAUAAAGAUACAUUGUAUUAAAGAAUGAAGGCCUUUGGCUAAUGUACAAUAUAACUGAAUACAAUGUAAAAAAUAGUAAAAUGGGGAGAAAGUGAAAUACAAGUUAGGGGGAACAAGGGAAGGACUCUUCUCCUUUCAAACUCUAAGAUUUUGCAUUACAACCUAGUCGGAGAAGAUGAAGAAGUGUUGUACACAUGGUGGUUAGGCUAAUUCUUACCACCAACUCUCUAGGUUUUGGCCCAUGCAAGGUCCCUUGCCCAUACAGGCGUAAUGUCUUGAUGAAGGAGAAGGCUUUAUAUAGGCAACUUUUGGGCAGAAAACUUCAAUUCUUCUGAGCAUGUCAACACUGUCCGUUGAAAGGUGUUUGUUGCGAGUCACAUCAUCUCCAACUCCCACUCUUUGUCCUCUAGUGAACCUUCCUCGCGUGAUGACGUGGUUCCUCACCUGGAGAUGUUAAUAACCGAAUGAGUUCCCAUCGCGUAAUUCUUGUGCGAGAUGUCUCCUUUGCUCACUAGUUUCUUCCUUUCUAUUCAUCCUACUUUUAGACAUGAAAACCAAGUAAAACAGGUGUAAUGCUUGUGUAAAGUAUAUUUCUAAAUACUUAUGUAUUUAUAAUGUAAGUUCCGCAUUCUGAUCAUCUUCUGAUGCGUUUUGACCUCAUUAUUCUAUAUAAGAGGCUAUAAUAACGGGUAUAUCUACAUGUUAUCAACUCUCCAAAAUUUAUAGGUAAAAAGAAAAUUAUGCCAAAACUUCAAUGGGUACAUCCACAAACUCAAAGAAAACCUAUAAAAUAUCAGAAUUACUCACAACCAAAAUUCCAAUAAACCUGAUGGAAACAUUUAGUUUAGUAUCUACAGUGAUUAUGAUAUUACACAUGUUAUUUCACAUUUUUACUUCACAUGUAUAUUGUUGCUGCACAUGCUUUCCAAUACGUGACAAAUUUUAUGGUUUUAGGCAGAUCCUUCAGUAGCUUUAGAAGAAUGCAUCCUUUCGAUACUUGUUGCAAUAGCAAGGCAUUCCCCAAUAUGUGCCCAAGCAAUCAUGAAAUGCGACAGGCUUGUUGAGUUGAUUGUCCAGAGAUUUACAAUGAGCGAGAAAAUAGAUAUUCUCUCCUUAAAGAUUAAAUCGGUUGUUCUUUUGAAGGUACUUUCUAGAGCUUGUUGUGUUCCAAUAUUUUUUUUUAUUUGUAUGUUAAUGAACUGUUUGGCCCUUUUCACUCUCAUCAGCCGUAUGGACUGAGUUUACUUUGCCUCUGUUUUCCACACAACAGGUUUUAGCUCGUUCAGACAGGCAGAACUGUAUUGUAUUUGUGAAAAAUGGUACUUUUCAAACCAUUAUAUGGCAUUUGUAUCACUGUACUUCCUCCAUCGACCAAUGGGUCAAGUCAGGGAAGGAAAAGUGUAAACUUUCAUCAACUUUGAUGGUCGAACAAUUAAGGCUGUGGAAGGUUUGCAUUCAGUAUGGAUAUUGUGUAUCUUACUUCUCUGAUAUUUUCCCUUCCUUGUGCUUAUGGUUGAACCCACCAAAUUUUGAAAAACUUAUAGAGAAUAAUGUCCUGCGUGAAUUUACAACCAUUUCUAUGGAGGCAUACCAUGUUUUAGAGGCUUUGGCAAGAAGACUUCCAAAUUUUUUUUCAGAGAAAUAUUUAGACAGUCGAGAACCAGGACUUGCUGGUAAUGAAUCUGAAGCUUGGUCCUGGAGUUGUGCUGUUCCAAUGGUUGAUUUAGCUAUAAAAUGGUUAGGUUCAAAAAAUGAUCCAUUUAUAUCCAAAUUCUUUUUGUCACGAAAAGGGAUUAAGAAUGACUUUGUGUUUGAAGGAAUAUCACUGGCGCCAUUGUUGUGGGUUUAUUCUGCUAUCUUGAAGAUGCUAUCUCGAGUGGUUGAAAGGAUCAUCCCGCAGGACAUCAUGACCCAGAUUGGAAGUGAUCAGAUUGUGCCUUGGAUACCAGAGUUUAUUCUACAAGUUGGACUUGAGAUAAUUAAGAAUGGCUUUCUAAGCUUUGCAGAUGCAUCGGAUAUGAAUCCCAAAACCAGUCUCUCUGGAGGUAACUCUUUUGUAGAGGAUCUUUGCUUUUGGAGAGAACACGGUGAAUUUGAAAUGUCUCUGGCUUCUGUAUGUUGUCUUCAUGGGUUGAUACUGAGUAUUGUGAAUAUUGACCGUCUGAUUCUGUUAGCUAACACUGAAAGCCAGGCUUAUCCUCCCAAAUAUGUUAAUUCCUCAAGGGAAGGGGAAAUUUUAAGGGUUGGGAUGUUUAAGACGUCCCUCAUGGAACAGAGAAGCAUGCUUGACCUUUUCACUAAGAAAAUUGCUUUGGAGUGUGAUUCUCUGCAGUUAAUAGAGACCUUUGGCAGAGGGGGCCCUGCACCUGGGGUAGGAAUUGGUUGGGGUGUGUCUGGUGGUGGAUAUUGGUCCCUGGCUGUUUUAUUAGCACAAAAUGAUUCAGCAUUUCUCAUGUCCCUCGUUGAAGCAUUUCACACCAUUCCAACUUUAAAUGAACUAACUGCUCAAGAAUCCUUGACUUUCCAAAGCAUAAAUUCUGCCUUGGCUGUAUGCUUGGUUCUUGGGCCAAGAGAUAUAGGAUUGAUUGAGAAAACUAUGGAAUUUUUUAUCCAAGCUCCUAUUUUGUAUAAUUUCAAUCUUUAUAUUCAGAGGUUUAUCCAACUCAAUGGAAAGCUGAAGCAAUUUGGCUGGAAGUACAGUGAAGAUGACUGCUUGAUCUUUUGUAGAACAUUACGUUCUCACUACAAGGAUAGGUGGUUAACGCCAAAGGGAUCCACAUCCGUGAAGAAUAAGAGCAACUUAAGUGACAGAACAUUCAAGAGUGGCAGAGUAUCUUUGGAUACAAUAUACGAAGAGUCAGAUGAGACAAAUAGGAUGGCCCAAGGCUGUAUUUGUUUGACAGUACAGUGGGGUUACCAAAGACUUCCACUUCCUGGGCAUUGGUUUUUCAGUCCAAUUUCAACUAUCUGUGAUAGUAAGCAUGCUGGUCAUCAAAAAUCUGAUGCUCAAAGUAUUAUGCAGGAAUCUAGUGAUUUGCUUGAUGUUGCUAAGAGUGGGCUCUUCUUUAUUUUAGGCAUUGAAGCAUUUUCUGCCUUUCUACCCGAUGAUUUCCCUAAACCUGUCCUGAGUGUGCCACUGAUUUGGAAAUUGCAUUCCUUAUCUGUUGUUUUACUCACUGGUAUUGGAGUCUUGGAUGAUGAGAAGAGUAGAGAUGUUUAUGAGGUUUUGCAAGACCUCUAUGGUCAGCGUAUUAACGAAGCUAUGUCCUGUAGACUUCCUGCAGAUAUCAUGGAGAAUAAUGCAAAACAUUUACUAUCACAACCGGAAAAUAAGAAGAGCAAUAUAGAGUUCCUAAUGUUUCAAUCCGAGAUCCAUGAUAGUUACUCAAUACUUAUUGAAACUCUAGUGGAGCAGUUCUCCUCUGUAUCCUAUGGUGACGUACUAUAUGGUCGGCAAAUUGUACUAUAUCUUCACCAAUGUGUUGAAUCUCAAACACGACUUGCUGCUUGGAAUGCACUAAAUAGUGCUCGCGUUUUUGAACUUCUUCCACCUCUUGAAAAGUGCUUAGCUGACGCCGAAGGGUAUCUACAACCAAUUGAGGUGCAUUCUUUUCACAUGUUUCAAUUUUUGAAUCAAAUUUACUAUCAAACAUUUUUCUGAUACAGAAGUACAUAAAUUACCAUAAUCUUUUUUGGGGGUAUCCCUUUUGUGGGCAGAAUUUGAUGUGCUUUUAUGCUAUCAAAAUGGAUUGUAUGUUCCUGAAAGGUCUCUUAGUUACUGUUACAGUGCUACUGGAACUAGUUUAUGUAUACCCAUAGUAGACAGCAGGAAAAACAAGAACAGAAAAGAAAGGAAAAGAAAGAUAGAAACUCAAUGCUUGCGAUGAACAGCUUAUGAAGUUAGAGAAAUUCUCGUAUGCUUGUUUUUGUUUUCCUUUAUUGGGGAGGGGUUGUAAAGAAGUGUUUGUGAUUCUUUUAUACAUCCUCUUCCGUGAUACUUUUUACGAGUAGUUAAUUAACAAUAAAUGAACUAUCAGAACGUGUAGGGAUUAAUUUUUCGAUAUUUUUCAAAAUUUUCCUCCUUUUUAGUAAGAAUAUUGACAUGCCUUUUGUUGAAUUCAUAAGGGGUGAGCAAGAUAGACCAAAAAACCGAGAGGGGUCGAGAGGGGUUGGUUUCAAAAAGUUUCAAAUCGAGAAUUUCGAAAAUGUAUUUUGAGUGUUAUACCACCGACCAACUGACAAUCACCCCUAAUUCAUAUACUGGUCAAUCUAAUGCAAGAAGUUGGUUCCCUCGCAGGAUAACGAAGCCAUUUUGGAAGCUUAUGUGAAAUCAUGGGUUUCAGGUGCCCUUGACAGAUCUGCAAGUAGAGGUUCAGUAGCCUAUUUACUAUCUCUGCACCACCUCUCAUCCUACAUAUUCCAUUCUUACCCAGUCGACAACUUGUUGCUUCGGAACAAGCUCUCAAGGUCUCUUUUGCGAGACUGCUCCCACAAGCAUCACCACAAGGUACGGAAUUUAGUCUAAAUUUUAAUUGCUUUUAGUUUCAAUUAAUAUCCCUUGCUGUAACACCUACUAUGAUGCCAUUUGAUAACAGUUGUCAGCAUUUCCCAUACCAUUUCACAUAGAUUUAGGAAAUUAACUUAGUAUUGAAUGAUGAGAAUUGAAGGUAUACCAUUGCACAUCGUGAUCUAGUUCUUAAAGAAUUGGCACACUGAUAUCAUUAUUGUGUUAUGUUAGAGUUUCUUAUAGUUUUCCCAUUGAUUCUACAUCAUAUUAGAUGCAUUCUUACUAAAAAAAAAAGCUUAAUCUCAGGAAAUGAUGAUGAAUCUUAUCUUAUAUACCAAACCAUCAACCCAUCUUAUUGCUGGACAAAAGGGUGUUGACACAUCAAUUGGAAGGAGCGAUGUAGAAAAAAGGCUUGAGGUGUUGAAGGAAGCUUGUGAAAAGAAUUCCUCUCUUUUGACAGUAGUUGAAGAGCUCGGUUCUUCUACAAAAGGAAAACUGUCUGCAAUGUGAAGUUUGCAAAUGUGUAAUAUGUAGAGAAGCGAAGAGAUUGUAAUUGAGAAGUGGAGAUUGUGAUGGAAAAUCUAGGUAAUGGAGGAUUGUAGGGGAUGAUAUAUUCCCCAUCUAUCCCUUCUCAAACUUCAAUUAUGGGCAGAAUACAAUUUUGAUCCUUUAAUGGCGAAGUUAUGAGGUUUGUACAUGAAUUUUGUGCAGUUUAAACUGAAAUGGAACCAAAGAAACAUCAUAUCUGUAACCAUGGCCAGCAAGAGCCUUAACUUUUUACCAAAACAGUAGUCAUCACUUCAUUUUGGUAUUGACAUGCAAGUUUAUUUGAUUAAGAAUUUGUAAUACAAUGAAAGGAAUAUAAGUGAUCUGGAUUGAGUUAUAACUUUUAGCAUCGUAGCUUUAGAAAGUUCUUUUAGUUGAACAAAUGCGGGUGAAUUUUCACCACCGAGUUAUUACAAGUGAACUUGAACUAGUUUUAUUAUGAUAUUGAACUUAAAAUGAGAUUUCGUUUAGUUUACAUUGUCAAUACUAUUAAAUGAAUAUUGGUGUGAUAUGUUUAGCGUACUUCGAAUGAUGGAGACAAAUCUAAGAACAAUUUAAUAAGUUUUGUUAUAUAUUAUUGACAAAAAGAUUUAAGGUUUGAAUUUUUAUACACGGAUGUGGUAGAUGAUUGGAAAUAUAAUAUGAUAUAUUAUAUUAAUUUAAGAAAUAAAAUAGGAAAGUGCAAUCUUACUUAAGAGAUAACAAAGGCAUGAUAAGAAAAAUGUACUUUUGUCUCUGAGUAGGAGUAUAGUUUGAUGUUAUUUUUCAAAAUAUUACAUUUUAUCUUGAAUUUAAUUUCUAUUUCAUGGAAGAUUUAAAAUGUUACAAAGUCGAUUCUCAUUUGGUUUGUAGAUUACACAAGUUUUAUUGAUGCUCACCUUAGUUUUAGUUUGAUGUUAGUUUUAUAUUAGUUAAUGAAAAAUUAAAUUAGUUUUCAGUCAUUUUUUUGUCACCCUUAAAAUUAAUAGACAAUCUCUAAGUCAUAUGUAUUUCUAGUUGAUUCAUUAAAAAUUAACCCACAUACCAACAUUGACUAUUAGUUUUGGAAACGAAGUGCCAUUAUCUACAAAUUUAGGGACGAAUGAAAAUUCAACUCGGGUUAACAUUUGAAACCUUAGAAUCAAAUGGAAAAGGUGUUAGAGAUAAAAGGGUAAGAUUUUGAAACAUAUAAAUUAAUAGAAAUUACACAUUCAAACUAUUUGCUUAUAAGCAGCAUAACCUUAGCAUAUGAAGUGAAGAUAAGCAUCAGUAUACGUCCGUCCAGUUACAAAGUGGGAACUAUUAUUGUGAUUAAUAAUGUUAUAAGAAAUUGGAUGAUUAAAGUAAACAACCACAGCAUACGGAAUAGUUAAAAUGAUACAGCCAAAAAGAAGAAAAAAAGAGGGCUCACGAGUUGAGUAAGUUAAUGACCUAUGAAAUAUGGGAAAUUUUCAUUUUUUAUAUCUUUCUUCUGCCAUUUUUCUUUUCAUUUCCAUUGUUUUUUUCUCUUUUUUUUUUUUGCAUUUCUUCUUCUUUUUUCUAAACUGUUAUUUGGUUCGAUCUUGAACAAAAAUUGUUAGAUAAUGGUACACGUUUACAUUUGACUACAACCAAAUCUAACAAAUAUAAACGAUCUUAAAAAAAAUCGUUGGGAUAUUAGUACAUGAUCGUUAGACUUGGUAGCCAAAUCUAAACGAUCGUGUACCAAAUAAUCUUUAAAAAAAUAUCGUUUGGAUUUGGAUAGCCAAAUCUAAACGAUCGUGUAACUAAAUCUCAACGAUCUUUGUACAAUAUCGUAUACCAAAUAUAUUAUGCACGUGAGUAGUCAAUUAAUCGCAUGUUGAUGGGGGCAUUUUUGGUAUUUUUCGUUGUGGAUCUGUGAGCUUUUUUCAUUUUUGAAAUUGUUCUAUACAGUGUAAAUAUUUUGGUACUUUGUUAUAUUUUUAAAAAAAAUCCAUUGGAAGAAUGAGGAAUGGAAGAAAUGCGUUACGAAUAUAAAAAAGAAAAAAAAGCAGUGGUGAUCAAGGGAAAUUCAUUUUUGCACUUGGGCCAAUGAUGCAGUUAGUGAAGUACUAACUAAUGCGUGUCAAUUGCUGGUUGAAAACUAUUUCCAAACCCCCUCUUAGGCAUGUGUUUGACCUAAGUGCAAGCGAAACAGUAAGUUUACUUAGAUGACUAAUGAUCGAACAUAGGAAAUUGAUUCAAGACAUUAGUUCUAGGACUUACUUAUCAUUUAGCGGUAUAAAAGAAUUAAAGAAUAACAAAUGUAAAUAAUGUGAGACUAAACUAAACUAUUAAACUAAGCCUCAAGAGUUUGUAAAGAGGGAAUAAGAUAACAGAAUGGUAAUACAGACAAACUUGUAUCAUAGAAAUGAAGGAAGGAAUGUCUAUGCAUUAUCAUGCAGUUAAGUUGUGCAAUAACCCUAAUUCGAUAUAACUUACUAAACCAUACUUCUGAUUAAAGCUUGUUUCUCUUGAAGUCAUUAUACGCCACACAUGGUCACUUUCUAGGAUCCAUAAGACUAAACAUGAUUAGGUAAGAUAUAUCUAGAAGAGAUCACUAAUAAACCAUAGAGGAUUUCAUGAUUAAGAACAACAACCUCUUGGUGCCCACUAUCCACACUUGUUCUCCUUUCGAGACAAAUGCUGGAAAUGAUCUCGCGAAGGAAGAUGAAACUCUUCCUUGUGCGCUUUAGUUAGGUCCUUGCUACUUUCCUCUUGAGUAGUUGGCAACUUACUCUAGCUAGUCGAUGAGAAUAGCUCGACUAACAUGAUAAGACUUAUAAGAAAAAUUUCUUAUCAAGAACUUGUCACACAUCUAAAUUAUAAAUAACACAUAGAUUGAAGGAGAAUGAAGACAUGAUGGAUUAGAAAGGUAUAAACAUGUAAUAUAUGUAAAGAAUAUAUAGGCCUUCGACCAUUGUACGAUAUGAACAAUAUAAAUAUUACACAAAGAACACAAAAAUGGAAGACAAAAUAAUGGGAAAGAAUACAAGGGUUCGUAGAUAAGUUGUUUCCCUAAGUACUGAAUCCAAAUCUUGAACAAGGGGCUCCACCGUCUCAUUGACCCGACAGGGAUUUGGUUUAUAGGUCGAAUCUUAAAUCAAUUGUUCAAUAGUGGAUUACUGGGACUUGAGGAGCAAGAUGUAAUCUUGAGGUAAAAUGGUACUUUGACCCCAUCUGAGGUUACAAACAACAUGUGAAGGAUCAACUUACUAAUCAUGGUUACAUAAACAAAUAUAUCUACAGUGAUGGGAGUGCAACUACAAGACUUUAGUGGAAUGACCCAUUAAUUAAUAAAUGUUGAUUAGCUUGACCUAAAGGGUUUAACUAGUUAAUCUCGAAUCGUUGGAGCUCAUGGUCUAUAGGUCCAGUUCCAAAUAUUUGAAAUAAGGUUAAUCCUUCACUAGUAGUAGUGGCACGAAAUUCAUAUAUCCUUUCUCAUUGAUCUAAAAGAAUAACUCUCAACGAGAGACAAGAGAGAGAAAAAAAAAAAAGAAAAAACCUUUGUUGUUUCUCUGUCGAUCAAAUUAGGAUGGAAACCAAAGGGAACAAACAUUUGAGUUAAAAAAAUAUAUUUGAGUUGAAAAAACAGCAUCAUCAAUGAACCAAAUGUAAAUCGAAUUAUUUAGAUGGAUCUAAAAAAUAGUUAAAUUUAACUCCAUCCAACCCAAAAAAACGAAAGAUUAUCGAGAUGAGAGAUAUUUUUGUAGUUUAAAAAUGGAACUAUAUAUAAACUUCAUAAUUCCUAGACUAAAAUUGAAAUUUAUAACCAAAUUUAUAAAAGGAUUCUACUUUUUUUAUUUUGCUCUUGAAGAAAGGAAGGCUAUUUGGAGAUUGUGAUUGUGUUAUCAUUGAUGAUAUUCUACGCAUUCCCAAUACAUAAAAAGGUUUAAAAUGUGGACAGCCACAGCCCACAACUCCCCUUUAUAAACUAUCAUUUUCUUCCCUUUUACAUCAUUCUUUUUACCCAACUUAAAGCCUCCUCAUAGCCUAUCAUAAUUUAUUUUAUUGCCCUUUACUUAUUGUAUUUACAAACCCUAGUAUAUAUCGCAUCUAACUCUUUCUUUUGUAUCACUAAAUAUUACUUUACUUUGACAUUACCAUCUCUCUAAUUUCUAUUUUAUGUACUCAUGUUUGAGAUUUUCUUUUUUUCUUUUUGUAUUCCUAAAUAUUAUUAUAGGAUUUGGUAGGCAUCCAAUUUCUAAUUGAUAAAAGUAAUGUUUUAAUUUUUAGAAAAGCAAAAAAUAUCUUCCAUUCUCAAAACAAAUAUACCUUGGUUGACAUCAAAUAUGUUGUUAUUCCUCAAAAAAAUUCAAAAGCCUAUUUGUUGGGUUCUCAAAACCAUUGUCUUACAAGCAAAUUCGAUACAAUUGUGGUGUGAAUCGUUCUUGUUGGUUGUUUACCAAGAUUAACACAACUCCCCCUUCAGACAUACGCUUGUCAGACAAAGGAUUGGAAUUAAAGAAGUUUGACAUUCAAAUUCAUGUUUAGAUACUUGGAAUAAAAUGUUACAAAGAUUAUCAGAUUGUUAGGAAAAUUAUUGUCACAAUAAACAGAAAAACAUACAUAAAUUUUAGAUCUGGGUCCAACGAAUUCACGUUGUUUCCUCUUUAAGACAAGUUUACUCACUCUAGUGCUUGAGUAUUGAGAGUAAUUGACUUCCAGGAUAGAACAUAUGACAUUCUUCUAAGUGUAGCAUCCCGUAUAGAAGAUUAAAGAAUGAAACCUUGUAGAUCAGCUGUCGAAUGUCAAGAUUGUGGAUAUGGAGAGAAAUUAGUUUUUAGAAGACAAAAGAUUAUUGAUAUGAGUUUUCUCUCAACCAAAAUGACUUAUUUAUAAACUUAUUUGUGGUCAUUCGAAAAGUCUUGUCCUUUCUAUAAUUUAGUUAUUAAUACUUUUCAUGAAGAGAUGCAUCCACUCAUAAUGCAUCUAUUCAUGAAGAAUCACAAAUAAUAACCAUUUAUUUCAAAAUAAAAUUCCUUGAAUCAAGAAACUAAACUCAUGGGUUUGGAAUAUGUUUUUUUUUAUUGAAUGUCAUAUGUUUUAGAAAAAAAUUCACUUCAACCUUUUAUCAGUGAUCAUUGAUGACUGUUGAUAACAAAUGUUGGCUGACUUUACAAUCAACCAUUGAUGAUCGAUCGUGAACGAUCGACGGUCAUGACAAUCGAUUGUCUUGACCAUUGGCUCCAGAUCACUUUGAUCUUCGCCUUUAGAUGAUCUUGACCGUUGGUGAUCAAUCAUCAUGAUUGUUGGUGACAUACAACUUUGGACUUCAUUGUCGUCGAAUGAACAUCUUAAUCGUCGGUUAAUAAUAAUUAUUGUUAAUAAUCGACCAUCGUGCCUAUUAACAAACGUUCGUAAUGAUGGUCAAUGACCAAUAGUUGUGACCAAUUGUCAUGAUGGUUGUCUGUCUUCACCAAUGCUUCAUAAACUUUUUCUCUUGAGUUUGAAUAGUAAACACUAUUCAAGCCCAUGAAUUACCUUUUUUUUCUAAUUCAAUAUAUAAAAUUUGCUCGCCAACUUCGAACAUCGCCCCUGGUGAUCAUUGUUGACCAACCAUUUGGUGUCAUUUUUGACAACUUCGCUCUAAACUUCCAAACACCAACUUCGACGACACCACCAAACUUGAAAAAUUAAUAAAAAUGAUUUUUUAAUUUUUUUUUUUCUGAUUCAUUCCAAAUACACCUUUGAUCUAAUCACAACUAUAUGUUUUAAAAUACACAUUUUCUUAUUCUUCUAUUUUAUUUUCUUAAUCAUAAUUAUUAUUAGAUCAACUUUUUUUAUUUAUCUCUCUUUUCUCUUAUUUGUUUUAAAUUAAUCAUUCUUUCAUUUUAGAAGAUUUUGUUUAUGUUUUUUAUAUUUUUAGCAGGUGACAUAAACCAUCUUCUUUUUCUUUCUUACUGCUCAUCUUCUAGAAUAUUAAGAUCGUUUAAAUAUUACUUUGAUAUGAUUUAAAUAAUCGCUUACUUAGUCAAUACAAUCAUUUAGCAUCGUUAACAUGAUCGUUUAGGUUUGAAGCAUUUUUUUCAUCAUUAAAAAGAACAAUAUGAUUGUCUAUUAUUUUCUACAUGAUCGCAUAUAAAUGAUUGUAUAGAAAAAUAAUUACACGCGAGCGUGUGGCCAGUGUUGAUACUACUUACACGAUCGUGUUUCAUUUCCUACACUAUCACAUAUCAUGAUUGUUUAGAAUAAUAAUUAUACACGUGCGUGUGGCUGAUUAAUCUCUUGUUGAUUGAGGCAAUUUUUUGUAUUUUUCAUUGGGGGCAUGUGUACUUUUUGUGUUUUCAAAAUUGUUCUAUAUAGUGUAUGAGUGUGUUUGAAUUGAUUUUUGAACUGUUUAAUUUUUAAAACAAUUAAUUUUAAGAUAUAUUGAGGUGUUUGACAUAGGUUUAAAAUAAUUUUUAGAAAAAUGAAAUUAUGAAAUAAAUCAUUUUAGAGAAAACACAUUCAACAAAAUUUUAGAAUAAAUGUUUAUUUGGUGUUUAAUGAGAAAUCCCUCCCAAAUAUUUAUUUUUCUUCCUCUAUUUUUCAAUUCCUUUUUAUUAUCUAUUUUUUACUCGUUGUUCCUUUGUUCUUUGUUUUUUUAAAUACUUUGAAUAUUUUUUCAAUGUGUGUUCAUAUACAUUUAAAUAUAAGAAUUUGCAAAUGUUCAUCUCUCAGUCAAAUCUACUUCGCCUUAAUAUUUGUGAAAGAAAUCAUGAGGACGUCAAUGAAGAGCAUGAUCGUUUAGUUCGUGAAAUGAAGAUGAAUGAAAAACGUUAUUAAAUUACACUUUUUUUUUUGUUUAGUUAAUAUUAUAUUGUCUCGAAAAAACUAUUUAUCUUUAUUUAUACUUUGUUGUUGGAAAUCAAUUAUUUUUGUUGAUGGUUAUGUAUUUACAUCUCAAGAUAUUUGAGCUUUUAAAAUGGAAUUGUCCAAAAAACCAUUAACACAGAAAAAUGAAAUUCACGUUUAGUUUCAAGUAAGUAAAAAAUUAAUAAUUUCAAGAUAACGUGCUAUUAAUUUUAAAAUAUAUUUAUGAAAAAAGAUUUAAAAUGUAUGUAUUUCUUUAUAAAAUUAAUUCACAAUGUUUAAUAGUUUUUUAUGGUAAUUUGAGGUAAGUAUAAAGAUUAUUAGUAUAGGAUAAACCAAACACAAUUUUGGAAUAACCAUUUAUAAAGAGGUGAAAUUAAAUAUAUAAGUAUUUAGAUUUUAAACUCAUUUUAUAAAAAAAAAUUAAAAUUAAUUCUUAAAAACAUUUUCUUUGAAAGAAAAAUUUAUUAUUUAUAGAUAAUUUAUAGAUAAUUUAUUAAAAAUGAUAUAUUAAUAUUUGUUAGUAUAAAUGUGAAAAACAUAUUCAUAAUGGGUUGGGUGAAACUUAUUGUUAUUUAGAAAUAAACACAUAUAUUAAAAUGAAACAAAUCUGAAAUGAGAAAACAAUAUUUGAUUCCUUUUGUAUUUCUGUAGUGAGAUUGAGACAUUCCAUCACCGCCCCCUCCUCCCUCUUAUCUCUCCUUUAUCGCUUUCCUUUUCUUUAAUUAAACAAAAAUGUCAAUUUGCUUUUGUUUUUAUUAGGUUUCUUUUUACAUUUUCUCUGAAAACGAAUUGUUUUUCUUUUAUGAGGUUGUGUGUGUCCUUUUCUUUAUUAUUUCUCAAAUUGAAUAUGAAUCAAGCUGUCACUACUUCAUUGGACCUAAUUUUUCUUCCCUUUAACGGGCCGCGGCGUAGUUUUCUCACUCAUCAACACAGCUUUGACCCCAUAUAUAACUUCCCUCCUACCGUUUCAUUGCACGCUCCAUAUCAUCUCUUGCUUUCACUUCUCAUUGUGAACCAAUAAAAUCACACCCUUUUUUACUGCCACGUGUAUCGUUCUAUAUACCCCCUUUUUCUUUUUGUUACAAAACUUCUUCAUUAUUGAAUUAUCUUUAAUGACUUUUUGUUUUAACAAGUAUCAGAUUAGGUAAAUGUAGUUUAAGAUGCAAAGCUGGUUUAUGAAUCCUACAUCCAUACUCCAGCUGUAUUAAAAAAGAAAGUAUUAGAUCACAAAAAUAGUUCUAUUAUUUCAUGUAUUUAUUACAUGAUUAGUAAAGCCAACACACUUGUUACAUGAUAUUAAUCAACAUCAUGCUAAAAAAGAUGUGUGUGGUAACCACACAACUAACUCCACUCUUGUGUUUGUAUGGUAAUUUCAAUUAUCAACUUUAUGCUUAAUGCUAUAUUAGGAGUCUAAUUUGAUAGAGUUUCAAUAUGAAUGUAUGGAAGACCAUAUACUAUAAAUAAUUUACAAAUUCAAUAUAUAUAUAUAUAUAUAAUUAUAAUUAUAUUAUUUUUCAAAAACUAAAUGUUUAUGCAUAGAGGCAUACACGUUUUUAUAAAGUUGACAGGUUUUGGAAAAUCUCUACAAAAUGAACUAAUAAAGCAUAUAAGCUUACAAAAAUAAAUUAUGAACAUAGAAAUUUUAUGAGAAAAGUAGAUUUAUAAACUAAAUUCUAUAAAUUAAAAAUUAAAAAAUCAAAUAAUUAGAGAGCAGUACUGUUGAUGAAUUUUUUUUAAUUUGUCUUUAUUGCAAAAUAUUCAUCCAAAUGUGAGGUUGCAAAAGGAGAGAAGAAAAACAAAUAGUUUGCAUGUUGCAAUCCAAAUGUCAUCUUAGACAAGAUGGGUACAAGAUUUGUUGUAAUCUUCACCCACAUGCAACCAUCUUAGACAAGAUCGUUAGGUGAGAUGGAAUGUAAUAAUGAUAUUAUAUUUGUAUUUUUAAUUAAAAAAUCUUUAUGAUCAUCUCAUAAAAGAAUCAAAUGGUUCCUUUUAUAUUUAAUUUUUAACAUUAUCUUCCCUUAAUGACAAAUGUUUCCAUAAUUAAAAACUCAUAUUUAAUUACCAAUGUUUCUCUUGGUAAUUAAGGUAAUUAAAAACUUAUUUUAAUCUUGCAUUAAACUAAUUAUAUCUAUCUUUAAAGAACUUUUAUUUACUUGCUUUUUAGAAAUAUCAAAAUAUUUUGUAAAUAUUUGGUUGUUAUAUUAGAUUCACUUUCAUUUAUCUAAAAUAUAAAAAGAAUUUUUGCAAUCCAUCUAAACGAUCAUAUUUCUUACAUAACAUUCAAACUCUUAGCAAAGUUUUUUCUUUUUCCCCAUUUUUAUACUAGAAGAUUGUAGAUAGAAGAGAAAAGAAGAUUUUGAAACCAUGAUUUUGCAGAAAAUGGCAAAAAAAAAAAAGUUUCAAUUAGAUUGUAGACAGAAGAGAAGAGAAGGUUUUCAAGCCAUGGUUUUGCAUAAAACAAUGAAUGACAGAGAGGCAGAGUUUUGCGUCGUUUUUCGAUGGUUUGUAGUAUACGUUGAUCGUGAAAAACUUCAAACUACUGAUUAUUACAAUGAAAUACAAAAUUCUUAUUAUAUAUAAUUACGAAAUUAAAUGCCACUUAACGAUAUAGAAACAUAUCAUAGGGCCCACGUAAGUCAAAACCUUUUCACCAUUAUGGCAUCAAUCAGGUAGCAAUGUCAUAAUAUCGAGUGUGUAUGGGGUCCAAUUAAUAUGUGAAAAAUAAACAAACAUAAGUACACAAUAAAAAAUAAGUACACAACAUUCGCAUAAUACUUUAUACUAUAUGAGUGUGCAUCAGUCGAUCAAACAUUUGUUGAUACGUCAACAACAUAUUUGUUGAUUGUUCUAAUUCAGGUAGGAUGCCCCUCCAUUUAAUGUGUGAAAAAAAAUUAAUAAUAAGUCAUGGAGAUUGCAAAUUUUAUUAAAAAAAUAAUAUAAAUAAAAUAAUAUAAAUAAAAUAAUAUAAAUAAAAUAAUACCUAAAACUCAGUGGUCAAGCAACUAAAACUUGUAAUGUGGUUGCUACUCAAUUCAGUGCUAAGACUUAAGAGUUUCUAUUGUAAUUAAUGCAAUUGCGAUACAUCACUAAGUCAGGUCUUUGUGCAUAUUGAGCUCACCAUAACUCUUUGUAGAGCGUGCUACAUUUGAGGCGAUGGAUCACAGGGUAUGAUUAUAGCAUGCAAAAUGCUCACAAUGUGCCUCUUCAUCGCGUGAUUCUUAAAUCUUUGUUGAGUACAAAUUUUUCUACUGCUUGCCCAAGUGCAAGCGAAAUAGUAGGUUUACCUAGGUGAUCCAGGGUCGAAUAUAGAAAAUUGUUUUAGAUAUUAGUUCUAGGUUCUACUAUUUAUUUAGACAAGUUGAAAGAAUUAAAGAAUAACAAAUGUAAGAAUUAACUAACUACACAACGAAAGUCUGUAAUGCAACGUGAAGAGAAAGAAAAUACAGUGUAUCUAACUUGUAUUAGGGAAAAGAAGACAAGAAUGUCUACGCGAUAUCUUAUGAAAAAGUUGUGAGAUAUCCGUGACGCGACAUAACUUACUAAGACACAUUUGUGAUUAAGGCAUGCUUCUUUCAAAUGCAUAUCUGCCACACAUGACUACUUUUCAGAGAUCUAUAUGACCAAGUACGACUAGGUGAGCUAUGUCUAGAAGAAACAACUUAUGCAUCUUAUAGUAUUUCGUAUUUAAGGACAGUUACCUCUCAGUAACCACUGUCCACAUUUGCUAUCCUUUUGGGAUCCAAAUGUUAGAAAUACUUUCGCAGGGAGGUAGAGUUCCUCUCCAUGUGUGUUAAUUAGAUUCUAGCUACUUUGCCCUCUUGGGUAGUUAGCAACUUAUAUUGGCUAAGCAUUCACAAAAGUACAAUCAACAUGUUAAGAUUCAUAAGCGACUCUUCUUAUCAUGAACUAUUACCUACUCUAAUAAUGGAUAACACGUUGACUUGCAGAAGGUGAAGGAAAAUGGAUUGAAUGACUAUAUUUACAUGAACUUAACAAAGAAUUGUAAGUAUAGGUUUAUACAGAAUAUGUACAAUAUGAGGUAUACAAUAUGAACGAAAACACAAAAUGGAAAGAAGAGAAAAUUGAUUGCUAUUAUAAGUUAGAUGAUCAACAAAUACUAAUCUUUCUUUAUCACUGUUGCAUAUUAUUCAGGUAGCUUUCUCAAGCUCUCUCUCUCUAGACAUACUUUCUUCGACCUAUUCGGGCCCCCCCCUUUCUCUUGGUGGAGAUGAAGUGCUUGUAUAGGCUACUUUUCGGAGAGAAAAUUCAGCUCUUUUGAUUGUGUCAGCGUUGUCAUCGAGCCCUGUGAGGUCACAUCAUUCCAACUACCAUUAUUGUCUUCUUCUGAGCUUUCAUUGCAUGAUGUUUAGGUUCAUCGUUUGUAGUUGUUAGUUGCCAAGCUUGAUCCAUCUCAUUGUCUUUGCGCUAGAUGUCAUGUAUGAGUUACUCCUUUCUUCUUUUUCCACUUGUCCUACGUUUAAACAUGAUAACCGCCUAAAAUAGAAACGAGAUUUAUAUAAGCCAUAUUUCUAUAUAUUUAUGCGUUUACAACAUAAGUUAUGUGUUCUAAUCAUCUCCUUAUGCGUUUUAACCUCAUUAUUCUAAUAAAAAGGGUUAUAAUAACGGUUGUUUCCAUACAUUAUCAUAAUGCAACUUGUGGUGCUAUAAUAGAAAAUCUGUCAUAUACCCAUACUUGCAUUAGUAUUAGUGGCUUGGCUAUUUCUAAGGAUUGUGCAAUGGCUCGACACAAUUUUCUGUAAAGCCAUGCAAGGCAUGCAUUGGCCUAAGAGUACGUACUAUCCUAGUUGAAAUCGCUUAAAAGCAAAAGGAAACAUACAAUGUAUUGGUUGUGUUUAUUAUGCUCAUUCAGACUCAAACUCAAUGUGUGAAGUGUGUUGAGUUAUAAUUUGGUCUUGGUGAUAUGUCACUGAGUAUGUUUAUAGCAUGUGAGAUGUCCACUAUGUCUCUUUGUAUCGCAUGAUUCUUAAGUUCGUAUGGCGUACAAGUUUUCCUACUGCUUGCCCAAGUACAAGCGAUAUAGUAGGUUUACAUGGAUGAUCCAGGGUUGAACACAUGAACUUGAUAUCAAAUCUUAAUUCUAGAGUUUAUGUUUCAAUUAGGCGGUAUAAAAGAAUUAAUUAAAUAAGCAUGGAAGAAACAAAAUUAGAACUAAAACUUCUUGUAUACACCUAGAGAAUCUGAAAAGGGGUAGAGAUCAAUACCAGAUGAAGAUGUGAACUAACUUGUAUCUGAGAAAAAGUGAAGGAAUGUCUAUGCAUUACAACGCGAUUAAGCAAUGUGAUAGGCUUGACGCGAUAUAACUUACUCAACCAGCUUAUGAUUAAGGCAUGUUCCUCUCAGAGUCAUUAAACGCUACACAUAGUCACCUAUCAGAAUCUCACAUGAUUAAGCCUGGUUAGACAAGAUGUAUCUAGAAGAGUUUGCUUGUAAGAUGUAUAGAACUUCACGAUUGAGGUCAACAAUCUCUCGAUGCUUAGUGCCCACACUUGUUCACCUUUCGGGAUACAAAUGUUGAAAGUUAUCUUGCAAGAGAAAAGGAUACUCUUCUUUACGCGCGUUAGCUAUGUCCUUACUACUUAUCAUCUCAUGUAGUUGGUGACUUACACUGGUCAAGUGGUGAGAAUAGCUCAACUAACGAGAUAAGACUUAUAUGCAACACUUCUUAUCAAGAACAUAUCACAAACCUAAACUACAAAUAACACAUUGACUGAUGGAAAGUAAAGAAAUGAUGGAUUGAGCACGUAUAAACAUGUAAUAUAUAACAAAGAAUAUCAGACUUUGGCCAUCGUAUAAUAUGAAUAGUGUAUAUAUUACAAAUGAAUACAAAAAUGGGAGAUAAAGAGAAGAGAAAUGAGUACAAGUUAGGGGAAAUAAAAAGUGAACUUCUCUCCAUUCAGGCACUAAGCUCCCACUCAGAGUAUGACCGAAGAAGAAGGAAACUGCUAUUUACAAAUGGCUUUAAGACUAUUCCUUUUCGUUCUCCAGGCUGGGACUCCUUCAAAGCCCAAUAAUGACUCAUUCCAGUGUCCUCUAAUUUUUGAUCCAUUUAGGCCUAAUUUUCUUGGUGAAGAAGGAGACUUUUUAUAGGUAGAUUUCGCUGAAAAACCUCUAUUCUUCUGAGCACGUAAGUGUCGAUUGCAGCCUUGCAAAGUCACAUCAGCUUCAACUACCAUUCUUGUCUUCUAAUGAGUUUUUCUCGCAUGAUGAUGUGGUUCCUCACUUAGAAAUUGUAUUUGCUAGAUACGUUCUUAUCGUGUAACGCUUGCACGAGUUCCUCUCUGUGAUUCAUUAGUUCUUUCCUUCUUAUUGAUCCUACGUUGAGACACUGAAAACGGGGUAAAAGCAGGCAUGGGUACUUAUGUAAAGUAUAUUUCUAAGAAAUUAUGCUAUUUCAACAUAAACUAGCAUUUUUUUUUAUAAAUAUCUCUUCCUUAUUUUGGCCUUAUUAUUCUAAUAAAAGAGUCUAUAAUAACUUGUAUUUUUACAAGUUAUCAUGUAUUAGGGUGUAUUUUACUUGUCGACAAACAAAAAGUCUCCAAUGAGUUGCAUAAUCGCUAGAGCAUAUUUAUGAAGUUUACAACGUUAGCAUCUAGUGGCAAUUUUGUGAAUUGUUCGGUCAACCAUGGAAGACUCAACCUUUGACCUUUCAUAUCAGACGGUAAAACUUUCAAGAAAUCUUCACACACUUGUUUCUAGUUAUACAUUAACUGUGGGACCCAUAUUUGAGAAAGGGAGGCCUGUUGAAGAAGAAAGGCUCUGAGGAGUGAGAUGAUCUUUCUAAAAUGAAAAGAUUCAUCAUUUUAAAGAUAAAAUUUGAAGGGAAGGAUGUCACGUUGAGAGAAGGUGAUGAAGAAAAAGUUGGUGCGACGAAAGAGUUCUAUCGUAAGAAGAGUUAAGUAAAGCGAAGAGAAGUUAGAAAAGAAGUGGGCGGUUGUAGCCUUUCGCAAGGAAGAAGGUGAAAAAAAAAGAGUUUAGGUUCCUGAGAAGAUAAGGCGAGGAAGAGUUGGGCUUCUCGAGAUGAUAAGUUUUGCGUCUUGAGGGAAUGUCAAAUCGAAAGAUGAUCAUUGGCUUAUGUGUCGAGCUUGGUUUGGCUACAUAGUGUGGUAAGGUGGUAAAGUGACACAUCUAAUUUUGUAAUUCAGAACUGGCAGGCAAAGAAAGUAACAAGCCCAAAGAAUUAUUAUAAAUAAGGGUGAAGACCUAAGAGAUGUGCUGUUAUUUGGAAGUUUCGUUGAGAAAGCGUAAGUAUUUGAGUCACUGCUAGCGUGAGUGACCUUCUUAAACUAAACAAUCCUGCAUGGGUGAUUGUAAGCUAAUAUUUUGUGAACGUUUUCUUAAUAGAUUCUUUCUAAGUCUAUGUUAUGUGUAACACAUUUUGUAUCUCUUUGUGCUAUUAUUAUUGUUGUUAUGGUUUUAAAAGAGAAAACUAUUACUUCUUAAACUAAACACUCCUGCGUGGGUGAUUGUAAGCUAAUGUAACAAAUGUGUUCAAACCAUUAGCCUUAUUCUUAUCAAGUGAGCAAUGUUUAUACGGUGUGCGCAUAAUGUGAAUGGUGUCGUGUGGGUGACUGAUGCAACAAAAAAAAAAAAAAAAAGAAUCAGAAAACUUCUCAGCUGUUGUGGAUGGAGUGAACAUCAUAGUAACUCAAUCGCAAGAUACUGACAAGAGUGAAUCGCGACAGGCUUGACGAGAAGAAAGAUUCAUGUUCUUAGUGGAAAGGAAUAAAAGAAGCUAAUGCGAGAUUUUUGUGAUUUAUGAAAUGAGAUGUUGGAAAAUGCAUUUAAGAAAUGAAACGUUUUGUGCUUAAUUUGUAUUUCCAAAAAAGUUUUCUAAAAUCCUCACUCACUAUGUAUUUAACUUACGUAUUUAAGUUUUGCUUCCAUAGAAAAUUAGGCGUUGAGGCCAAGUAAGAAAAUGAAAGAUGGAUUAUAACGUAGGAAAGCUGACCAUGUUAUUCGUCUUUGGAUGAUUUAAAGUUAUUAUGUCCAAAGAUAGCAACAUCCCAAUUUUGUAUGUGAGAUGAGUCUUUUCUUUGAAAUGGGUUGCUAAUCGAUCAAGGAGAACGUCACACCCUACCCCAUAGACACCCUUGCUUUUCAUGGAAGAUGUGAUAUGACUUAAUUAUCUCUGACGCAUUAAAUGCCAAAGACACUUAAUCUUAAGGUCCUUAAGCUCUGCUCAAUUGCCCAACCUUAUACUUGAUUUUAACUCUUACAACUACUCUUUAAGCGAUAUAAACAACCUUAGACAAAAUGUAUUCAAACAAACUUUUAUUAAACUUCAACCAUGCUAAAUCAACUCUUUAUAGGUUACACACUUUCAAAACUUAAAACUUAAGCUAAAACGUUUGAUAGCUCUUCUUGUCUGGCAAACCUUUAAACUUUUCUUACUUGGCCUUAACACCUGAUUCUUGGAAGAUAAAGCUUUAAAACGUAAGUCAACAUACUUAGUGAGGUUUUAAGAAAUACAUUUAUGCAAAAUACCUUUUGUAAACAUCAUUUUGCUUAAUAAUCACACCAAUUCAACAUUUCACACACACACUAGUCAACCAUCAUUCCUUUUGUCAAGGAUCCUGAAUCAUUAUCUAUGCUAAGUCUCUUUACUUUGGAUUUAGACUACUAUAACAACAACAUAUGAGAAUAUACAAAUUUGUCCUUGUUGCUCAGGUUGAAGCGCAAGCACAUCAUUAUACAUUUUCCCACCUCAUCUCAUCAUUUAGAUUUUGAACAUCGUUUCUCAAUUAUUAUAAUCACAUAAACAUGCUUUAAACAUAACAAAGUAUGAUAUAAACUUUACUUGAAAAUCUCUUUAGAAACAUAGAUAUUGAAAUUAUUAUUUCAAAACCAGUAAACACUUUACUAAGAAGGCUUGAAGUCAUUAAAUACUUUGAAGAAAACACUCACUAAACUAGAGAACUUAAACCUGAAAUGCUCUUCUUCUUCUUUUUCUUCUUGUGUACACACUUUAAUAGCACUUCAGUCCUUUAGCUUUCUUUUCAAUUUUGUGGGGUAACAAUAACUAUAGUUUGACCUCAACCUCUAUUUAUACUACUCCUCAAACAAGCUUAGCCACCCUUAAACUCUUAUUAGCUCACCAACUCCUACUUUUAAUGGUGCACGUGUAAGCUUAAGGUUUAACUUAGUCAUGCUUAGCUGAAUCUCUACCGUGGCCCAUUAAGCAUACUUUUAGGAAAUUUCUAGGAAGUUUUCUUACUUUUUCUCGCAUAGCUCCUUAGCUUCCUACCUAACACCAUCUCGCGAAAAUCCUUUUUCGCACAGUCUUGCCACUUAACCUCUCUCGUAAACUACCUUAAUUAUCAACUUCUUAUCAUGUAGACUUCUCAAAACGUCUUUUCUUUAAACACUUAGUUAAAAUUAUUCUUUAACUUAAGUAUAGGUCUUACAGUGAAAGAUAAGAAAGGGGUUCUUAUACCCCCAAACACCUUGACACAAAGAGUAGCAUCUCCGUGGAGGAAGGAAGACUCGAAGCUUAGAACUUAGGUUUUAUUUAAGUGGCUUGUGAGGAAGAAAAUGUAAUUGUAAAGUGUUAAAUCAAGUAAUAAAAUUAGAUUUUUGUUUUUCUAUCUUUUCGCUAUGUUGUGUUUAUGUCCCUAUAGUUAUUAUUGCUUAGUAGCUUUAGUAAAGUGUUGAAGACUAGGUGAUAGAGCUAAGUUGGUCAUUCUAGUGUUUUUCGCUGUAAUGAGUUGUAAAGAUCUUUCGAGUUCAAAGUGAAACUCUAUGAUGGAGACUAGUUGAGAAUUCGGCUUACUAGCCGUUUAAUUCGUUAUCUCACGGAGAGGUAUGCGUUAGGUGUCUAGUCAGCAUGCCUCCCUUUGGUUGCAUGAAAUGGCUAGUGGGGUAGAAAGUGACAUUAAUGAUUCCAUAACAGGCUCUUCAUCCAUUGGUAACCCCAACUGGAUCUCAAUGUCCUGCAAUGUGAUAGUGCAUGUUCCCCACAAGGCAUAUGAAAUGUGUGGGUCUUCGGUCUCCAACACUCUACUAAAGCAGUAAUGGGGUGCCAAUCCAGCUGCAUGAAUCCAAUAUGAGAAACCCCCACUACAAGAAAUGACACAUACGAUAGCUAACGAAAAAGUCUAUUAUAGACUUUUUAUAGCCUUUUUCGAAAGUCCCGACAACCCAUGUUAUUAAAAGUCUGAGACUUUUUAUAGCGUCUUUUCGAAGUUAUAACGAGUGCUACCGUAGAGUAUGAAGAUAUAGCUUAUAUAUGUUGCUAUAAAAAUAUUUGAUAGCGUUUUUCAUUAGAGCUAUGAUAAGUUUAUAUAUCUUAAAUAAUGUGCUAUCUUUGACAUAUAAUAGCAUUUUUUCGACGCUAUAAUAUAGUAUUUAUAGCUAUAAUAUAAUAUUUACAGCUGUAAUAUUUAGCUAUAAUAUUGUAUUUGCGGGUGUAAUAUUAAGCUAUAAUAGUGUUAUUUAAUCGUUUUCAAUUAUUAUAAUAAUCUUUUGCUAGCAUUUUAUUUUUAGCUAUAUCAAUCUUUCUAUAACUUUAAGUUAUGGCUACGAAAGAGGAAAUUUUUUUCUGAAAAAUAAUUAAUUAACUUUUGAUAAAUUUUAGUUAAAUGACUCAAAUUUAGUUAAAUCUACCGCACAUAAAUACUUCAUAGCACAAUGAAUAUUAAUAACUUACAUUCAUAAUAUAUUAAAAUUACAAAAUAAAGUAUUUAAUAAUUUACUUAUUUAAAGUUUCAGUUUAAAAGAUACAUAAAGUAAAUAAAUAUUUUGUAAAUGUAACAACAACACAAAUUAACCCUAAAAAAAAAAUCAAUAUAAGUGUUCACAAUUAUAUUAUAGCUAGGUAUGAGCUAACUGCCAUCAUUAGUUCUUUAGUCCUCAGAUUAAGACACCAUUUCAUUCACCUACAUAAAUUUGUAAAAACAAAUAUCAAUGAAUGAUUAUGUAGACACUAAUAAUAGUGGAUAUUAAAAAUCGUAAUAACAAAAAUGUCUUGUGACAGAUACAUCAAAGCCUUGUAUGCUAUGCUACUCUAUAUCAUCUAGAUAGCUCCACUUUCUUUCUUUCAUAAUUUGUCUAUCAUGUUGUGCUAAUUUCAAGUUCUUCAAACCCCAUGAACAUACCUGAAUUUUAAGAUACUAUAGAAUCAGUUCAAAACUGAAGGUGAAGGAAAAAAAGAAUACAAAGAUAAUAAUCAGAAAAUGAGUAAAUCUACACAAGCACAACAUAUCAAGGAUGAUGUAUAACAAGAAAAUUUUAUAUAGUGUGCAGAACCAACCUUUUUCAAGACAUUAUAUAGUGUGCAGAAAAUACAAACACAAAUAUGUUGGCUUCAAGUUACACAAAAAUAGAAUAAAUACCAAUGUUAACAAGAAAAGAAAACUUUAUAGAUUAAACAAAAAGAAAGCUUACCACAAAGAUUGUAGUCGACUGAGAAGCUCCUACGCAAUUCUUUAACACACUACAAGAAAUUGAGAUUUUACCAUGACGCACAACAAGCGUUACUAAAAUGAGAAAAAAGCUAAAAGUAUUAGCAACGCAGUGUCAUAACCCUUUCCCACAACAUAAAUAUGGACUUGCCACCACACUUGGUCAGCAAAUAGAAUCAGAAGUGAACCCACACCUAAUCCAGUUGCAACAUCAGAAUCUAGAAUUACUUGAUUGAGCGAUCGUGGCCUGCCAAAGAAUAAUCGACUUUUAGGAAUAAGAUACACGCAUUAUGAGCCCUAACACUUUCUUCUUCACAUCAAAAUAACAUUAGGGUCAGAAUCACAAGCCCUAAUAUCAUAAAAUUUUAUUUUUCUUGUGAUUAGAAACUUAACAUAUCAAGUUGUUCAUAGAUGGUUCAAAUUAGAAACAUAAUACAAGAACACAAAAAUGGGAUUCCUAAGUCCUAAAAACUACUUCAGGGGACAGGGUGAAGAAACAAAAAAUCUAAUUUGUUUGCUAAAAAUUUCCUCUAUUUAAUCACAAUAUGAAGACCUAAACCAUUUCUAUACAAAAUCCACCUACAUAUAACUUAACCCAAAAAUCAACAAGCCAUUUCAGCACAACCAGUAUGAGAAUCACAAAUCCUUUCAAAUUUCCAAUAAUACUUCUUAUCAGAAAAACAACAUUCAUCAAAUAAUAAAAAUGAUCAUGAUCAAAGCAACAAAUACAUAUACCAACAACAAGUGCAAAAGCAAUGAGAUCAAAGAUAAACACUACAAUCAAAACCAACAUACCCAUGAUUCAAAGAUCUAGCAACCUCAAGAAAAUCUUAUACAAAUAGAAUAAAUUCCUGUAAUUACAACAAGAAACACAAGAAUGGAAACAACAAAAAAAACUUUGAAACCGUCAAACAAACAGAAACUUCAAAAUUCAGAGAGAGAGAAAAACCUUACAUUGUUUGGUACUUGGCUUCAUCUCACAUAAAUUUGUCGGUGUGGUCGUCUGCAAGAAAACAUAAUGGGUUUGCCGAUGUGGUCGUGGUCGUCUGCAAGAAAAGAAAAUCGGGAAGGGGGUUAUUGCCAAAAAAAAAACAAAAUCAUUCAAAAAUAUGCACGUGCACUUUAAUUUUAAGUUUAAAAGUUUACAAAACAAUACAUAGUUGUAUGAAACAAUGCAAUGUCCAAUUUAUAAAACAAAAAUGCAAAAAUCGUAAAAUCAAAUAAUUACACAAUUUACAUAUCAAUUAUACUGUAAAUUUAGGCCAUAAAAUUUACAAAUCAAUACACUAAAAUUUAAGUCCUAAAAUGUACAUCAAACCCUAAAAUAUACAUCAAGCCAUAAAAUCAAACAAUUAAAUUUCCACACUGUAUACAAAAUUAUACACUUAACCUAGUCGUGAACCAUGGUUUCACCAUAGUAUUUUUUACAAAAUAACAUUAUUAAAACAAAUUGUUUAUGAAUAACAAAAAUUCAUCUUAAAAAGUAGAAAAUAAUUAUACCUUGACACUCCUAAACAAUCAAAUGGUAGGACGAUGACGAACACAAAUAUGAGAUUGACGACCAAUUUGAUGGACAACUCACAGGAGUUGUGGACGAGGUCUACGACUUCAAUGCCUUGUCGAGUACUUUGUCCACAACUUCACGAGUCUAUUCUCGACAAGAGUUUCUCUCAUACCCUACUUUUUAUAUUAAUUUUUAAAAAUAAAAUAGAAAAGGUAUGACUAACAUAUGUAAGAUUUUUUUUAAUGGAAAAGUAUUAAAUAUUUAAAAAGCAUAAAAACAAAAAAAUGGAAGGGAAUAAAAAAAUGAUAGGAAGAAAAGGGUAUUUUAAGCAAUAAUAGUUAAUUUGUUUCUCUUUCCUCUCUCCCCUCACAAGAAUCUCGAUCCAUGUUUGUUCACUCUUCUCUCAUUUCCCAGAAAACCCUGACAUUAUUUAUUUUUCCUUUUACUUUAAAUAUUUUCUCCUUUUCUCUCUCCCCCUCUCUCUUCUUCCUCUCAAGUCCAUGAGCUACCAUUACUUUUUCUCCCUUUUCCUCAUACAUGGAAAAUGUAAUCAUCACUCCCAAUGUUAAAACAUCUUUAUAAAAUUAGAAAAAGGAAAAUAUAAUAACAUUCUUUCCUUAUAAAUUAUUUAUGACAAGAAAAGAAAAAAGGAAAAAAAGAAAAAAAGCAGCAUUCUAAUUGUCUCUUUUCCAGCGCCACGUUCAAAGAGUCCGUUCAUUUGCAACUUCUCUCUCCUUCGUUUGUCUCUCCUCUACUAGAAACGUCUCAACAACAGGCUCUUUAUUUUAAUGGCGGAACCACAACACGCGUCAACAAUCUUCUCCCAUUCAUCCUUCCAACUUUUCAACUCUCAAUACCCAUUCCCUCAUUCCCCGUUACAUUUAUUAUUUAUUACUUUCCUUUUUCCUCUCCCCAAUAUUUGCACUUCAUCAUUCCUAUAUAGUCCUUACAAAAUCUCCGUCCCAUGGAUUUCUCUCUCAAGUCUUUCAAAUCUCAUCCUUCUUACAAAUAUGUUAGGAAGCUUUCUGGGGCAGAUGCUACUCAAGACCACGAACACCUUCCUAUUCUUUCUGAUCACCAACACUCCAUAAUGGCAGUUUCCGAUUCAUCUGAUCGGAAAGAGGUUAUCGUCAAGGUCGAUGAGGCUGAUGCUUCCACUUUAAGAGCUACGGACUUGGUAAACGGAAGUGGCACGAUUUGGCGGGAGUCCAGCUAUGAUUUCUGGAAUGAUAGUGAUAAUAGACGGAAUUAUGGCGAGGGUGGUGCUAAAACUACUGAUGAUUUUGAGUUUAGGCAACAUAGGAAGGAUGUGGAAGAUCCGCCCUCCAAGCUUAUCGGGCAGUUUCUUCACAAACAGAAGGCGUCGGGAGAGAUGUCUUUAGAUAUGGAUAUGGAAAUGCUGGAACUACCACAGGAUAAGACUCCGCUUUCUACGGUGGCGGAAUCUCCGAUGCGACGGAGUUCGAGAGAGUUGAAGGUUUCCUUCGAGUCUAUUUCAGAAAUAUCUGAAAACGAUUCCAUGAGAAGACGGCACAGAGACUCGCCACUCGAUGAAGAACAUAGAGGUCAGCAACCGCGGCAGUGUGAUCGUCGUGCGCAUGGCAGCAAUGGUGAAGAUGAUGGUGCUGCUGAGGUAUUGAGAUGCUCAUCCAAUUCUUUCUUUCAAAGAGAUGUAUCGUUCCAGAGGAAAUCUAGCUUGCUUAGGGCUAAAACUAAGUCUAGAUUACUGGAUCCACCCGAACACCAAGACCGGAGGUCAGGACGUGUACCAAAAUCAGGACAAGUUCGCUCUGGUUUAAUCUCAAAAGCCUUAGAUGAGGAAGACGAUGAUCCAUUCUUGGAAGAAGAUCUUCCUGAUGAGUAUAAGAAGGCCAAUUUAGGUGUUCUGACUCUGUUACAAUGGGCGAGUUUGAUUCUGAUAAUAGCAGCAUUGGUUUGCACUUUAACAAUUCGUUACUGGAGGAGAAAGAAACUAUGGAAGCUUGAAGUAUGGAAAUGGGAGGUUAUGAUUCUUGUUCUAAUAUGUGGCAGACUUGUUUCUGGUUGGGGGAUUAGGGUAAUCGUCUUCUUUAUUGAAAGAAACUUUCUACUUCGUAAGAGGGUUCUAUACUUUGUUUAUGGAGUCAGAAAGGCGGUCCAGAAUUGUCUUUGGUUAGGUCUAGUUUUAAUUGCUUGGAACUUCCUGUUUGAUGACAAAGUUCAAAGAGAGGUAAAGAGCAAUGCCUUAGAAUAUGUGACCAAAGUAUUGGUAUGUCUUCUUGUAAGCACUUUGGUUUGGCUAGUAAAAACACUGAUGGUGAAGGUUUUGGCCUCUUCUUUCCAUGUGAGUACAUAUUUUGAUAGGAUUCAAGAUGCAUUGUUUAACCAAUAUGUAAUUGAGACACUGUCAGGUCCUCCAUUGAUAGAGAUUCAAAAGAAUGAGGAAGAAGAAGAGAGGCUUGCUGAAGAGGUUAUAAAGUUACAGAAUGCAGGGGCUACCAUCCCUCCUGAUUUAAAGGCAACUGCCUUUUCUACAGCUCAAAAGGGUGGGAGGGUGAUAGGUAGUGGAGGGUUGCAAAAAAGUCCUCGUGGAAGAAGUGGCAAGUUAUCUAGGACACUGUCGAAAAAGGGCGGCGAUGAGGGUAUAACAAUUGAUCACUUGCAUAAGCUUAGUCCUAAGAAUGUGUCUGCUUGGAAUAUGAAGAGAUUGAUGAACAUUGUUAGACAUGGGACCCUUUCAACUUUAGAUGAACAGAUUAAAGAUACAGCUCAUGAGGACGAAUCAACCACAGAGAUUAAGAGUGAAUAUGAGGCAAAAGUUGCUGCGAAGAAGAUUUUUCUGAACGUGGCUAGAAAUGGUUCUAAGUAAGUUAAUUCAUUUCUUACAUCCCUUUAUUGUUUAAAUUGACUAUCUAAAGUGUUUCAAGUGGUUUUUGCAGGGUCAUGAGGCCUUUUCAUGAAACUUCUUGUUUUUUUUACUGUACUGUGAAGGAAUUUUCAAACAAGUACAAUGCUUUUUCUAAAAAUCAUGGGGGAAAAGAUUCCUUAUCAAGACGAUUGAAAAGCUAAGGAAAAAAACAUUUUUACUAUUACUACCAGACAACUGGAUAAAUUGUGUUUUAUGAAAGAAUGUUCUUUUAAAAUUGUGCUUGCUUUCGAUAAAGUGGCUACUUCAAAAUUAUAUUCUCUAGACAAAUUUAUCAUAAAUUUGGAAUUAAUUUGAAACCAACCCAUUUUACAUGGUUCUACUUUUAACAUGGUACAUGCGACAAGUUGGUCAACCAAGCUGCCUUGAGUGUGACUAAUGCUUUAAAUUCCUUCAUUAGCUUUUGUUUCAUGGUAACCAGUUCAUGAUUAAAGGGAAUGCAGUUAUAUUUUUCCAUCCACACCUAGAUAUAUCAACUGUGGUUUUAGAAAUGCUAUUGCUAACAAACAUAUUGAAAUACCUUUUUUGAAUACGUUUCGUCUCUUGUGUUUUUAUAAGUAAUUAGGUUCUUAAAUCAUGUUUUAUUUAUUUAUUUUUAUUACUGACUUUUACUCAAUUCUUAAUUUCAUCCAUUUGUUAGAUAUAUCUACCUAGAGGACUUGAUGCGUUUCAUGGAAAAAGAUGAGGCUUCAAAAACCAUGGGUCUCUUUGAAGGAGCAUGUGAGAGUAGAAAAAUAAGCAAAUCAUCCUUGAAAAACUGGGUGGUAAGAUCUAUCUUGUAAAAAUCUUAAAUUAAAUACAUUAGUCUUCCCACUCCACAUUUUAAUGUUGCAAAUUCUAUGGUUAUUUAUUGCAGCAUUAGUCGCCACAAUAGGGGUGUGUCUUGGUUAAUCAAUAAUUAGUUUUGAUCUAAAUGAUAUUAUUCAUAUAAUUGUUGCAGGUUAAUGCCUUUAGAGAACGAAGGGCUCUAGCUUUGACAUUGAACGAUACCAAAACAGCAGUGAACAAACUUCACCGCAUGGUGAAUAUUUUAGUUUCUGUCAUUAUUCUGGUUAUUUGGCUAUUGAUUCUGGGUAUUGCCACUAGCAAGUUUCUCCUAUUUGUGACCUCUCAACUCGUCCUUGUUGCAUUUGUAUUUGGAAAUACUUGCAAGACUGUUUUUGAAUCAAUCAUCUUCUUAUUCGUGAUGCAUCCAUUUGACGUCGGAGACCGAUGUGAAAUUGAUGGUGUGCAGGUAAUUCUUCUCCCCAAGUAAUUUUACUAGUGCAUUCCCGUAUGAUAUUCUUUGUUCUAAACUGUAGCUCCCUGAAUUUCAGAUGAUUGUUGAAGAAAUGAACAUUUUGACUACUAUUUUUCUAAGAUACGACAACCAGAAGAUCAUAUUUCCGAACAGCGUUCUCGCAACAAAGGCUAUCCACAACUUCUAUCGUAGUCCUGACAUGGGAGAUGGUAUAGAAUUCUGUCUUCACAUAUCUACUCCACCUGAGAAAAUAGCUAUCAUGAGACAAAGAAUAAUAAGGUAUGUAGUUACUAGUCUUGAAUUACCAAUUACCGAAUGGCUCAAAACUUACGCUGAUAGGUUAACGCAAAUUUAUAUUAGGUUCGUCAAACUAAUUCAAACGCACUCUCAUUUCUUUGACGUCUCCAUCCUUAUUUUAUUAUUAUUUUGUUUAUGUCUUUCCAGUUACAUUGAGGGCAAGAAAGAGCAUUGGUGUCCUGCGCCAAUGAUUGUCCUAAAGGAUGUAGAAGAGUUAAAUAGAAUGAGAAUAGCAAUAUGGCUUACUCAUAGAAUGAACCAUCAAGACAUGGGGGAGAGGUGGACAAGGAGAGCUCUUUUGGUCGAAGAACUUGUUAAAAUUUUCCAAGAGCUCGAUUUGCAAUACCGUCUCCUACCACUUGAUAUCAAUGUUCGCUCCUUGCCUCCUGUGAACUCUACUAAUCUUCCUCAAAGGUAAUUGGACAACCUCUGCAAAAGUUGAGUGAGGCAGACAAGGAAAUCAGGACACCGUAAGCUCCUCUUGAGAAAGAGGAUAUGCUUUUGUAUCUAUGUUUAUUGAGUUGAUAGGUCAUGUAAAAUGUUUUUGGGCAUUCUCAACUUCAAUAGUUUGGGAGAGUUGGAUUGGGAGGUUAAACAUACACACCGUGUGGUUUACCAAUAAUUUAAGAGGUUUUUACCUCUUUAUUCUCUUUGUUCGCAUCAACUUACAUUUGUAAAAAAAACUUACAUUUAUCGUUUUGUUAUUCGUGUUGACUCAUACACUCUAUCGUUAUUAUCAAUUCAACACAAAUCUUUGUUUUUAUUGCUUAUCAAAUGUUUUCUUAGAUAUUGUAUAUUGGGAUUCAAUUUACAACGUUCUAAUUUGGUUUAAUAGCACACAUUUCAUUAGAUAUAGGCAUAAUAGUUUUCAAUCAAUAGAGUUAUAGUAUAUCUUCAUAGGAAGGUAAAUUUUACUAUGUUUUUAUGGUUUUUCUUGUUCUCCUCCAUGAAAAAGGCAUACUACCCUUUUAUGUUCAAAUAUUGAAAAUUUGAAUUCAACAUGAACGAAAGACGAUUUUUUUUUUUCUUUCUUUCUAAGUGUACCUUCUCUUCCAAACUUUUAUCUUUACAUUUUGUGCAUUCUUGAAUUUUGAAAAUGCGGGGACAAAACAAUCCUAUUUCUUUAGGAACCUUCAACAAGUGAUAGAUUCAAAAAUUUUAUAUAAGAUCACUAAAGAAUAAACAUACUAAAAAAUAUUUUAAAAAGUAUUAAUAACUUUAAAUAUUAAUUAAUUUAAUACGUAUUACAAUGGUCCUCUACUAGUUUUCAUGUAAGUUUAUUAUUUAACUUAUCUAAUAAAUCUUUUUCAGUAUAAGCUAUAAGACGAUCGUUCAUCCAUUGAUCUCUCAUUCAAGUAUGCAAUCGAGUCUUCGUAUUAUUCAUAGCAGAAAAUGUUCUCUAUAGAUUAACUACUGCAACCACUAAAAUCAAUGCCAAUGUGAGCAACUGAUAAAAUGGGUAGACCUUAUGUAUUUUCGUAAUGACAAUUUUCACGGCAAGAUCACCAAUCCUUUUAAGUUCAGCAAACUCUUAACGCAUAUCAAUAAUGUAAUUUUGAAGUUGAUCCUAAAGCAUAGAGAGUACAAUAGCUGAAAAAUUUAUUGGAUAAAACUGAGCAAGUCGACUAAGUUUAAUAUAUCAAAAGCAACAAAUGAAUUUCUCAUAUUUAAACAAGCCACACAGAGAAGCAAUUUAUUACUUGUUUCAAUAAAACGAUUAUUCAACUCUUGAAGUUGCAUAUCAAUGACAACAGAGGAGACUUCAACACGAUAAUGAUGCAAAUUUGUAAUUGGUUGAGAUUUUUGACUUUGCCGUUCUAGAACUAAAAACAUAGCAUCCAUUUUAAGAACUUCAAUGUCAUGACUAUUGCAAAAUUUAAAAACUCUUUCCAAUAAUGAAUCUCAACUAGACUUUCUAGUUGAUUGUAGUGUACCUUUACAACAGUUGACUAAAUUCAUUGCAUUCACAAUAUCCUAAUAUUUUCUUUGUAAGGAUUGAGACAAGUCAUUUGUGAUUCCCAAUAUAUUUUUCAUGAGAUGCAUGUUGAAAACAAAGUCAAAUGACAAGAUUGAAUUCAUUAGGAAUCUGAAAGAGAACAUUGAAACUAAACUCGUUAAAGUGUUAUAAUAUGAUCCUCGUCGAGUAUGUCCUAGUCUUUUAAUCAUUAUCUCUUGAUUAAUCCUCGUCAAGUUGAUAUUUCACCACUAUUGAAAGCUUAAAAAAUUUUCAUGCUAUGUUUCUCUAGUAGAAUAUAUCGACUUUUUGCUGAUACUCCAAUAACAUUCACUAUAUUUGUAGCAAUAAAUAAAAGACUAGCAAUUUCCACAUGUUUUUUUUGCCGUAUUUAUAAGAGCUAAUUGAAGUUGAUGAGCAAAACAAUAAAUGUAAAAAACACAUUCAUUUUCUUUUAAAAUAAGUUCUUUCAAGCUAUGAAACUCAUCUUGCAUAUUACUUGCUUCAUCAUAUUCUUGUCCUCGCAAAUUAGCAAUACUUAACCCAUGUUAAGAAAAAAAAAAAAAACCACCAAUAGCUUCUUUAAGUGAUAGGGCACUUGUAUUAUUGACAUAUAUGGAUUCCAAAAAAUCAUUCAAUCACAUGACCUUUAUCCACGCAUCGUAAUACAACUGACAUUUGCUCCUUUGAAGAUAUAUCUUUUGAUUCGUCUAUCAAGAUAGACAAUUGUAUGUCACUCAUAUCUCUUAUAACUAUAUUAACAAUUUAUGUUGCAAUACAGUUCACUAUAUCUUUUUUAUUAUCUGGUACAAUCAAUUUCAAACUACUUGGAGCAUUUUUCAAAGUCACAGUUUCAAUAUCCUUGUUAUGAUUGCACAACCAUCGCAAUAGUUUAGGAAAGUUACCUUGAUUCUUCGAAUCAUCAAUCUCAUCAUGUCCAUGGAAUGCAAGACCUUGCCUAUAAAAAAUCGAUAAAAAUCAAUUGUGCGCCUAAUUGAGUUCGAUACUCAGCUCGUGCUUGGUUAGACAUCCUAUUUAAAAAGUCUCAAUAUGUUGCUUUUGUUUUAAAAAAGCCUCACAAUUUCUCCAAGCUUAAUUGUGUGCACUGUUAAGGAUUACCAACAUGAGUUUUCAAUCUCUCUUUUUUCUUCCAAUUGAAAAAUUUUUCACUAACAAAAUAUUUUCCUCCUUAUUUUUCACUUACAUCUGAUUUGAACUGAUGGAAAACAUACAAGCACACCAUAAAUACGGGACAAAAUAAUUACUCUAAUUGAUCUAACUAAUUUGAGAUUAACAUGCAUAACAACUACCCUAAUAAAAUGAAAUUAUGAUUUAUAGAAAAACUUACUUUUGAAGUCUCUUGAUCCUCAUAUCGCUUCACGAACACGAAUCCGGGACCACCACUAAAGUUAACCCACUAUUCUCGAGACUUAGAAUCACAUUGUAGAAGAAAAUUGAGAGAGGAAUGGAAAUUGAAGGUGAAGUUUAAGGAUUGAGAUUUUUAGAGAAAAAUAGUUUAAAACAUUUUGUAAUUCAAAAUUACAAAAAAUGAUACAAACCUUUUCACAAUUUGAAAAAAAAAACUAUUUAUAAGAAAAUUACAUGCAAAAAUGCAUGCAAUUGUUUAUAAAUCUCAACCCCUAGCAUUCCACUAACCAUUAGUGGAACUUAAUGGGUUAGGUGUCUACAUCUCAUGUAGCCACAUAGUGGAAUUAUCGAACAAGAUGUUGGAUUUUUCCACUAACUUAGUCCAAGGGCAAUAUGGUCAUUUGACGUUUUCAAUCAAAGUCAAACUUUGACCUUUUCAAGUAAAAAAAUCAACAUUUUGACCUCUUACCAUUUUGUUCUUCUUGACUAAUUUCAACAUUCUAAGCGUGAAUUUGCAUUCAUUUUUUCGAAACUCAAAUCAUAUUUAAAUAUAAAGCCGAUCAAAGUUUGAUUUUUCAAAGUCAAAAGUCAAUAUUUUGACUUUUUAUAAAUUUGACCAUUUUCAUCAAUUUCGAGCUUCCGAUUAUGAAUAAGUAUUCAUAUUUUAAUAUUUAAAUCUCAUUUAAACACAAAGUUUUAGAUAAAACUUAUAACUGAUGGCUAUAUCACAUAUAUUCGUUGCUUUCUCUCUCUUUACCUAAUUUGAACAAUUCAAAUUAUUCCAACAUAUUGUUCUAAGUUAAUUCUAUAUGAGCUAACAUGGAAACUUAAUGGACCUAUAGAUCAUGGGCUCCAACAACCGGAGAUUAACUGGCUAAAUCUUUUUAGACUGAGCUAAUCAACAUUCGUUAACUAACAGAUCAUUCCACUAAAGUCUCGUAUUUGCAUUUCUCUCAUUAUAGAUAUUUUUCUGUCCAUUUGAUAUAACCAUGCUCAAUAGGUUAAUCUUUCACAGGGUGUUCAUAACCUUGAUUGGAUUAAAAUGUCGUUUUACUUCCGAGACUACAUCUUGCUCCUUAAGUCCCACUUAUCCACUAUUGAACAAUUGCUUGAAGAUCCAACUUAUAAAUCGAAUCCCUCUGGGGCCAAUGAGAGGGUGAGGCCCUUUGUUCAAAACUUUGAUUUAGUCUUUAAGAGAAUAACCUAUCUACUAACUCUAAAGCGGUAGGUAGGAGUGAAUUCCAUCUUCCACGUUAUUUUUCUAGCCAUCCAUCUGGUCUUUCUCCUGAAAUGGAAGGCUUAUUGGGCCAACGUCGCUGAGUUGCCAUCACUUAUGCAGAUCUAAGGAUAAUUCCAUGUGAAUAGAAGUUCAUAGUUAGCUUAGAAUUAAGAUUAAGUUAUCUAGGUCAUUAAUAAACGAAAUAGUCAAUUUUAUACAGUCAACGGUGUUAUAACUUAAAAAUGACUACUUCAUGGUUCCAGUCUUAUAUAAACUCUUUACAUAGGAUACCCCCACUUUCACUUUCAUGUCUCUACAUGAACGCGAUUCAAGAUCACAUCUUUUAUACUAACUACAAAGCGAGCCAUACGUAUAAUGUCCCCAAAAUAAGGCACCCAUCCUUAUUCAUACACUAUAGACCAUUUGGACUAUAAUCUCGAACUUGAUCCACAUUUAUGUAUCUACAUAAAGUUUAAGUCUACACUAGAUAGCCUCGGGACAUUAGUUUAUUGGAUUCAAGACUAUAAUAUUCCAUUUUCCAUAUUAAGUCUCAAAUAACCACUUUAUUGAAUAGAAUAUAAUUUUAAACUACAAAUUAUAAAUUUUAACACCUAAAUUCCAACAAUGUUGCAUGUUAAUUUCUAAACUGUUUAGAUGCAAGUAGGGUAAUCUUGAUCUUGUUUUCUGUUGUGCAUGUCUACCUCUUUCCAUCAUGUGGUAUCAGAGCAUGCUAGUUUACCCAAUUGGAUAUGGUGGAUGUUUCAAUUUAUUAGAUAAAUUGUGAUUGAACUAAAAUUGAUAUAUUAUGGUUUUGGCCCUAAAUUAAGUGUAUUUGAAAUUAGCUCAGUUUUUGUCAUCUUAUAUGCAUGAUAAAGGGUUUGUAAUUUUUCUUAAGUCAUUAUAGUUGUAAUUGAGCUGUAAUUGAUUCAACCGGGAGAAAGAAAAUGCUAGAAUUUUGGUGAAAGCUGAGCACAUGCAAAAAAUUAGGCUUCCAGACCCAAAACCCUACCCCGAACCAAUUAUGCAUUCGACCCAUGUCCGUUGCCUGGCCCAGUUGGCCAAAAACUGUUGCACACUACGCACUCGCAAGGCUCUUAUCAUUUAUAAAAAAUAAUGAUAUGUUUUUAGCAUUGAUAAAUUUUUAUCACUUAUAAAAGUAUAUAUUUAAUAAUGUCCUAUCACUCAUAGAUUUGUGAUAGAAGAAUAUUGAUGAUAGAGGUAUAUCAAUAAUAGUGGUAUGUCAACAAUAGUUUGCUAUCACUGAUAAAUUAAUAUAUUUAUUUGAUAGAAUCAUUUUUGUGAUACAAAAUAUUUAUGAUGAUAGUGUGAAGUCCAUCAACUUGAAAUUUCAUGUCCCAAACAUAUUUUGGUGACUUGAAUGGUUCUGUAUACAUUUUAUAAAUUUUGCUACAUCUAUAGUUAGUUUUAGCCUAGACUAUGUUUUGCAAUAUUUUAGCAUUAUUUUGUGACAUAUGCAAAUGAGGCCUUUUGUUAAAAUCUUGAAAAGGAAUUGGGCCUUUAAUCAUUGGGCCCAUACAAUAAAUAACAAACUUUAUUCAUAAAAGAAAAACAAAAUAUAGAAUAGAGGCAAGUACGAGUUGUUUAUUUAAUUCGAGGUGGUGGUUUGGGGCAUAGGGUUUCCCGUUCGUCCACUUUGCCGUCUUCAACGCGACUGUCUUCCGUUUCGGAAUGGCACUUUAGAAACCGAAUGUCCGUCCUUUGUUCGUCCUCGGAAAUUUAGGAACUUCUUCACUCCACUAAAAGAGGUAUUUUCUGGCUUCUCCUCCCAAAAUUCAGAUUCUCUUUACCAUCAAAAUAGGGUUUGCUUUGUUCUUGAUUGUGAAAUCAAAAGUGGGCCUCUUCUGUUGACUUCUCUUGUGUGUAGUCAGCGACCACUAGAAUAAAUGCAUUUUCUCUUGUUUUUCUUUUCCUCCUUUUUCCUGAAGCUUGCGGUUGAGCUAAGGGAUUUGUACAGUACGGUCUUGGGUUGGAACGAGGGUUUGAAGAAAGACAAGUGGGGUUUUGAUUUGGCAUGCCAGGCCUGGAUAUUCUCUAAUUUUACUAUUUAUAUAAUGACCCAUUUCUCUAUAUUAUAGACGCCGUCUUUUGCUGGAAUCUAUUUCCAUUUUUAAAGGCGUUCUUAGAAUCUAAUCGUUUCGCGCUAUUUUUGCAUUUUUUAAGAAUUCAAGUGUACGGAUCUACUAUUACAUGUUUAGGUAAAUGGAAAACGCAAAUGGGUGGUGUCUCUUUUACUGUUUUGAGGACCUAAGUGACUUCAUGAGUGUGUCCUGUUGCCCGAGUGUUAAUGCCAACUUCAACUUCGUCAUAGAGAAAUUAUAGCUGGGAUGGGUCUGGGAUCAGCUUGUUUGCUUCUAUACUCGUCGCACCAGUUAUGUUUGUGGAAAACAUGUUGGAAUUUAUAUUUGCUUUGUUUGUUUUUCGAAGUGCUGAAGUUGCGGUUUACAUAAUUUAAUUUAGGAAUCACUUACUAUGGAGUACGGCUAGCGAAUGUAAAAUCAAACAUUUGUGUUCGUAGAAACUUUGUUCGUAUAAGUAUUUGUCCAAAUUAGGGCCCGUCACCAUUUGAUGAUACGUGUAUGUUUUCAAUGAGCAUUGGGUGGGAGCAAUGGACUUUCCUCCAAUUGGGCAUGAAUGACUUAGAUUUGUUGUAAUUAUCCGUACCGCCAGUAGUAGAAACUCGGAAUAGUACAAGUGAACAGUUUGGAACUUGAGUUAUUUCAUAGCAUCACACCCUAUACAUUUGAGCUCAUAAUGGUGCCUUGUAAUUCAUAAGUUCCUCUGCAGCUGAAGAAUUAGUGUGUUGUUGGGCCCAUUAUAGAAAUUGAACAAUGAAACUUCUUGAGCUUUUCGUACACGUUUGUUUGUUUAACACACACAAGUGCUCUGUAGCCAUGAUGGGCCUUGAGAAUUCUGUCUACGGAUUUUGCUUUCUUUAUAAAUUUGGUUGUUUAUAGUACACAUGAAAAUUUGAAUAAUCUUUUAAUGCUGACAGGUUUUUUGUGGCCUAUCCAAUUUGUUCAGUCCAAUCGAAACAAUUCUUGGAUGCCUAAAUUAGAAAAACUACAAACAAGACGGCCUGGUUCUUUAUCUGUGGCUGAGACUCUUGCUAAAUGGAAAGAUUACAAUGAUCACCUUGAUUCAUGUACUGAUGAGCCAAAACUUACUCGUAGAGUUCCAGCCAAGGGAUCGAAGAAGGGCUGCAUGAAAGGUAAGGGAGGGCCAGAGAAUAUGCGAUGUAAUUACAGAGGAGUUAGGCAAAGGACAUGGGGGAAGUGGGUUGCAGAAAUUCGAGCACCGAAUAGAGGAAGUCGGCUCUGGUUGGGUACAUUUCCAACUGCGAUUGAUGCUGCACUUGCUUAUGAUGAAGCUGCAAGGGCCAUGUAUGGCACUUUAGCUCGCCUCAAUUUUCCCAAUGUCUCAAUUCCAACCUUGCUAAAAGGAAAAGAAUUAUCAAGGAAGGAUUCUCGUGAUGAAAUCAAAAGGCCUUCACUCUCUUUUUUAGGAUCAACUUCACUUAGUCUGAGUUCUGAAUCAACAAUAACAUCAGAUCUGUCUGAGGAUUGUGCAGUUGAAGAUGUCUAGCCAGCUAUAACCUUUGAUCAUUGUAAAGUUUGUGAAUUGGGGAAUCGAAACCAGGGACCGAUUUUUUAAAAAAAUUAAUGUAAUUGCCCUUCUGUGCACGAAUCUGGAAAUAGGGUUGAUUGUAAUAUUAUUUUUCCUUGUUUAUCACAAGUACAAUAGAUGAAAUUCACUGGAAAUUUUCUAAUUGAAACAUUCUUCGUGAGAGGUUAGAUGUAUUCAAGUAUAGUUUGAAAUCUGUUACAUGUCUGAUGUCUAAUCGUCCAUGUAGGUGUUUUGUGUUUAAUUUGUUUUAGUGGUUGAUAUUUCAAUACCAAGCAGUCCAUCAAAUUUUACUCUGAGGCCAAGAAUUGGAGCAUAUGUGGGAAGACGAUUUCAUACUGGAGAUAAGCUUCUUGGCACUCAACUGUGCCAGUGAGUUUAUAUGCUAUGAUUAAGAAAGAAAUCACUUCAAGAUAAAAAAUAUGUAUUAAAAAAAAAUAAAAAAAAAUAAAAAAAAAUAAACUCACUUAGAACAUGUUUCUGGGGUGGGGGUGGGUGGGAUAUUGUCGUUGUGCAAGAAAUUGAUGAAUAUCUGGAGAUUGGGAACCUUUGGCUAAUAUGCAGCUUGCGUCCACAAAGCCAGACAGUGUGGGGUUCGUAGUUAAUAUAAUGAUUAACUUAGUUCAACUGAAAUCUCUGUACCAUAUGAAGUUGUCCUAAGUAUUAUCUUCUCAACUUGUUUGUUUGCACAUGGGCUAACUGACAUGUUUGAGAUUCUAAAAUAACUCAGAUAUUUUUUAUUGUUUAAAAUAAACUUUAAUAGUGUAGAAAAUGCUGUUUUGAAGUGUAGAUUUUGAGUAAUUAGAGUAGUAAAAUGGUUUUUAACCGUCCUAAAAAUCACUGGAGCUUGUAUGUCAACAUUUUCAGCUUAUUUCCGUGCUUAAAAAUCACUGGAGCUUGCAAGUGCUCAACCUAAGGGCAAAUGACUGAUUUAUACAAUAAAGGUGUUUUGCCCAAGGUGUUGUGAGGUUCUUUGAUCCAAACCAAACAACUUCAUGUGCCUCCUUAUUUCAACUUACAUUUUACCACUCAUAUCUCCCAUGUCUAACCAAUCUCAAUAGACUUCAACCCAAUAACUAAUAUUAGGAUCAAAUCAACGUUUUCAAUUGUGUUUGGUGACAUAUUAAAAAAUUAGGUCUACAUAUUUAUAAAUCAUAAAACUAGUCUUAUCCACUCAGAUUUAGUUGACAAUUAGCUAAUACAAUUUAUGUUUAAAAAUUCGUUAAAUUGCAAUUUAAAUUCAAUAUUUGGAGAAAGUUAGAGUUUAAUCUAUAGUUUGAUAAAAUCUUAUAUAGAGUCUAUAUUACAUUAAAAAAUAAAUUUAAUUUAUAACGUGACAUUAUUUUUUAAAAAUGUUUUUAUAUGUAUAUAAUAUAGGAUAAUUUUUAUAAAUAUAACAAAACACUAAAAUAUUUAAGAUUUGCGUAACAAAAUCAAAAAGUCGCUUAAACCGGUCAUUUUCUUUAAAUAUUUCCGGUUUAUCUUGCUAUUUUCCUUUUUCUUACUAUCAUAUUUCUUCUCUUCCUUUGCAAUUUUUCUUUCUUUUAUAUAUUUUUAAAUAACAAUCCUCUUGCAUUUUUAUCGCGUACCAAAUAUAAAUUGGUACACGAUCUAAACAAAAAUCAUUCGAUAUUUGUUUAGACUUGGUGUACCAAAUCUAACAAAUAAAUCGUUCGAAUCUUGGUAUACGAUCGUUUAAAUUUAGUAAAGAAUCUUGAAAAUCGAACAAAAAUGUAGAGUAAUAAAAAAAAAGAAAAGUAAGAUGUUCUAAAAUGAGGCCUAGAAUCCAAUGACAGAAACAUUAAAUACAAAUUAAGGCAGGCCACUAAAUUUGAUAGUUACAGAAGAUAAAAGGCAAAGAAGACGUAAGCCAUUAAGUUUUGUAGGAGAAAACUUUUAAGAUUAAAAUAGUAGUACUGUAUCAAAUAAUAUUCAACCAUACAAUAACGAACGUACCUAGUACAUUAAAGUAGAAGAAUUUUCAUUUCAUACUUUGACCUCUGCAGAUCAUAGUUUCUAAUUAAAAACAUAUUGUCAAAAGAAAAAAAGAAGAAGACUUCCAAGGAGGGAUGCAGUAAGCUUGCAGUGUUGGAGAAUUGACCUGCUCUCUCCGUUUAUGUACUAUGUCUCUAUAUAUUGAAAGCUUACAUAAAUGUCUCACCUGUUGGCACUUGGCAAGUUCCAUUUCACUGUUUCUACAAUUUAUUUCAACUCCAUUAUUAUUUACAACUACACCCACUUUUUAGGUGUUAAAUUUAGAUUAAUUAUCAUAACUUUGAUUAAAAAACCACCAAUUAAACCUUGAAUAAAUUAAUUUCAAAGCUGAGACCUUUCUAAAUCACCAACUCUUCUUUAUUAACGAACCCCAUAAAUUUAUUGCCACUAUCAGCCCAUCUACCACCUAGAACAAAAAGCAAGCAUUUUGAUCACCCCCUUUGACUUUAAAACAAACUGCUAAAAGUAUAUUUUGUUUUACCUUUCCAUAUUAUAAUCUUGAGAGAAACAAAAGAGUUCAGUUCAGCUAUCAAUUUCUCUCUAUAUAUAACCCUUUCCCAUUUCAUCCCGCUGUCCACUGCUAGCAGCUUUUUCCCUCUCCCAAGUUUACAUUUUCAAAAGAAAAAAAAUUCCAAUUCCAAUUCCAAUUCCAAUUCAGAUUCAAAAUCUAUGGCAGCUGUGGUUCGACUUGCUUUGAUGUCUCUGAUUCUUGCUGGGAUGUUUUUUAUUCAACUAACGGCUGCGAAUGUCAAGGAGGCACCAAUGGUAGACACUGCGUUGUUUUUCGGGUCUAAAAUUGGAAAGGAAGAGGCAGUUCAAGGGCCGGUAGUGGCUGAAGGUCCUGCAAUCAGACGGCUGGGCAAGCAUCAUUUUCACACCUCGGUUGCCGGCGGUCGGGUGCUCAUCGGUAGCCUUGCUACUGCUGUGUUUGCUAUUGUGUUUUGCUACAUAAGGGUGACUAGAAAGCCUAACCAUGUCAACUAGUCGAACUCUUAGUUUCUGUUUCCACUUUUUCUUUACUGAUUAUGAGUACGUGUGAGAGUGAUUCUUGAAUGUUUUAUAAUCAUUUUUUGUGUCAUAAAGUGUUCUAAACCUAUAGUUUUUGAAUGAAUAGAAGCAAGUGUUAAGAGUGAUCUUGAGCAUACUUAAAGAGAUCAUUUUAACUAUUUAAAAAUCACUCUAAAAGCUAUUCUUUUUUCCUCUGUCUAUAUAUUAAUAUUAAUUGAUUAAUAGUAUUCGAUUGACUUCUUUUCUUCAUGCAAGAUUGCCAUUUUUUAUUUCAUCCUAUAUAAAUUCCCAGAAAAGCAGACAAAGAGUUUGAGUCGUUCUAUUAUGCAAUACUCAUCUAUGGAAAAUAUAUUUUCCUCCAUUAUAUUGUAAUUUAUGUUACUAACGCUAUUUUGUUUAUGAGUAUUGAAUAAUAAUUAAGAAAAAAAAAAAAAGAGAACACUCAACACCGAAGAAAAUUUCAUUGGUUUCUCAUUAUCUUCUUAAUACCAAAAGCAUAAAUAUAAUGGUUGAGAAUAUGCAUAUAAUAAAUCUCUAUAACAUGAUAUCAUUUCUUGGUUAUUACUUUGGUCAAUUUCAUCUUUAUUUGAAUAAGCAUCGUAUACAAAUAUAAUAACUUCGAAUUUAGAGGUUCAUCCUCCCAUCCUUCCAUCAUCCCACGUAUUAUUUCAUUCAGAUUUUUAAUUAAAUUGAAAAAAAAUGGAUUAGAUAAAAUUAAAAUUUGGGAAUAAGUGACAAUGUUGUUAGUUUUUUUUGUAGGACCUUGUGAGCUUUCGACUACAACCUCUAGGACGUUAAUGUGUUAUUAUCAUAAUUUGGCCCAACUCAUUAAUGUCUUUGAUUCAUUUAAAUCAAUUAUAAACCAUGUAGGGAUUCUAUGGCACCCCAAUGUGAUCUUUGUAGGGUAAAUUGCACGUAUAUAUAUAUAUAUAUUUAUAUAUAUAUAGCCUAUUAAAGGUUACAUAUUAAUGAAAUAAUCAUGAAGAACAUAUAAAACACAAAUUUUAGUGUUCAUUAAUUGUUAUUAUUAAUCACCAGUAUAGUACUCAAGUAUAAUCCAUUACAAACCACUUUUGGUCCUAAAUCGAUAAAUAAUAAUUAAAAAAAAAAAUACAUGAACUCAAUAACUUACCCACAAAAAAGUAUAUUCCAUGUCCAAAUUGUUACAAAAACUGAAAUUAUGGAUCUUGUUACAAAUAAUGAUUACUUACUAAAAUUGUAACAGUCUAAAUUUAAAUUCAUUUUCAUCUAGAAUAUAUAUUUCUUUCAUUUGAAUUUGAAGCAACAACUUCGACCCGACCCGACCCAAGUUUGAAACGACACUAAUAAACUUAUAACGACACAACUCUUUAUAUUAAACUGAGGAGAUUAUUUGAAAUAAAUAACAAUUUUUGCAUUUAAAAAAAAGAAAAAAAACUAAACCUUUAAUAAAUGAUGUCGAACAUACAUCCAUAAAUCAUGAUCUGACAAAGUAAGAAAAAUACUAUAUAAUAUAAUCCUAAUUUGGGCUUUAUCUAAAUUUUAAAGAAAAUAAUAUAAAAUAAUUAAAUACAUUGAAUAAAACAGUUAAAGUCAAAUACUUAAAAUAUAAAACAUAAAAAAGAAGCAAAACUAAAUCCCUAUAUGACAUAUCAUGAGCCUUCCUGUCUCUCACCAACCUUUUUUGGCUUGAAAUAUUAAACAUAGAAAAGAAACAAGUAUAAGCAUAUACUUAGUAUGAACCUUGAACCUUAGAAGAAAACUUAAGUACUUUGAAGUGAUGAGAAGUUUAAGUAUUAAAGGUAUUUAAAGAUAAAAAGUGUCAUAAAAUAUAUGUCGUAGUUAUUGGAAAAGAGGAAAAUUUUGGCUAAGUGUUGAGACUUAAGAGUAAGGUGUUUAGAGGUUAUGUUGAUGUUAUGUAGGUGGUCAAAACAAUGGAAAUAACCUCUAAAUGAGUGUCACUAGGCGUUUUGGAGGUUAUCUUGCUUGUGCUUUGGGUGGUUAAAAGAAGGAAGAAAAUCUCUAAAGAGGUUAGUAGGUGUUUAGGCUUGGCAAAGUGACUGAGGCAUGCAGGAAAGUCAUUAGGUGAGAAGAGAACCUAGAACCUUAGAGUGUAUGUCACACCCUGUCUCUCACAACAUCCUUGCUUAGUAUGCGAGACGCGACGCGACUUGAGUAUCUUGAUAUGAUGCACGCCAACACACUCAUCUUGAGGUUCUUAAGCUUUGCUUACUCGCCUGACUUCUUACUUUAGACUUAAGAAAUAUACUUUAGGCGAUAUAAACAACUUAACAAACAGAAAUAAACCAACUCAUACUUUCUUAAUCUUUGUCCAAAAGCUUGCAACGACUCUACAUACAAACAAAUAAAAACAACAAAUUUAAACUUAUGCUAAAACGCCUUGGCAUUGGCAGGCUUCUCGCUUAGCAAGCCCUUCCAACCUUCCUUACCUUGGCUUAAAUGUCUGCUUCUUAGAAGAUGAGAUUUAAAACUAUCAGUCUACAAAACUCAGUGAGGUCUUAAGAAAAUCUUUUGACAAUACCUUUACAAAUAUCAUUCAAUAUGAGAUAGAAAUAUUAUUUCGCAUAGUACAUCAUUUCACAUAACAUACAUUAGUUACCAAACAUUUCUUUUGCCGAGGAUCCCAAAUUGUUCUCUAUGCUAGGUCACAUAACUUCGCAUUUAGACUACUGUAACAACAACAUCUGAGAGCAAAUAGAUUCAUCUUUGUUGUUCAGGCUGCUAAGUUUAAUAUGCUCCUUUCAACAUAUUAACUAAUAUCUCAUCACUGUAUAGCCACGUACACCCCACGAUGGUUAUUACUAUUUAUGUGCACAUAAAAGUUUACUUAUUUAAAAGGAAGUAAUUAAUGGUUUAAACACCAUUUUAUAAUAAUAAUACAUUGAAACACAAUAAACAUCCUUUAGAACAUAAGCAUUUUUCAUAUAAAUUUCGUUUAGAAAACUUUUAAACUGAAAUAAUGGAUUCAAAUCAUCAAAUAAUUAAAAGAAAACUGGAAAUCUUUUGAACACUUUAAAGAAAAACACUCAAAAACUUAGCCUUAAACCCAAAAUUCUUCUCUUCUUAUUCUCACAUAGUAAUUAAGCAGCACUUUUGCUCUCAAGUCAUUUAGAAACAAUGUCUUAAAUGCCCCUACUAAGUGAAACAAUUGAAUCUUAAAUAUAAUUAUUCAAGAAACCACAAAUACCCUAUAAUUAAAAUCAAUCUGCCAAUACACAAUGAAUAACUAUCAUUGUCAAAGCUCCACAUAAUUUCUACCGCCGUUUCAUAUCUUCUUCAAAUUGUGCGAGUUUAGGCAUAAACGAAAUGUUGUAUAUAUAUUUGUCAUUAUUAUAAGGGAGGUUGCUCCAAUCUUGUCAAGCAACAAAAUAGCGAAUUUAGUUAAGAUUUACCAAUUUUAGAUGUUGUUUGCAAAAUAUCUUGUUUCAUCUUUUGAGCUAUGCAUAUGAAUUAUUAUAUACUAGAGAAUGAUACUAUAUCUUGAUGACCAUUUUUUUUUAUCCUUUUGUGUGUCCAAAAUCUGUCGUCUAUAACAUACAUCAUUCAUACUCGACAUAUACUAUAUUUGGAAAAUCUUAAUUCUAUUAGUUACAUUAUAAAGUUUGGUUAGUUAAACAACUUUAAUUAUGAUUGAAUGACACUAUUAAGGAAAUUGUUUUUAUUGUUAGUUUUGCAACAAAUACAUCUAAAUGUUAAGUCCUUUGUAUUAGAAAAAUAUAUGUUUAUAUGAGCAAAUAAAUAUUAAUAUUUGAAUACGUAAUCUUGUUAUAAAACAGAUAAUUUAUCACACUAUUUAAAAGCAUAAAUUACAAUGUAAUUGUGUCAGCAACAUAUGUUAUACAUUCUGUCAAAUAUUGUGGAAGUAAUUUGAAAAGAAUAAUAUUGUCACGUAGUAUGGACAAAUACAUAGUAAAUCUACACAAAAUCAACGUAAUCGAACCUGGUCAAUUUAAUCCAUAAAUAGAAUUUUGUUAAAUAAAGAAAAAAAAAAUAAAAAAUAAAACAAAUGGAACAAAUUAAAUAUAUUCAAAUUGAUACUUUUCUUAAACAAAUAUUUUUAGGUAGAUUAAUGAGAUAUAUUUAUUUACUAACCAUAAAAAUAUUUGUAAGGAGCUCAACCAAAUAUUUUGGAUUAAAUCAAAUUUAUUAAUUGUUUUUGUUAAUAAAUAAAUAAAUUUGAAAAUGGUCAAAAACAAAUUAAAACUAAAAAAAUAAUUUUCUAUAUGAAAGCAAAUGGGUUGUUAUGAAAAAAAUAGGGAAACCAAUAAAAUUUCAAUUACAAGAUUUUUAAUAAAAGAAGUGAAUAAUUUUAAAAAAGUUUAAAAGGUAGUUCUAAAAUUUUGAAUUUAUGUUUUGAUAGGAUAUAAUGGUUGAAAAGAAUUUAAAAUGGAUAUAAAAUGUAAAUUGAAAUUUAGAUAAGAAUAAAUAUUAUAUAGAAGUUGAUGAAAUGGUGAAUGCUACAAAUAGGGUUAAAUGGAGUUUGUUAUCCAAUAUUUUGCAUUGUGGCUGUUAUGUCUAAGAAAAGGAAAAAAAGUAGGGGAGGAUGGGAAUUUCAAAACUCAAACAUCUACUUCCACUGGUAUAUAUAUAGAGAGAAAGAAGUUGGAAAAGAAGUUGGAAAGGAAGUUGGAAGAAGUGUGGAAUUAUUAGGAAUGUGACGAGUGAAAGAAAAAUAACGAACUGAAACCACAUCCUCGAUUGGCUGAGAUUCAGUAAUGCUUUGAAAAGUUCAAACCCUACAAAUCUUACUCCUCCACUCCCUCCUUAAUUAAUCAAAUUAAUAACUAAUUAACCCAAUUCCAAUUCCAAUUCCCAUGGAGACCAGAUCCGCCCGAAGACGGAGGCUCUCUAUUACCAACUCCCAUCUCCACAAUGAUACCUCCCUCGCCCUUGCCGUCGACUACAUCAGCCACCUCCCCGACGCCCUCCUCCACCACAUCCUCUCUUCACUCCCCAUCAAAACCGCUGCCCAAUCCGCCACUCUCUCCUCCCGUUGGCGCUUUCUCUGGUUUACUCUCCCCGACCUCGACUUCUCAACAACCUCUUCUAUUUCCGACCUGAUCAUCACUCGCAUUCUCAACUCCCGACCCCACCAUUCCAACGUCCGCCUCCUCCGCUUCUCCGCCACUUUAACCUUCUCCCGUCUCAACGCCCUCUUCCGCACCGCCAUUCGCCACCAAAUUCAACAACUCCACCUCCACGUCGCCACCAACGAUUACUUCAACUUCCCCCGCUGUGUAAUCUCCAGUGAUUCCUUGAGAGUUUUCAAUCUCCGAUCCACCCAUCCCGGUUUCCGUCUCCCUCCCCCUUCCCUCAUGGUAAGUGGCUUCCGAUCCUUGAAUUCCCUGUCCCUGGCUCGUAUGGUGUUUCAUGAUCGACCCUCAUUGGUGGACUUGUUCACCGAAACGUCUUUCCCUGUUCUUAAGAAACUCAAUUUAGAGAGGUGUUUUGGGCUUGAGCAUUUGAGUGUUAAGUGUCCUGUUCUCGAGGAUUUUAGUCUCCAGUUGUGUUUCCAGCUUCAGGGGUUUGAUGUUUUCGGAGCCAAAUUACAGAGUAUCAAAGUUUCUAAUUGUUUUGAUGCUUACACUACUCUUACUUGGGUUAAAAUUGUUGCUCCCAAUCUCAAUACUCUGCAUUGGAUUUACAAUGCUUUAACUGAUGAAAUUAAUAUCCAUAAUUUUACGUCUACUCUCAAUCAAGCGUCUCUGAGUCUACUUCCUCAACAUUUUGUUACCAACAAACUUCACUCUGUUUCAGCUCUUCUCUCUGCUAUUUCCCCUGCUCAUUCUUUAGCGCUUGAUAGUUUGUGCGUUGAUGUAAGUUCCAUUUUGUUCAUCUAUUAUACUUCUUCAGUUUGUUCUUUAUUAAAAUAUUUUAUUCAAUUCAAAUAUGGAUUGCAGAUUGUAUCAAGCCCUACUUACUUCGCACAUUAUUUCCCUCCAUUGAACAAUGUAAACUGUUUGGAACUGAGUACAGCCUUCCGAAAGCAGAAUGGUCCAGGGUUAGCUAAUAUAUUCAGAUCCUGUUCUCUUCUUCAUACGCUUACUAUCAAAAUCGUCGACGGUGGCAACAUUGGAAGGAAGGUAAUAAUUAAUAUUAUUAUUCAUUAAUUAAGUUCAAACAUAAUUAUCAUUUGUCGUUCAUUGUUUUUCUUAUUAUUGUUUGUGUUUAGGAUUGGCGUAGGGAUAAAUGGGAAAGGAGUGCAUCGGAGGAAGAACAAUUUUGGGAAACCCAAAUUGAGCCACUCGAAUCUUUUCUUCUUCAUCUUAAGAUUGUGAAAAUUGAAGGGUUUAUGGACUGCUUGAGUGAGGUCAGCCUCACUCGAUUUUUGCUAAAGCAUGGCUCUGCAUUGCAACAACUCACUCUCUUGACCACGAAAACAAAACAUAGAGAUUCUCUUAUUAGACGACGAGAAAUUAAGUCUCAAAUCAUGGCUUUCCCUCGUGCUUCUUCUCUUGUUAAACUUCAAUAUUGUUGACAACCACACAUUUGUUUUAACAUGUUCAUGACCUUUAUAAAAAAAAAAAAAAAAAAAAAAAAACUCACAAUUUUAUUCAUUCUUUUCUUUACGUCUAUAUUGAAUGACUUUCAUUUCUUUUGAGUACUUACAGAAUCAUUUCAAACCAGUCUUUUAACUUAGUUCUUGGUGGACCAUUCAAUUUGACGGGGAACUUAAUUAAGACAUUGACUAAAAUGAUUGAACACGACACACAAAUUCAAAAGCUUUAUGGAAGCCACAUGAUUGAUAACAUAGUCCAUGAGUUUGUUAAAAGUCCCAUUCUCAGAAAUCUUUUAUCUCCAAAGGACCAAUUGAUUUAACUGAGACUCUUCCAAUUGGUUUAAUAGUUUGACUUUGCGGGCAGAUCUCGGGCAUAAUCCUUCUCAUUCUAUUGGAACAGAUUGACCUACUUCAAAAGGUCUCCUCUACCCGGGUGAAUUGGGACCUCCGAUUGGUGAACCAGUCCUAUGAGUGGGUUGAGACCACCUUUAAGUAGGCCUGCCCCAGGCCCGAAGGUUGGAGUUUACGGCCUCUGCCUCCUUUGAUUCACAUCCUUCCUCCCACGAAUACAAAAGGACUUGGGAGUGAAAAUGAGUUCUAUCCUAUACAUUUUUUUCAUUAGUUCUUUUGCUUGUCUUUUAAUUAGAUAGGGAAAACCGAGAAACUAUGAUUUUGCUUCUUCCAUUGUUGGACAACGUUUUUCAAACACCAAAGGAGGAAUAGUACUGGUGGUUUCCUUUAGGCUAAUUUCCCAAUUUAUCACAUAGUGGCUUCGAAUUGUGUGAAGGAAAGUUUGCAAAAAAAAAAAACAAAAACAAAAAAUUUAUAAUAAUAGAGUUCAUGUCACCUAAUUACAAAAAUAACAAAUUUAAAACUCGAUUACGUUUGAAUUACUGUCAUCGGAGAAAAUCACCAUAUGACAUUAGGUUUUUAGAAGCUUUCGUUACAUCCUUCUGAAGCUCAACUUGAUCUACCUUGUCGGAAUGAUCUAUGUGAAGAAACCCUUUUCCUGUAUACGAAGUUGAAUUGCAGGGCAUUGUUCUUGAAUCCCUUGCCUGCUCGAUACCAAUAAAGCCCUACAAAAUCAUAUCAUAAAAGAUCUAUAAAUAUAAGAAAACGAAUUAAUUAAAAAAGCACUUAUUUAGAAAGUGUACCUGCAUAUGUACGUUGGGACAACGAGCUUGCAUUCUUGUUCUUAUUGGACAUACACAAGAUUAACCAGAUGUGAUUUCAGAAGUGGAUGUAUGGGGAAAUCCAUGAAUAAUGUUCCUAUCAAGAGGCAAAAAUUCAAAACAUGCCACGGAAGGGAAAUGAGGGUAUGUAAGUAAGAGACUUGAUUUGGAUUACGCAAGGGGUUUAGAUUAGUACUAAAGUGGCACUCUGAAGAAGCAUAGGUGAAAGAAACGAUAGGGGGAGGGAAUUAGUACUCUAAAGUUGGUAUGUAUUGUGACACACAGGUACCUGUCGCAUGUCACAAACAACAUCAAUAUAAUAUGCUUUUGGUCACAACGUCCUAAUUGUAUUAUAUCUCCCCAACUUUCUUUUCUAGACUCAUAGUCCAUAAAAUCAGCAAGCAAUGGAUCAGGUUUGAGAAUGAUGAUCACAGAUUGUUUGACCAAUGGGUCAGAGAUUUGAAGGUCAUUCAUAUAGGGUUCCUGCAUGUUCUGAUAUCAUUGCCCAAAAGCUUCUGUGCAUUUCCUUUGCCUUUAUCCAAUCCUUCAAUAAAUUGGUUCAUCACAGCCAUCACAAGGGAAGUAAAAUUAAGUAAUCUUCUCUUCAUAUCUUCUUUGGACAUGUUAAUUGUUAAUUAGGCAUUCCAACAUCACACUUUUUAAUUUUUAUGCUUGUUUAUGAUAUAUAUUUAAUAAUUUAUUCAAGUUAUUCCACAGGAAUUAGCACCAAAUUAAUGACUAAACUAAUUUAACCUAUUGUUGUAUAUAUUUUUAAGUGCUAACUUUACACACACGUUACUCAAGAUUUUUUUCUAAUUACCUUUCAAUUAAUACGAUUUUCUUUUCCAGUUUAACAUAGGAAGCAUUUUUCUGUUUAUUUUUUGUUCUUCUGAUGCAUCCAUGGUUAUAUUUUAAGCAUAUAGGUGUUAAGGGGUUAUUUGAAAAAAGGAUAUAUUUUAAAAAAGAAUUAGGAAAAAGGGGUGAUAUGAAAAGUAUUUAGGAAAAUGGGGUGGAAAUUUUGGCAAGGGAAACUCUUUUUUUUUUUUUUUUAAUUUAACUGUAUUCUCUCUCCGUUAAUUGCGUUUAUUCUUUCUUUUUUUUAUAUAUAUCUUUCCAUUAUUUCUCUCUCUCUACCCCGUUAUUUCUUUUUCCUUUUAUAUCUUUCCAGUGUUACUUAAUAACUUUUAUUUUAUUUAUUUAUUAUUGUUAUUUUUUGUUUUAAAUAAAUCCAGCCUUUUCUUUUCUAUUUUUCUACUAUUACUUAAUAAAUUCUUAAUUAUUAUUCGUUGUUUCAACCUAAUUUUCAAAAUCAAUACUCAACAUUCUCGGUUGAUCAUUUUAUCAAUACUCUCAUGAUGUCAACAUCGACGAGAUUCGACUUCUUUCCGACUAACCAUGACACGUUAAACAUGGAGGAAUAUAUUCGACUUCUUUCCGACUAACCAUGACACGUUAAACAUAGAGGAAUAUCAAACCUCACAAUUUCAUAUAAGAUGGGACAAUCAACAAAUAUAAGAGAUCGUGAUGAUCGUGGACACUACGUGAAUAUCUUAUUUGAAUUUAAUAAGUAAUAUUUAAUCAGUAUUUUAUUCAAAUCUUAUUUGAAUUAAUAUCUCUUCGGUAUCUUAUAGAUUUAUAUUGAUAUAAUUAAUUAAAUCAUAUUUAAUUAAUAUUUAUAGAUUUAUAUUGAUAUAAUUAAUUAAAUUAUAUUUAUAUUAAUAUUUCAUUCAAAUCCGAAGAAAUAUUUCUUUAAUAUCUUAUAGAUUUAUACUAAUAUAAUUAUUUCAUUCAAAUCUUAUUUAAAUGAAUAUCUCUCUAAUAUUUUAUAGAUUUAAUUAAUUAAAACUAAACUAUUAAUUAAUUCUUCAACUAAUUAAUAGCUAAAUUAAACAUCUUAUAUUUAACUUAAAUUAAAUUUGAAUCAUAUUCAAAUAUAAGUUUAUGUCAUAACCAAUAAUUUUAAUAUCAAUCCAAUUCACAUUCACAUUAAAUUAAUGUUUAAACUCAUUCAAAUAUUUUCUCUAUCAUAAAUUAAUUUUGAAUUAUACCCAAAAUUAAAUUUAUAGAAUAAAGUUUGAUAAACUUUAUAUUAUAAUGUAUCACUAUACAUUAUACUAAUUCUCAAAAUAAAUUUUAAAUUUUAAAUUACAACCAAUAUAAAUAAAUCUCAUUACCCUUUACGAACUAGGAAGGGGAUCUAAUAGAGCUAGAGAUAAGAAACUAUGACAAUCUGAGAUUAAUGGGCUAAAGAGGUAUUUUAAAAAAUAGCAAAAUAAAUUAAAAUAUUUACAAGGUAUAACAAAAUUUUGAAUUCUAUCACUAAUAGUUUUCUAUCACUAUAGCAUAUCAAUGACAGAAUUUGUUAUAGAUUGUAGGUAUUUUGUAAAAUUUGCUCUUUUUAAAAAUUCUUUUUGGCUAAACUCAUUAACCACAUUAAUCAAUAUUCGUUAACUGUGUGUACAUUUUACUAAAGACUGAUAGUUAAACUCUUUUCAUUGUAGAUAUAUUUAUGUAUCCAUGGAUAUAGACCAAUAAUAGUAAGUCAGUCCUUCACGAGUGUUCGUAACACUAGCUGGAUCAAUUUACCUUUUUGCCCCCAGGUUACCUCUAAUCCUUAAAUAUCAAUGCUUCUCUAAUGAACAACUUGUUUAUGGUCCUACCAUUAAACAUAAACCUUUAUCGUGCUAUAGAGAAUGUAUGACCCUUUGUUCAACUUUGGAUACACCAUUUAAGGGACACUCAUCUACUUACCCUAAAAUAGGGAAUGAGUGAAUUUCAUCUUGUGUAAUUAUGUUUCCAGCUCUCCACUCGGUUUUGUCCUCAAAAUGAUAAGCUUAUUAAGUUGGCGAUCUGGCCACUCUCACCCGUACAAAUCAAAGGACAAUCCCUCGCGAAUAGGAGUUCAUAAUACACGUAGGAUUAAGACUAAGUUACCUAUGUUAUUCUAGUGAAAUAGAAACCUAACUAGUUAACAGAGUUAUAUCUAGUGGUUAUUAUUUCGUAGUCCGAUCUUAUGUAAUCUUAUUGCAUAUGAUACUCUCACUCACAUAUCAACUACAUGAACGCAUUGGAUAAUUGAGUUUGUAUCAAAUACAAAGUGAGUCGCAUCCAUAGUAUCACCAAGAUAAGGUAUCUAACAUUAUCCCUAUACUAGAAACCCUUUAAACUGAUCUCUAACAUUGAUCUUUGUGUGUCUCUACAUACCGUUCAAGACUCACUAACAGAGCUUAAGAUGUUAGUUUAUUGAAUUUGGGUUAUUAAGACAAAACUAAUAAUAUAGUCAAUAACAAUUAUUACAAUAAUAACACUUUAUUAAUAAAUGUAAAUGAAUUAUAUUUUAAAUCUACGAGUUUUUGGACAUAAAUCGCAACAGAUUGGAUUAUAUGUUUAUGGAUUGUUAUGAUUGAUGUUGCAUGUCAUGUUUAUGUUGACUUCUACAUUGUUCUUCGUGUAUGUUAAUUUUUGCUAUUAGAAUGUGUACCUACAUGAUUAUUGAAUGGUAGUUAAAAAAUAGUUUAAAAAGGGAGAACGUUGUAAGGUUUGCAAAAUUCUAAAAACAAACUAGCUAAUACAUUUUUUUUCUAAAAAUAAGCAUAUUAAUUCAUCCAUGUAUUCAUUGUUUUCAAUCCAGGUGAGGGCUAAAAGCACUUAUGAUCCAUUAGACUACAGACUACGAGCUCUCCACCACUACUUUUCAAAACCCUAUUUUAUUUCAUUUUCUUUGAAUGUUGAAAGACGGAAAAGUCCUCCAAAGAUGCAUAAAGGAUGGGCAGCCUGGCUACGCCUGCCGACACUCGCCCAAUAAGUUUCAUAUUUUGGUGUUGUUUUUUCUCCCCUCUUUUAUUACUGAAAAAUAAUACACUAAUAAGUUGUAAUUCCACUUUUCAACUUCUAAAGUAAAAGUUUAAGUAUUUUAACUUUUAAACUUAUACACUGCUACGAAUUGUAUUGAUUAUACAGUACGAGGGACCAUUGUUAUUGUUAUUAUGGAAAGUUUGAUCAUGGAACUUCAACUACCACCCUGCUUUGAACAGUAUUCAUAAUUUACCUUUAAAAAUAUGUUGAAACGUUUGAUUUGCAAAAAGACAUUGUAAGAAUGUGUCUAAAACUUACCAAGCACCAAAACAAAAUGUUGAAAUAUUAUUAUAAUCAAUGUUUGGAUGCAGAUUAUUAUAGUCUAUUUUGAUAAUCUACAUUUGAAGUGCAUACUACUAUAAUUAGUGUUAUUAUAAGCUGUGUUUGGAGUGCGCAUUAUUAUAACCUUAUUUUUUCACAUACAUGAAAUACACAUUUUUCUUAAAUUGAUUUUAUUAAAUAAUUUUAAUUAUGUUAUUCAUUUAAUAAAUUUAGCCUCAACAAAUAUUGUUCACUAUUCUUUUUCUUUUUCAUGCAUAUAUAUAUAUGGUACAUGAAAUAAAAAGAUGUUUUCAAAUAAUUUUAUUUCAUCUAUUAAUUGGGAUGUUCAUUUCAUAAAUUUAGCUUUAAUCUUACUUUUCAACUACUAUGUUUUUUUCAUACAUAUAUGAUACAGAAAAAAGCUUUGGACUUACAAAAUUCACAUCAUGAAUUAAGCUUCCAUUUUACUUUUUCACUAAUUUUUGUUUUGAUGCAUAUAUAUUUUUCAUGAAAUACAAAAUUUUUCUUCAAAUUAUUUUCAUUAAAUUGUUAAAUGACUUCUACACGGUAGCCGUCCUCGGUUUUACGUUGUACAUUUAACCAUUCUGCAAUAGCCUUCAAUUCGUCCUUCACAAAUUUUAUUGCAUUUCGAAUGAUGUGUCGACAGAAGAGAGGGGUUAUAAUGUAAUAUCAUGGCUUCUUAUAAUCAAAUAUUUUUAAGUUGGUAAUCAUUAAAGUUUAUUGAAAAAAAUGUUCAUUUUGAAAGGUGUAUAGAUUAAAAUAGAAUAAAUUCAACGUUUUGAGCAAAAAUAAGAUUUGAAUCGAUUAAUUAAUGUAACAAUUAAAUUUAAAGUUUAUCGAUAUUUAAAAUUGAAAAUUUUAAAAUGCACGUAGUUAGAUAAAGAAUUAGAGAGUUCAAUCAGGGUUAUAUUUUGUAAAUAGUUUGAAUAUUUUGUUAUUUUUAAAAAUGUCUCAUAUUAUUUUUUGAAAAGUCAAGAUAUAAUUUAGUGUGUUUGGAUUGUAUUUUCAAGUGAUUAAAUUAAAAAAUAAAUUAUUUUGAGAAAAGUUCAUGUGUUUGACAACUACCUAAAAUAGAUUUUUAAAAACUAAUUUUAUAGUACAAGUUAAUUAAUCUACCAAAUUUGUAUCAAACACUUAGACGAACAACUUCGAUUAUCCUUACCAACCCAUCUCUAACAAUUGUCUCCAUCAACUCUCAUCGGCCAACAUUCGAUUACCAUCUCAAACAACCAUCAUUAGUAAACCUCCAACAACUGUUCUUCAGAUCGUCACCAACCAUUUUUUUGUCUACCGUUUUUCCACACCUUCUUUUGGCUAACCUCUGACAACUGCUUUUUCACAAUUGUAACUAGCCAAACUUCGAAUUGGUCAUUUUCUCGUGAUUGCCACAAGACAACUAUCGACCACCAUCAACUAUUGUCUGCGAACCUCUCGUCACCAUUUUUCAAGCUACUACUUUUUUGUGAACUGCUAAUAAUCAACUUUCAUAUACUAUUUUUCCGCAACCGUUGUUGGCUGACCUCUGACAAUUUCUAUUCAACAACCAUUGUUGAUCAAUUGUUUGACGUUGCUACUAGCUAACCUUCGUCAGCUGCUUUUGGACAAUCGUGUUGCAUAACUUUUUUCGAACGUUUUCAAUGACUGUUGCUGACCAACUUUUGUCGAUCAUUGUUCGAUGAUAGUUGUCGGUAAACUUUCGUCGACCAUUUUUCGAUGACCCUUGCUGGAUAGCUUUCAUCAACUAUUUUCAAUGACUAUUGCUGGUGGACUUUCAUCUACAAUUUUUUGAAUAUAAUAGUUGUUGGCCAGUUAUCAAAGAUAGUUUGUGGUGAUUGUUGGUUGUCGACUUUUGUAGAUCUUUGUUCGUGAUCGUUGUCGACCAACUUUUGUAGAUUGUUUUUCAGUUAUCGUUGACGGUGAACUUGUGUUGACCAAUUUGGUAACUGUUGUCGACCAACUUUCAUUGAUGUCCAACUAUCGGUAAUAAUUUUCAGUGACCAUUGUCGAUUGUUAUUCGGUGACCAUUGUCGAUCAACUUUCUUUUAUCGUUUUUCGUGGUCAUUGCCUGUCAAAUUUUGUCGAUCAUUUUUCAACGACUGUUUUUCGAUAACUGUUUAUGGUUCACUUUCAUCUAUAGUUUUUCUUUAUUGCUAUUGGCAAACUACCAACAACCGUUUUUCGAGUAAUAUUCACUGUUUGACUUGCAAAGAUGUUGUUGCCAACCUCUGAUUAUCAUUUUACAAUGAUUAUUCUCGGUUACCUCCAACCGCCAGACUCGAUUAUCAUUAUCGAACUCAUAUCAAAAUCUCCACCAACAAAUUAUUUUAUUGUAAUUUGAAACUAUAUAAAAAAUACAUUUAGAAAAAAAAAUUACAAAGGCAGUGUUUUUUCUUAUAAAGAAUGUUUAAAAGAAAUAGUUUUGUUUGGAAAGCAUUAUUAUUCUUAGGCCAUACCAAAUAAGCCUACGAGGUAGACCGGUUCCGCGGACAUGUGUACACUAACUCGAUGAUUGAAGAAGCGGCCGAGGAGUGAGUGGCCAAACACAAAGUCAAGAAAAAAGAAGUUUAUAAGAAUUUUAUCCCAUCCCAUCUUCAAAGAAAAGUCUCUGAAUCGAGUUGUAAGAAAAUGGGGAAGAAGGCUGUUCUAAUCGGAUGCAAUUACCCGGGAACUAAGGCAGAACUCAGAGGUUGUAUCAACGACGUUAAACGGAUGCGUCAAUGUCUGAUCGAGCGUUAUGGUUUCUCGGAGGACGAUAUCGAAAUCCUGAUUGAUACCGAUGAAUCCUAUACCCAACCCACGGGCAAGAAUAUCCGCUCCGCCCUUGCUCGUCUAGUCAGAUCCGCCGAUCCAGGCGACUUUCUCUUUGUUCACUACAGUGGUCACGGCACCCGUCUCCCUGCCGAGACCGGCGAGGAUGACGACACCGGCUACGACGAAUGUAUUGUUCCCUCCGAUAUGAACCUCAUCACUGGUCUGUCUAUGUUUUCCCUCUACUUUCAUGUUUAUUAAUUCCCUAAAUUCAACGCAUCCAUCUUAAUUAUAUCCGAAUUUCCGAAUUCUGCGGUGCGAAUUUUGAAUCUGAUUUGUGGAUGCGUUUGCAGAUGAUGAUUUCAGGCAGUUGGUGGAUCAGGUUCCGGAAGGAUGCCGAUUAACAAUUGUAUCGGACUCUUGUCAUAGCGGUGGUCUUAUUGACGAUGCGGAGGAGCAAAUAGGAGAGAGCACAAACACCAAGCAAAAAGAAGAAGGGGGCAGCUCUCACUUCGGUUUCAGGAGCUUUCUUCAUCAAACCGUUGAAGGUGCUUUAGAAUCACGUGGGAUUCACGUUCCCUCAGCAUUUCAACACCACCGCCAUGAUCGUCCCUCUGACGGGGACGAAUCUCAAGAGAGAGAGUUGGAGCUUUCAUAUGGAGAGCGAGUCAAUGUGAAAAGCAGAUCUUUACCUCUAUCCACUCUUAUAGACAUUCUCAAGCAGAAAACAGGGAAAGAUGACAUUGAUGUGGGGAAACUGAGGCCAACCCUCUUUGAUAUUUUUGGAGAAGAUUCAAGCCCCAAGGUGAAGAAGUUUAUGAAGGUGAUCAUGGAAAAACUCCAGGGUGAUGAAAAUGGACAGUCUGGAGGAGGAUUCUUGGGAAUGGUUGGGAAUUUGGCACAAGAAUUUCUCAAACAAAAGCUGGAUGAGAAGGAUGAGGAAUAUGUGAAACCUGCUUUGAAAACUGAAGUGGGGAGUAAAACAGAAGCAUAUGCUGGAACAUCCAAGCGAGAACUUCCAGAUGGUGGAAUCCUCAUCAGUGGGUGCCAGACAGACCAAACAUCUGCUGAUGCUACGCCUUCAGGAAAUGCCAAUGCUGCAUAUGGGGCUCUCAGCAAUGCAAUUCAGACCAUACUUAGUGAAUGUGAUGGACAAAUUACCAACCACGAGCUUGUUAUGACGGCUCGGAAAAAGCUGAAAAGCCAAGGUUUCACUCAGAAACCUGGCCUCUAUUGCAGUGAUCAUCAUGCGGAUGCUCCCUUCGUUUGCUGAUUUUUUUGU